RNAcentral lists this long non-coding RNA (95537 nucleotides) under Coffea arabica (coffee). Its description in RNAcentral is "long non-coding RNA (CARA_LNC001390)". Lineage: Eukaryota; Viridiplantae; Streptophyta; Magnoliopsida; Gentianales; Rubiaceae. The record is from RNAcentral.
AGGGGAGGGGGUGAGAUUAUAUCAACAAAAGAUGAAAAUAGGAUUUGACAUUUGUAUAUACAUUUUUCCUCUCUCGUUAUCCUUCACAACAUGAAUAAGAUUCUUGGGUAAUUACUAUCCAAAAACAAAAAAACAAAAAGCUCCCAAACAUCUUUCGAACUCUAAUGACAAAAUCUGCAGCUUUGUUGCAUUUUUGACAAAAUGCAAAGCUAAUAUGGACAUUAUUAAAAGAGGGCAACAACAGUUGGUAUCUGUCGCUGCAAAAAUAGGCUCCUUCAGGAACAUUAUUGAUGAUUGUUCUUGGUUAUAAAUAUCCUCGCACAAACGUUUAAUAAAUAGAUCAACAGAGAUUUGUGAAUCGAAAUUGUCAAGUAGUAUUUUAAAAGAAGAAGUUGGCCAGACAAAAAAUCACAUUGGGACAAUGCAAAAACCGGAAUUUCAAAGUUUGGUAGACAUCCCUUAUCCCUCGCCAAAAACAAUUGCAGGUGGGGCUACCAGCACCAGCUCAUGGCUGUCAAGGAUUCUUGGUUUGCUAUCCAUUUUCUCUAUUGAUGAUCACAACGAAAGUGUAUGCCAGGGCAAGAAUAGUAGUAGUACAAGUAUUUCCAGUUUUGGGUCAAAAUCACAAUGAAUGCUAGUCUCUAUUUGUUUCUUCAUAAAUUGGGUCAAAAUCACAAUGAAUGCUGUGAAUGCUAGUCUCUAUUUGUUUCUUCAUAAGUAAUUCCCUAGUCUCUCUCUCUCUCUUUCAACCAGCUUUGGAGUCUUGACAAGGAGGAUUGGAAUUAAAUUCCCCCAACAACCAUAGUUGGUCAGUAGUUGCGCCAAUUAGAUGGACAGGCAACAAAAGUAUUGGUUAAUCUUCAUACUUCCUUUUUCAGCCCUGUUUGGCACUCAGAGUUUUUUGUCAAGUUUAUCUGCUAUAAAUUUUUUAAAAACUUUAACUACAGUAAUCUCAAAUAUUUUUCAAAAUUUUUAAACUAUACACUUCAAAAAUUUUUUAAAAAACUUUUACAGUAAACUACAGUAAAGUUUUAGACAAACAUUCAAAAAACUCACGUACCAAACGGGGUAAUGGUUUUCCUGUGAACUGAUACCAAGAGGAGGGCCACAAUUGUGCUGACAUCCCAGUUCAAAGGAUAAGUAGACCAGAAUAACAAGCCCAUUAGGGCGAUAACAAGCAAUAAGUCCACAAACAUGGCAAAGGUUAAGGCUCAAGAGAGACUAGACAGAUAUUCAGGCUUGCUAUAGCUAAUUGAAUAAUGAAUCCUCAUCCACACUGACCUGACAAGAUGCAGAUUAUUGUGGAAGCAGAAGUGAAGAUUUACACUCAAGGAUUAGAAGCUACAUGGCCUUCUCAAAUAUUAGAAGAUUGAGAAUUUAAGAUUAUUAGGUCAAAACCUCGGAUAGCCUACCAGUUACCCAACAAGAUUCAUACUGAAAACUUGAUCACCUUCGACCUGCUAGACCAUUUCAUUUUUAAGUACAGUUGUCAGAAGUACAAUUAGAAUGAUUCCCAGUAAUUAUUAUGUACAUAAUAUUUUAUACAUUCGCCUUACUUUUUACAUAGAGUAGUAACAAAAUGACUAAACUGAUCCUUCAUGCUUUAGAGCAUCAACCUAAAAAGCUUUAAAUCCAUCAGUUCUGGAGUCUGUAUCUUGAGCGCAAACGGCUGAGGAUCUCAGCAUAUUCUGGAGUUGUCUGGCCGAAUACUUCAUUCCACAUCCUGAAAAGGUCUGUACGUAUAAACAGGAAUCCAGGUCAAUCAAACUCAGCUUUAAUAAAUGAAUAAUAGCAUUGAUACAAAACUCCACACGCAUUCAUUCGUCUUUCUGGUGAGAGCAUAUAAACUGAUUCAUAGGGUGAACUACUGAAAAACAGUAGUAAUUGGCUGCACAAGGGAAUUAUUUAACGCGGUCAUUUACAAUAGUAUGUUAGAUAACACGAACUGCACAUUUAACCAUGUCUCAACCCUAUUACAUUAUAAUUCUAUUAGAUUAGCGUGGACCUACCAGCCUUAUCAGCAGAGGAAAGACACAUGACAAUCAUGUCGAAUCUUGGGAUUUUGGUUAGAUUUUCUAAGAAUUUGACAGCUAAAUCCACAUCUUCUCUGCCAAACAUAAGGCAGAAGAAAUGUCAGCAAAUCAUUAAAAGAAACAUAAUUUUGCGAAUUCAUUUACAAAUAGUUUAUUGAAGAUAUUAACUUACACGAAAAAGGUAGCAAUACACCCAAGAAUAUCCAUGAGUAAUGAAGCAGACAAGGCAUUCUUAAAUAUCUGUGGCAAUGAAGUUGGAGGAGUUGCCUGAUCAGGGAAAAAGAGGAGGUCACACAAUGGGAAAAGAAACAAACUAUAAACAACAGCAACAAUGAAAAGUGAAAUUACUAUCAGCAUGAAAUUUCCAUUUCUUUGUCAAUCUAUAAUCAGUUUCAACAUGAAGAUGGUCCUUUCCAAAAAACAAAAAACACCACACAAACAGCAUUUAGAUAGACAUGCCACUGAAUUGAAAACAGAGUUGGUAAAGUUCCGCCUUGCCAAUCAACCUUUUUGCAAGUCUCAAGACGGAAAAGUCAUUCUCCUCCAUCAAGAUAAAUUGUUAAAAAGAAUUUAAAGUGAUUUUGAGAGAACAUAGCAAAUAAAUUUGGAAAGAUUCAUAAAAACCAUGAGUAUGCAACUACAGAAACUUAGCAUCCUAAAUGGUAUAUUCUGAAUUGCGUGCAAAGGACAAAAGUGACACACGGCUGCAAAACAAUUUAAAAAUAGACCUUCAAUAAUUGAGCCUGUAAGCUGCGGUCACCAGAAAGCCCCCGCCAAGAAACCUCAAACUGGUAAGCUGAAUUUGGAGGUGCAAUGAUUUUAGCAGCCUCAGCCUUAGCAAGAGUAGCAGCUCGUGCGGCAAGCUCUUGAACUGAUGUCUUCAACUCAUGCUUGCCAUUGGUGCUGCUUCUCUGUGAUUAAAAACCAAAAGAAUCAGUAGAGAAAAAGAGAACCCAAGGGCAGGCUGAGUCUUAGCAUAUAAAUCCAUAAAUCAUGCUACAAUUUUGAUAAUAGCCAGCUGAUCACAAAGUCAUGCCAUGCACAUAUAAAAUCUAUAAUUAUUUUAGACCUGUUUGUGAAAGCAAAAAGUAUUUGCAGACCGUUGACAUAAGAGAUCAAUCUGCAACUUUUAAUUAUCUUGUUCUCUUAAAUCUUUGUUAUUAAACUAUUUGCCCUUUCUAAUCAUCAAAAUUGAAAUGUUAGAAUUGUUUGUUGCCCCUAAUCUUCUUAAACAUUCACUAUCUUUCUAAAAACACCAGCUCUUAACGAAAAGAUUAUACAAGAAAAGAAAACAAUGGACCUUCAUUGUCUCCAAAGCAGUGUUCUGAAGAGCUGAUUCAUGAGAAGCAUUUCCAUUUUGAUCCUUAGUCUUCAUACUAGUACCAUCAAGUCGCAUAGCUGUCUUUAAAGGAAUUUCUCCAUUAUUACCCUGCCAAUCACAGCUUAAAGUUCAGAGAAAUGACUUUUGCCCACUAUCUGAUAAAAGAAGAUACUGAUCAAAUGUAAAGCUAUUUUUUCCAAAAAUUUCCAACCAUCACAAAUGUAAAGCCAUUUUUUAUCAUCUAAAAUACAUUCUUAAGAAUCUCUAUGACAGGUCAGGUGCAAUGAAUAUGAAGCUCCAAAGCCCAUGCUUUCACCUUGCAAUGAAGAUGACUAUAAAACUCUUAAACACAAAAUAAACCUUCAGGAAACAGAAUGAACUGUCCCAAAGACAAGUUUUUACCUCCAGAAGCUAAAGGAGCAAGAAAAGAAAAGAAGGUGAUUUACUGGAGUCCUUUUUAACUCACAGUAGUUUUGCUCCCAGCCAAGCCAAACCAAAUAGUAUACAUAUAUACAAGCAGUCAAAAAAGUGAAAGAAGAAACUCCAUUGUUCAGACCUUUGUAUGAUCAUCCUGAACUUCAGCCACCAUUCCACUAUUAAAAUCACUGGAGACAAGUUUGACCCCAUUUACAGCUUUGUUUGUCUCAACCUUUGACUUUCCAGCUUUUUGCAACCCUUGCACAGAGCUUGUUGAUGCUCUAGAUACCUUCUUAAGAAUUUCCUGGAAAUUGACAAUGACUGAUAAAAAAUGGAAGAACUAUAUCCAGAGAUAGCAGUAAUAUAUGACUCAAGUACUCAAGGAUUAUUAGUUUAAUUGAAUUUGCCGUCUUAAGUGUUCAGAGGCAUGUGAAAACUUUGACAAACUGAGUCCUCAAAUCUAUUUCUUUACAAGAAUAAGAGAACAAGAAAAUUGAUUACAAGGUAAGGAGUAAACCUUAUCUAGCAAAGAUUUGGCUUCUGCAUAUUGCUUCUUGAUCUCCUGGUUUUGUGGCUCUAACCUCAAGGCAAAUUCAGCAUCUGCAAUCAGUCAUACUUCAUCAGAAAUACUUCUUUUUUAAAUAAAUCAAAAAGAGGUUUCAUAGGAUCCAUAAUAAUACCAUCAUAGGCUUCUUUUAGUUUGCCAAGCUCUUUUCUGGCUGUUGAACGACGAGAAUAGGCCUUAAUGUAGCGAUCAUCUAGAUUUAAGGCCUCAGUACAGUCACUCUCAGCCUCCUCGAAUCUAAUUUAAAAUGAGGAGAACAUGUCACUUCUUAUAGUGUGUACAUUUUAUCUUAUAAAAGAGAAUAAUUUCUCUAUUCUGGAAAUAAUAAAACUAAGAAGAUAGAUGAUAUGAACUUGCCUUUUGAUUUUGAUAUAAGCCAUAGCCCUAUUAGCAUAAGCAACUGCAGUAGGCAACAAUGCAAUGCUUCUAGAGUAACAGUCAAUUGCUUCAUUAAACUUCUUAUGUUUAAAAUAUUCAUUGCCCUACGCAAGAUAGAAAGUAAUAAUCAGUAUCAAUACAAGACAAACAUGUCAUUCUAAACCAUAUUUGUUGAGUGUGAAGCAUACCAACUCUUUCUCCGAGUUUGCAUCAACUGAACUCUCUUCUGUCAUGAAACCACUUGAUAACUGCCUUAUUGCAUCAUAGUUUCUCAAAUAAUCAUAUUUUUUAGCAGCAUCACCAAUAUCCUCAUUGGCAUUUUUUUCAACUGCAUGUCUCUCACCAACUCUUGAGCUACUAGACAGCUGAUUAGCAUUUGCUACAUUAUGUCUUUGAGCAAGGAGAUCCUGAAAUAAAACUUGAUCCAAUCAAUAAUCAAAAACAACAUUUAUGUAAUAAAAAAAACAGUAAAAAUCAGAAAAUGCAAUCAAAAGAUCACCAUCAUGUCUUCCCCUUUGGCACCACUUAAAUGCAAUCAACAAGACUAGAAAAUGAAAGGGAAAAGAAAAACAAAGAAAAAUUUGCAAACAGAAAUGCAUUCACACUGACUAAAUCCACUGUCAGGGUGAAGUGGCUAUAAAAAAAAAAAAACACUAACUGCCAACAACUCUUUAAGAUAGAGCAUUCUAACAGAAUUCUGCACAUGAAUAUGAUUUCGUAUGCUGAGACAGUCAAGGGUUGAGUAACUGCACAUCUUAAAUACAAGAAAACAGAAAACUUACUGCCUUCUCCUUGCCUCGGGAUUGUGACUUAAGUUUCUUGUCUUUAUCCUUGAAUGAUAAUUCCCAAUCCUGUAAAUUAUUCAGAAGCCCCUCAAAGUCCUGUUCAACCAAAAUCAUCACUAAGGUAGGUGUAAAAAAAAAAAAACUAACGAGCAACAUCAUGUUUGUACUUUCUCUGGGCCAAUUUAGUCCAGUAGUACACACUUCAGACGUAAAGAAAAAUAAUACAGUCCAGUAACAUUAAAAAAAAAUGCACCUUCAUAGUUCUCAACAUCUAUUUUCUUUUUUUUUUCCUCGUACAAGAAUAUAUUUCGCAAAGAAAUCUUACAGCUAGCUUGAUUUCAUCCACAAAUUAACACGGCUUUGAAAUCCUUCCCGGACCACAAAAUAGUGAACUCACAGAAUAGAAUUACUACAGGCCUUGACUCCACUAGAUAAACAUAAACACAAUGAUGAAGUUACUGCUCUCAGAAUUUUAUUUACACUUUUCAUUUCUAGUCAAGAAAUGGAUUCUACCAACCCUAUAAUCUUGAACCAUUUUCAUCUAAUUUCUUCUUAAUUUCCAUGAACAAAUAAAGCAGCAAAUUUGAAGGGUUCUUCUUGCUUGAAUACCUCCAACUUCUCCACCAGCAAUGUGAUGGUAAUAGAACUAAUACCUCCAGCAAGUAUAGAAUCCAGACCUUAAAAUCAACAAGCCCACAAAAAAAAAUGCAAAAGCUAAAGCCGUUUCGAUAUUGAAAUCAUGCUUGGUGAAAAGAUACUACAGCAAUGCUGCUCUGCUAACAAAUAGAAGAGAAAAUGCAUAUGCACCUGAGCUUGAUCGCGAGAAUGCUUGGAGGGAACCCUAGACAUUGCUGGGAAUAGAGGGCACGGCAGUCGGAGAAGAAGAGAGAGCGGAAGCAGUUCAGAAUUCAGAUGCUUCUAGAGUUCCAAGGGGAGAAAGAAACACAUUUCAUUUUAAUACUACCAUCGAAGCUGGAUCAACUUUUAAGGCUUAAUUACAAAUUGUACCCAGUAAUUAGGAGUUAGUGCAAAUUGACCCCCUGAAUUUACAAAAUUUACAAACUAAUUUUUUUUGUUCUUCAUUAUUUCUCUUAUAUGUGUAGAUUUACUUUUUUCCCUUCCCACUCUAUUGUAAAUCUUGAUAAUAUUGUACUAAAUAAUCUUUUUCCUCACUUAAAUAUAGAUUAUUAUUUCUUAUGAAAAGUUUUUAAGGGUAGACUACUAUAUUUAUCACUAGAUAGAGUUGUUAAUGAAGCAAACUGUUUGCGAACGUAUUUAUGUUCGAAUCGUUUGAAUUCAAAAAAAGUACAAUUGUUUAAUGAACGAAUGCAGUUCAAACACAAUAUUAGAUUCGUUUAAUAAUCGAACCGAACAUGAACCUCUUCGUGAACACAUAUAUAUAAAUAUAAAUACAAUUAAUAUUAUUAAAUACAUAUUAUAUUUUACUAAAAAAGUACUUAUACAUAAAUUAGCAUUAUUUAUUUUUUAUUCUAAACAAUGUAUUAUUUAUUAACAAUAUAAUUAGAUCAUCUUCAAAAUCAAAUUCGAGAACCAGCCAAAUUCGAGCCGUGCUUGACCUUGAAUUUGGCUCGUAUAGUUUAACAAGUUGAGUUUAAGCUCAAUCUUAAAUGUUUAUACAAAUAAACGAAUCAAAUUUAAACGAUAUUUGUAAUUUGUUAAUAUUCGAAUCAAACUUGAACCCUAUUUGUAUAAUAUACGAACAAAGCCUGAACAUCAAUCAUUCAACUCAAUUUGCCUCGUUAAAAGUUCUACCACUAGACUACUUCAAUCGUAUAGCUCCUUCAUUCCUAUUAAAAAAUAUAUAUUUUGAUCAUAAUAUGUUAAAGAAUUUAUUUUUAUAGUUGAAUAUAAUAUUGUUAUUUUUUAUGAAAAUAUUUAAUGGUUGAGAAACAUAUUUACCAAUAAACUAUACCUUUUUUUUUUCAACAAACACCACCAAUAAACUAUACAAAUAACUUUUGCCACUUAACUAUUUUUAUUUAAAAUCACCCACUUAACGCACAAAAUUGUUUUAUAAAUAACCAUUCGUUUAGGUUUUGCCAUUAGAUAUCAUGCAUUUCCAUUAGCUCGGAGGAUGCGCAUGGAAUUUUAUGUGGAUGGUAACUAUAUACUUUGCUUAAGCACAGGCUAGAGACUGUAUCUGCACGUUUGUUCAUAUUCAACUGUUGAAGCAGACAAUUGAGCCUAGCUGAGAAGUAAAUUGUAUCCAACAAAUGAAAAAGCAAGUUGCAAGAUUACCAGAGUCAGAUUUCAACAUUUAAUCUAUAGCCAAGACAGCAUGAAAAAUUGAAAAUCAUCUGAACAUCGUUGCUAACGCAGCAGACCAACAGAUUUCAGCACAAAAAGGGAGAAUAAGUCCCUUGUACGCAAAAACAUAACAAGCAAAUUUCUGCAGCUUUUAACCAACUUUGUGAUUCUGGUACCACAAACCUAAUAGCAUUACAAGAUUUACAAGACAACUUGAUGAUAAUUCUAGACAAAUGUCAACCCGCAUUCUGGUGUGGCAUGACAAUUUCAGUAAACCAACACCAAGGCAUAUGUAGGCUUUCUUGCAUAUUACAACUCCAGCCUUGAAGAUCUGCAUCUUGGUCCUUCUAUGAGGGGGGAUCAAAUUGCUUCAAGAAACUCCCAAAAGCUGCACUCCAAAUGGACACCCCACCAAAAUGACUUACAUUGAUCCAAGCAGCCAGGCGGUUGUAGAGUGCAAAAACAAUCUCUAAAGAGAACAUUAAUAAGGAACCUAUCAAAGCUAUACCAAAUAAAGUAAUUAAGCGAAAUUCAGCAUCGCAUCUUUCCAGUCUACAGAUGCCAGCAUCAAAUUGGAUUAUAUACAUCCCAUCCACUUAAACUGGGUAAACCUAACAGAACUAUGCAAACACCGUAUUCCUGAAUUCCAGCAGAAGACAACAACCAGAGGUGGUCAAAUCAAACAAGCAGCUGCAGCCUGCAUCUUCUCAUGUAUUGCCUUGUAGCAACCGAGGCUGCACAGUGGCAACUUUGACUUUGAGUCUCGGUACUUGUAUGCAUUUGUACAAGAAGGGCCAGCACAGUUUUCACGUGGAGGAGGAUAACUGACGGCAAAGAACAAAGGCUGAGUCAGAGACAAAAGAGGGUGAGAAUAGCAGAAGUACAUAUUUGUAGUGCCACGGAGACUCCUGAAGAUCUGUUGGCGUGCAAUUAAAUGUGCACAGGAUUGAAAAAGUGGCAUAUUUACCUACAAGGCUUGGAUUCAAGAAUUCUUGGGAGGCCUAUCUCAUCGGGGAACGUCACAGUAGUCCCGGACGGGCCAAUCACCCAUCUAACUGCAUUUGAUGCAAGAACGUUGUUUGCAGCCCUCUCCUGCAUCACAUCAGAGACCUAUAAUUUAGAAUGAAUCCAAAAAGACGCAAAGAUAGCUUCUUCACGUGGAUCAUUUGCGUUGUCACCUGAGCCAGCUCAUCUUGUCGCUUCUUCAUUUUAUCCUCUUGCUUCUUCCUACUGGAAUCUUGGCCUAGGAUUUUUCUGAUCGCCUCAGCCUGUAAAACCAUCAACCCUUGAAGUCAUAUCUUUUACAAUACAUAACGUAAUUUGACUGGAAUAUCAACCUAAAUAACUGGCAUAAAAGUCUGUUGUAGCAAGCACAACCUCAGCCUCCCGAGCAGCCUUCUCCACUUGCAUCCUUCGUCUUUGAGCAGCCUCAGCUUUCUUCAGUUGUUGCUCCACCUCCGACAGUUUUUCCUUUGGCUCUGUCACUCAACCCAACAUAAGUUAUAUUGUAAACAUUCAAUUAGAAAAGUUACAGAUGCAUUUGAACCAGGACAGAGUUCUAUAACAGGAAUGCUCACUUUUAGGUGGGGCAGGAGGUAAUCCAUUUGGGAACUCAAUCAAACUUGCACCAGAAGGGGAAGAAGUGGAUCUUGCACUUUUGAGUGCUCGUUGGCGGGUAGUGAUAGCCAUUUCCCUCUUAAAAUCCCCUGACUCAUCAAUUAACUCGUUGCUGUGCUUUCUCUUUGGUUCAGGCUCAUCAUCAGAGAACGAGUCUUCAUCUUCAAAAUAGUCUGCAUCUUCGGAUGCUUUAACUGAUCUGGACUUCCUACUCUCCUUGCCUAAUGAAGAGCUGUUAUGGUAUCUCAAAUCUACAUCAUUACUGUAGAUAUCACCAUAAGAUAACCUAGAUGCAUUCUGUUGCUUCUUGCUCCCUACUUCAUCUACAUCUUCAAACUCUGUGCCGUGACUUGAACUAAGUCUCAGACGUCUGACCUUUUCAAGGUACCGAAUCUCGUCAUCACUAUUAUCUUCUCCAUCAUCAAAAACUUCACCUAAUGAACGUUUCUUAGGAACUCGUUUGCUCUUACGAGAGGACUCAAGAGCACCAGAUUGCCUAGUAGAGACACUUUGUCCAGGCAUCUUUCCCAGUGAAAUAACAUGUUUCUUAACAGUAAAACCACUCUUAGAAAAAUCCUUCCAUGGAAUGCCCUGCAAUCCACUUCCUUUGUCCUUAGAAGUGCAGCGACCUGUGUUUUCAUUAUCCUGGAAAAUGUAGGAAGAAGAAGCCCCUGUUAAGCUCUAAUUCAACCCAUCUUUCACAAAUUAGAGCUAGAAAAAUAUGGCCCAAGGAGGGGGGGGGGAAGGCAUGGUUUGUAUUGAGGCGGGAAUGAACUGGCAAAGACCAAACCGCUGUGAUGGUUGGACAAAAUAAAGAGUCUUUUAUCAACUUAGCUAUCUGUUAACUCACUUGGAAAAAUAACAUGCUAUUAUGCUAAACUUUUUUGGUCAAUGAUCCUGAAUAAGGGAUCAUCUUUGAUCCAGAGCCCAGAAGAAGAGAACAAACCUACUAUAGAUAUCAAAAGGAUUAGAAGUUUCAAAUAGAACAAGCUCGGACUUUGGUAGCCUUACUUAGUGCAAACAUUAAAGCACAGAGUUACCUGCGCAAUCAGCUUAGGGUGCACAGGUGGGCCAUCAGAAGAGAGAGAAGACUUGGUUGAUGAAGACCCAGCAAAUGAUGAAGCCUCGGAAACGGUUUUAGUAUGUAGCGUAUGAGUAACACCACCAACCUUAAGCUUCACUUUCUUAAGUUUACUGAUACCUGCAUCAUUUGAUUCUCCCAAUCGUCCAACUUCAUUACUCAUUUUAGAGACAGUUUCGGCGUCACCAAGAUUAUCAUACGAUGCUCUGGAAACGCUUUGGUUUGUACUUUCUUUCCCCCCCGUAGCAGCAGCAUGACUGAGAUUUUCCUCACUUGAUGGUUUGCUCAUACUGUCUGAUACAGGCGUUGAUGACAGGGAAGAAUUAUCCCGGUAAUCCAAACAAGAUUGAGAAUCAUCUACUCUACGGCGAGGCCGAAUGCUCCUCUUUUUCCUUGCAUUUCUGCCCGUAUCAUCAAAUACAAAACUUCCAACGUUUUCCAUAGUGGCAGAGUCUACUUACUUCCAAGCCUCUGCUGCUGCAAUUCAUCAAGUAAGACAUUGUCAAAGUCACGAAAAUCUGUUAUAGUGCAAGAAAAGGAGAUCAAAGAAGAAUGAAGCAGAUCUCAUUUCUAACAUUCUCAAUCUGCUUUAAACUUGCCAAAAGGACACGACUACGAGAUUAAUAUCUACACUAAUGCAAUUUCUGAGUAGAAACAAACAACCUUGUAAGCAUAUUAAACAAUACUAUGAUAAGCUUUGUCCCGACUUACGCUAGUUGGUUAAAGUACUUCUUUUUUCCUCAUAAAAUAUGCUACCAACUAUCGUACGACCUCCAACAGAGGUCGAGCUUCUUGACUAAUAUCAUAAGAAACCGUGAACUUUAUGAUGUAAUCUUUGAAAAGCAAACAAGAAAACAUAAAAGCGAAUCUCACUGAAGUCCAGGAACAGGUAACAUGGUAUAAUUGAUUUUUAAAGAAACCCCACAUAAAAACACUAGCUUGACAUCAAGAAACUGGAAAAAGAAAAACGUAUAAAAAUGGGAAGAAAAUUACAAGUUUCCUUCUGGAACUCAAGAGACAACAUAUGAUAAGCAUUAAAAAGCAGAAGAUGAAAAUUUUAUUACCUUGAGUUAUUUUCUUCCACAGAACCCUCAAAAUAUGAGGCUGGAGAGGAGCUGAAAAGGGCAGAAAUUUUGUGAAGGAAAUUCAAGAAUUACAGGAGCCCAGUUGGAAAACAGUGACAAAGUUGGGAACUUUGGGGGAGUUGGGGGGAGGAGGAGAGGAGGCCAUCAAUGAACCUGCUGGCCUGCUCCAUCAACUUUCAACCAUGGUUCCUCCCGAGUCCUUAGCCCCUCGUGCCUUAUGGCCUAUUGGGCCAAUUCCGCAAGCUUCAAGUUUGUCUAUUUCUCCAUUGCUGCUUUUCUUUUUUUCCAACAAACGUUAAUCCAUAGCUGCUUUUCAUUUCCUCCAUUUUUGGUCCACAGGAGGGAAAAAUCUUCUCUCUUUUUUUUUUUUUUUGAUAAGGGAUCAAUUUUUAACUUGUACUUUAUGCAUAAUAAAUUCACAACCAUAAGCUUGUAAAUCAGUAGUAUUUGUUUCCUUUAAAUUUGCCAUGAAACCGCCCCGUUUGGUACUUGUGGUUUUAUUUCCACCUAAAUGCCUAAUGAAAUAUUUGGAAAGUUGUGUCAAGUAUUUGGUCUAGAUUUUCCUAGUUACAGAGGAUUUAGCUGUUUAAGUGAAAUUAAAAAAAAGUUGGUCAUACUUUAAAACACAAAUGACAUGUUAUUUAUGUUAUAUUUUGAAUUUAUAUAUAUAUACAUUCAAAGAAAGAAUGAUAAAUUGAUUUGGGAGCAAGGACUGAGUAGUUUUGCCUAUUAUAAACCUAAUUUUUCUGUUUAUAAUAUUCAUAAAAAUAUAUUAUUUUUGGGAAAAAAAUUCAUUUUCAUAUUUUUAAUCUUUUUUUACCUCAAAUAUAUCAUAUCUUACAAAAAGUGUUAAAAUAAUUUUUCUCCAAAAAUUCUCUGAAAAAUGCAAUCCAGACGAGAUCUAAUUUUCUGUUUUAGCUAAAAUUUCAAUUCUUCCACAGUCAACAUGUCAAAGAAAUAAGAGUUUUUUUUUUUUUUUUUUUUUUGGGUUUGGAUGUCUCGUAAACAUGUUUAAACCUCCAUACUUUAUUACUUCAUCUUAUUUCAAUAAACAAAAGACACUCAAAACUUUUUCUUUAGAAAAAAACUAAAAAUUAGAGAACAUCUAUGAUAUAAAGGAAUUAUUAACUUUAAAAACUACUUUUACAAGUUGUCAUAAAUUCUUUCAUUGAAUCAAUUAACAAAUUUUUUCAUGAUAUUAAAGGUGAGCUUUUUGUUUGUUGUAUUAGAAACUUAAUAAAUAAAGCCAUACCAAAAUUCAUUUAUUAAUGACCCAAAAUCGACUUCUAUGCAAGAAAUCCAACAUGGGAUAUGCGUUCGAAGAUCAGCUCUUCAUGACUUGUAAGUAACAUGAUAUGAAUCCCGUUGCUCAAACGAAACUCACAAAUAGGGCUGCAAACGAGCCGAGUCGAGUCGAUCUUUGGCCUUAUCGAGUCGAGCCUUGAUUUAAUUUCAUCGAACUCGAACUCGAGCUCUACGAGCUGGUAAUUUUCAAUCGAGUCAAGUUCGAGCUCGAAAAAAAUAAAAAAUAAUUAUUUUUAUUUUUAAAAAAAUAAAUAAAAUAAUAUUUUUUCUUAAUAAAUAAUAAAAUAUUAAGGAUAUUUAUGUAAUUUUACUAUUAAAAAUAAUAUAUAUAUAUAUAUAUACACAUUCGAGCUCGCGAGUCUAACGAGUUUAAUGUUUUGAGCUCGAGAUCGAGCUCGACUUUGGCUCGACCAGCUCGAGUUCGACCCGAGCUCGAUAUUGAUCGAACUCGACUCGAGCUUGAAUCGAAUCACUCGCGAGCGGCUCGAUUCAUUUGCACCCCUACUCACGAAUAACAAAUCCGAAUCUUUAGUGAUUGACACAAGUUUAAUAGUGGAAUUUCUACACGGAUCCUUCUAAUUCCCGUAAGUGCAAACUUUAAGAAGGUAGCUGGAGCCACAAUCAAAGAUGAUUAUUUGAUUGAUAAGUCGGAAUGAACGCUCAAGAGAAUUCCGAAGCAUUGAAGGAUGCUCGCAAGAGCUUUUUAGGGAGCUUCACGCCCAUGCAUAAUAAUUUGUUUUACACGCUCAUUAAUCUCUAUGAUCAUGCUCGGCAUUCUAAUCGAAUCUUGAACAGCUUGAACUAUCGGUUGGACGACUCUUGAAGUUUCUUGGCACCAGCGCACGUCAUUGGAUUUGGAUCCACUGGGGAUGUUCAUGGAAUCGACUUGAGCAUGUCAAGCAUCUUGGACAGCUUGCACGACUUCAUCAUAACAUCACUUUGCUUUGCAUAAAUUUUGCAUGAAGCAAUAAACAAAAUGAGAUGCAAUUAACGAAAAAUGGUGCCAAGCUCAAUACACUUUAUUGUUGUUAUUAUUAUUAUUUUCUUUUUGUAUUAGUUUUUUGGACUAACAUUCAUGUAAACAUACCUACUACCUAGCAGAUUGCCAUAUUGACACGAAACAAAGGAUUCCUUUCUAGAAAAGAAGAAGAAAAGCAUUGGCAUAAGAAACAAAAUCCUGUGGUUUGGUAUAGUUGCAGACUUUAAAACGGUUUUAGCCUGUGGUUUUGAUCACGGAUAUAGUUGCAGACCGUAAAAUGAAUUAGUUGCGUACCAUAAAACGAUUUUAUACCUGAAAGGGUUCGGCUCGACUCGAACACGAUUAGUAAAAGAAUGUGGAAUCCCGUUGUUUAGAAGAAAAGGCCAUAAAAUCUAUCGAAUCUAUGAUUGUCACAAGUGUCAUCAUUUUACUGGACUUUUAGAUUGUAUCGGCAAUCCUGGUUUUAGGCAUUAUUUGAUAACCCAUUUAGCACCUAAAUUUAAAGGAUUUAGCAAAAUAUUGAAUAUCUGAAUUAAUUAAGUGGUAAUGAAUUUCCAAACAAAACUUGCUCCUAAAAAUAAUUGAUAAGUUAUUCACUUAUCACUUAUUGUGAUAUACACUCAAAUGUAUUAGAUUUAGUACUUGGCAAUUCAAUCACUUAAUGGAUUCAAAUUUCAGAUUUCAGAUUCAUGGCUUGUUUGAUAACCCAAAUCAAUAUUUAAACUUAAUGGACUUUGAUUUUAACAUGUGUUAGGCGCAUUUGAUAAUCAAAAAUUGAACAUCUGAAUUAAUUAAGUGGCACUGAAAUUUUUAGACAAAACUUGCUCCUAAAAAUAAGUGAUAAACUAUCUACUUAUUAGUUAAUGUGAUAUACACUAAAAUAUAUCAGAUUUAGUAUUUAACAAUUCAAUAAAUUAAUGAAUUCAUAUUUUAGUGACACUGAACUUUUUAUAUAAAAUUUGCUGCUAAAAAUAAGUAAUAAAGUAUUUACUUAUUAUUUAAUGUGAUAUACACUCAAAAUGUAUGAUAUUUAAUAUUUAAUAACUCAAUAAUUUAAUGAAUUCGUAUUUCAAAUUUUAAAUUAUAAUUUUCAGAUUUCAAUAUUAAUAAACACACCGUCAUACUUCAAUUUUUAAAUUUCAAUUUUAUCGAACGCAUCUUUACUUUAGCUUCAUAUUCACCUGCCAUGUUGUAUUUAUCGUGUUUUAUGCUUAGAAACACUGCACCAAGAAAUAGAACAAGAAGAAAUAAAGAAAAAUUAUGCUAGUACUCACAAAAAAUGUACAUGCCAUUCCGCUCUUGACUCAACCCUCGUGCUAUUUUGUAUUUGUCUUGGUUUAGGCCUAGAAAAACUGCACCGAGGAAUAGAACAACAAGAAAUAAGGAAAAAUUAUGCUAGUACUCACAAAAAAAAUGUACGUACCAUUCCGUUCUUGACUCAACCCUCGUGCUAAUUUGUAUUUGUCUUGGUUUAGGCUUAGGAAAACUGCACCGAGAAAUAGAACAAGAAGAAAUAAAGAAUAAUUAUGCUAGUACUCACAAAAGAUGUACGUACCAUUCUGUUCUUGACUCAACCCUCAACCCCAAUUCCCAAAUCCUCAAAAUCCCACCUCAGAAAUCCCAAUAAUUUGCAUCACUCUUGCAAAGUUUGUCUUUUUUGACGUGGGUUUGUCUUUUUUGACGUGGGUUUGUCUUAUUUAUUUUUCUUGGCAGCAAUUUUUUUUUUUCGUUUGAAUAAUUGAUGAGACAUGGAAAAUCCAAAAGAAUUGAGGUCUGAUGCUGAUUUCAGCUUCGAGUUUUUCCCAUUUGAAAUCAUAAUUGAGAUUCUCUCAAGAUUGCCAGUCAAAGUACUUGGCAGAUUCACCACAGUCUCCAAAUUAUGGUACUCUCUCAUCACAAGUUAUAUGUUCAUUAAUAAGCAUCUCAAGGAUUACUCCAUCUCGCUGUCUAAUAAGUCUUACAGCAGCGGCGACAGCAGCAGCAGCUUGGCUACCCCUUUUAGCUCUGUCUUGCUAAUUCCUAUUGUACUAAAGGAAUUAGUGAGACAUUCUUAUUCUAUGUUUUUUGAUAGCACUUUUGAUGGUAAUGGAAGUUUUGAAAUUCCGAUGUUGUAUCAUUGGCUUGAGAUUUUGUUCGUUGGGAAUUCUUGCAAUGGAAUAAUCUGUUUCACUGAUCAGAAGGCAUUUUUCGGUAGGAAAGUGUAUUUGUACAAUCCUGUAAUUAGGAGAAUGAAGCUUAUAUCCCAUAAUUGCUUUGCUGAUAUGAUGUUUGAUCGUAACAAAGUGUUUUGCAAACUGGGAUUUGGGUUUUGUGAGUGUACUAAUGACUAUAAGGUUGUGCGGAUCCAUUAUGUUAAGGACGAGGAGUCAAAACUGUUGGGGAAUGUAGCACCUGAGGUGGAGGUUUAUCGUUUGAAUGCUGAUAAUUGGAGAAGGAUUAAGGCAAAUGUCGAGUGUAUUGUCAAUUAUAGGUCGGUUUCUUGCAAUGGAUCUAUUCAUUGGUUGGCUCGAAAGAAGAAUGGACGGAUUUUUGAUGCUAUCAUGUCCUUUGAUAUUGCUCAUGAGUUGUUUUGUGAGACCGAUUUGCCUGUUCAGUGCCACUCAUUGAAGGAUGGGACUUUAUUGGUCUUCAAGGGGUUGCUUGCUAUUUUCAAGGAUGGCAUUAGCAUUAGAGAGUACGAAGGAUAUAAAUGCUACGAGUUAUGGGUGAUGAGGGAGUAUAAGGUUGCCAAAUCCUGGACUAAACUAUUUGUUUUGGAGACAAAACGAUCUGUUGUGAAGGCAUUUGGAUUUACAAAGAGUGGACAACUUGUGAUGCAGAUGCACGGUGAUAGGUUAGCAUCUUGGGAGCCUGAAGGAAACUGUCUGAAACAUCUAGAUAUUGAUGGAUUUCUACAUCAUGUGGAUGCUUCUUUUGUGGAGAGUCUUGUUUUAUAUGAAGGUGGAUGUGUUGCUUCAGCAGAAACAAAGUAAGAUCUUAAGAACUUUUAGCUCAUUUAUCAUUUGCUAUCUCAGUUAAAGAUCUGUAGCUUGUUGCUAGAGUGCUGGAUGUUUUUACUGUUUUCAGGAUAAAGUGUUUUAGCAUGCGUUGAUCAAUUAUCUCUGUGCUAGGAUGCAUUAAUGGUGCUAGAAUGCGUUGCAGCUAUAGAUGCAUCAGUCAUAUAAUAAAUAAAGCUUCUGCAACGCAGCAUAAUCUCUUUCUGAGUUCUAUACAUCACUACCAUGUUGGAAUUAUUUAUGGAGUAUCAUUGCCUACACAAUACGUUCCCCUAAACCAUUAGACUAAUUUGGUGUUCACCAAUGUUAUUUGUUCUGUUAUCAAUGCCAUUAAAGGGGAAGAAGUGUUCAAAUGCUGUCAGAGAUAGGCUGCUGGUUAGUAGUAUUUAUCGUUAUCCGGUCAUGAAAUACAUGAGUAGUCUAGAAAAACAUGGACCAAUUGUAUGACAUAUGCUGGAAUUUAUGGAUUUCAGUAUCUGAGCGAAAAACUACCUUGCAGUUCAUGCAAUCGCAUGGAUGUUAUUCUUUACAUAGCCUUCUUGCCUUUCCAGCAACUAGCCAUAUGCAGUUUGUAGGGUACUUUCUCAUCUUGAUAGCUGAUUGAGGAUCUCUUGGCAGUCACAGGUGAACAAGAUUACUUUGUUAAGACCAGGAUUUGGGUUUACUAACUGAAGAGAUUGAAACUGGUAGAUGAAUGCAUUGGAUAGUGUCCUUCUAUAGGAUAUUAAAGGAGAAGUAGGAAUAAGAAAAUUGAGAAGAGAGUACCUUACCCUUGCAAGAGAUGAGAAAAAUACGCACAAUAGCAAAUCGUACAGUUUGGCUCUGAUAACAGAAUUUAAUUAUGUAUAUUUUGGAUUCAAGUGCCUAAGAAACUAGUCCCUAUUAUAUCAAUUGUUUCUGGGAUUAAUCUAGAAUUUCCGUGCCUUCAACAAAGUUUUACUUCAAAUACUGUUUGACUCAUCAGUGUCAUCUAUUUCUUCCUCAAACUGGAAAUAGGUUUUAAGUGAGUAAGUAUCCUAACCGUCUCCCAUUCUUCCUGGAAAUUGGUUUCUAUCUCCCAAGAACAUUAAGAACCUGUUCAAUUGCAUUUGUUCUGUCUUUGAUAGAUAGGGUAAACUUGCAAUCCAGAAGACAAAUGCAGAAAUUUAACUGGUAUGCAGUUGAAAAGCUUCUAGGGAAGGAGCAGAAACAAAAUUAAUGGUAUAGUCAACAUUAAUGGCAUUGUUUAUUGCUUAUUGCUUAUUUCAAGCAUGAUUAAUAUAAUAGGUUGACUUACUAAGGAAUUGGCUCUCAGUUAAUGCUAAUUUUGAAUUGGUAUUAGGCUUCAUAUGUACGAAGUUGAAUUUAGGUGAAAUAAUGUUUAUACAUUAAAAGUAGGAGAUUUGGUUUUAUGGAAAAGUUUCUUUUGAGAAUUUAUCAAAGAGGAGAUUAAUGUAGCACAAAAAACCUAUAGAUAACUAUGAGGAGAAACAAUAGAUAUUUUGCAGAUGAGGAGAAUCAAUAGAUAUAUUGCAGCACCUGUAGAAUAGUCUUGCUUAGUAUCUAAGUCAAGAACAUACUUGGUACUCAUCAACCUUCUUGCUUUGCCAUCUGAAUAUCAAAUACUCUUAUUUGGUCCUGCUUUGAUGUUUCUGCCUCUGAAUAAGAUGUCUAGAAUCAGUUCACCACAUGAAUUUAGUAUGCAGCUGCUUUUGCUGUCCAAAUAAGUUUUCAGAAAUGAAAUAGAAUUUUUGUUUUUGAGAAGAAGAGCGAUCAGCAUUGGUGAUUUAACUGUUGUGAUUUUUGACUGGACUGUUUGUUGAGAGUUGAGUACACGUUGAUGCAUCAAUUACCAACAUGCAGAUGCUAUACUCCAUAAAUUCUGGUCCUUCAAUGGGGAUAUUUCUUGACUCUGUUUGUGUCUGACUUUGGUGAAAAACGUAGGAUACAUCAAAUAUUUAACUUGGCCCAUUUGGUAACGUUCAUGUUUUUUUGUUUUUGUUCUUUUCUAAGAACAGAACAAAAUACUUAUUCUGUUUUUAUUUAUUUAUUUAUUUUGCAAAAACUGAACAUAAACACGUUUGGUUUACAAAAUUGUUUAAAAAAUGAAAAAAAUCAAACAUGUUUGGUUAGAGAUGUUUCAGAGGAAAUUUUGAUGCCUGGCUGCCAAAGUCAACAGACUCAACACAAUGCAGUGGAAGAACUUCUUGGAAUCAGCACCAAAUCUGAAAGCCUCAAAAGAUAUCUUAUAUCCAGAAUAUGAUUUAACAUGUUAUUUUGCAAUCAAAUGAUAUCCUUUACCAAAUCCUGCAAUAAUAGAUGCAUAUGACGGACAUGCUAAUAUAAUCACCGAAUUUGUUAAACAUGUAUAACAUUAAUUAAUAACUAAAUAUUAAAUAAUCAGAAUAUUUCCACCAAAGUAUUAAGGCUAUUUUCUUUAUCUUUCUGUCUUGUAUUUUUUCUGUUUACAUACAAUACUUAGAAGAGCUGGAGGGUGGGGGCAAAUCACCAAGAACAAUUGCUGGAAAAACACAAAGAUAGAGCAACUAGAAACAAUGUUAAUUGUACUUAAACCAGAACAAUAAGCUUGGGGUACAUUUUCAGGUUUAACUUGGCUUCUUGCUUAUGCCCGGAUCCCACUCUCUUCAGCUAUGAUUUAAAUGCAUCGUGUUAAUAAAUAAUCAAACAAAAAUACCAACAAUAGAAGAUGGAAAAUCUUACUUGAAAUUCCCUGUUUCCUGUCGAAAUAAUUAACUCUACAACACCCACAGAAUAUUUUUGGGUUGUAAAAAUCUAUUGGUUUGCAAACAAGAAAAAAAAAAUUAAAAGGGCAAGUUUAGGUAGAGUUAAAGGGACAAACAUUUAUGAGGAAAGAAGAAAUCAGAAGGGAUCAUUCUAGGGCUUUAAUUCUGGAGAAAAAAGAAAAGAAACCAGAAGCAGAUGACAAAGAGAUCCAUGAUCUAAAGUGGGGAGGGCCGCGGGAAGGGUGCAGAGGAAGAGUAGGAGGAGAGGAGAUCACCAAUUUUAGAAUUUAGGGAGGGAGAAAGGAGUGAGGGUUUGAGAAAGUUACCUUGAACAGCUGAACUGAAGUCUCAGAGCAGGAGAUACAGAGUGCGACAAUGAAAAAUUGCUAUAAGGAGAAAUAAAAGGGCUCGUGUCCUAAAUGUUGCUUGUCGAACAACUAGAAACAUCUUUUUUGGUGUAUCUAAAACAGGGCCCCUCUUUUGAACCAUUUCAUAUUUGGCAAAAACAGAAACAACCGUAACAAAAAUUGUUUUUUGUUUUCGUCUGUUGAAUUCUCUGAACAAAAACAAAAAAACACCAAACAAAAACAUUACCAAACGGCCCCUUCUGAAAGUAAAUCUUCGUCGUGUUGGAGAAUUUUGAUAAGACAAUUGUCAGAAAGAAGUUAUUUUUGUUGGUGCAAAAGUUAAAGUAUAUUCUGUUAGUAAAUUCAGAAGCAAUCAAAAGACAGCUGCAUUUUUAAGAGUUUUUAGAAAAAUGCUAUUGUAUAACUUUCUUGAAGAGUAGAGCAUGAUAUAUAGGUUGUUGGAGAGGGUGGUGGGAAAAAUUUUGCAAGAAAAUUUUUGAGAAACUGCUUUCCAACUGAACAACUUCUGGGACUUUCAUAUGCUCACUGAAUUGAAUAGUAAUCUGUUUGCUUGUGGUAACUGCUAACUGUUGUUAUUGGGUGAUCCAGAGUAGUGAGAAUCAUUAGCUGCUUAGUCUUAUUUGCGGCAUUUCUUACAUUUGGCUGCUUUAGAAUGUAUUAAUCACUAUUCCAGGUCUAGGCUUUAAAGAUCUUCUUUUCAAACAAGUUAGAAUCUGGGGGUAGAAGCUCUGGGAGAGCAUUUUGUAAACCCUCUAAUAUUCCGGUAUCACCAACAUUAGACAUGAGAGGAAAGAAGGAAGCUUCGGGAGAGCUUCUAAUUACUCGAUUCUACCCGAGGCAGGGAAAGAUGAUUUGGGAAAGCAUCUGACCUGACUUGGCAGUGAGACCGUCGGCUUCCCCUCCUCUCCUUUGCCUCUUCGGCUUCGGCUUGGAGUGCAGAUAAUAACCAGCUAGCUUACUGUACCUAAGGGGGGGAAAGGAUGAACAAUUUGGAUCCAUGUUACCAGCCUGGCAGGCUUCUAAAGCACUGCCAGUAGCCAAAAUAUACACAUUAACGAACCCCAUCUUGCAACAAAUAAGAAAACUACCUUCAAAGUUGUCCUUCAUUUUCUUUUUUAGCUAUGAAAUCUAGUGUUUCUAUACCAGCCUGGUAGGCUUCUAAAGCACUGCCAGUAACCAAAAUAUACACAUUUAACGAACCCCAUCUUGCAAAAAAUAAGAAAACUACCUUCAAAGUUGUCCUCAUUUUCUAUUUUAGCUAUGAAAUCCAGCGUUUCUACAUUCUGAGAAGAUUUUCUUUUCCUGGGCAACAAAUUUUAAGUCUCAUUGCAUUUUAAUUUGGCUGGUUUUCUUGGUUGUCUGUUCUUUUUUUUUUUUUUUUUUUAACUUAAUGGUCCAUGAUCUCUGGAAUGAUUUGUUUUAGUUAGAAAAUCAGAAGAUUAUAUUGACUGUUAAUUAGAUGAGAGUUUCUUUAAAACUAACUUGAUGACAUCCAUGGAAACAACUUUUCAAUCCUUCAAAGGUUUCAAGUUCCAUGACAAUUACUGGAGAUGACAAAUUACUAGAUUAGCUUGCACAGGUGUAAAAUUUCCGCUUUUUCUAUUGUUUUACAUCCUUCAGAGAAAUUAUUGAGUGUUGUAACUUUCCAUUUACUGCAAAUACGAGCGAUUGAUAUAUUAAACACAGCUGAUAACGGAAUUUGAUGAUUGUCAGAGUAGAGUGGUAAGUUGACAGAUUGUUUAGUUUCCUGUCAGUAUUUCAUGAAAGAUUUUAAUUUGUUUGAUGUUGUCAUUUGUUUAGGUUGAACUUUAUGACUGGCAAAUUGGCUUUCCAAUUUAGUGUUCCAGUGAUGUGUAGUUUCAUCACCAUUAACUAGAGAAAGGGAAAAAAAAAACAGUUAAUCAAUUUUUUCCUCAUUCUUUACCUGUCUGGAGGUUCAUUUAAUUUUUUAAUGCUUCAACAGAUUUUGUCCUGUUUUGGUACAUGGUAUUGGUGAAAGUUGCACUUAAGAAGAUAAAGGCUGUAUGAUUGUCUUAUAUUCUCUUCCACAAAGUUGCAAGUUGAACUAUUAUCUUAUAGACAAAAUAGAACUUUAGCAAAAAGAUCUCUUACUGAUUUUUUGUGUCAUAGUUGAUAUUCUUGGUUCUUCAUACUAAUGCUGAUACUUUAAUGGCCAGCACAAUAGUAGCAGAAACUAGCCAAAGUAUGAGGAUCAUGGAUUCUCGGGAAUUGCUCUCAAGCAUGGAUACUCUUAAAGUUCCAAUUCAUGGUGACGAAGUAGCGGUGAGGGUAGCAGCUGAUGUUGCUUCGCUGGAAUGUGGUAUAAGUGAACUUAAAAGUCUGUGUUGGAGACGCCCAGCCUUAGUGUGUAUCAUGGCUAAGCCACGGGAUUCACCUUCUACUGUGCAACUUUGUGUAGAGAAUUAUUGCUUGCUUAUUAAGCAAGAUGAUCUGGGUUAUGUUCCUGAAUCACUAAGAGAUUUUUUGGCUAAUCCAGAAAUAUGUUUUGUAAAUGUUGGUCCUGACAGGUUGUAUCUCGGGCCAUUCUUCCUGGAAAGAAAUGGGAUUGAGUUCAGUCAUUUAGUUUACAGGGUUCUAAGGAAGCAUUAUUUUAGCAGAUGGGGGUUGAAGCCUCUUGCAGAUGAAGUUGGAGUUGUUCUUGAAGAAUAUCCUGCUAGGUUUGGCCUAGACUGCAGGACUGAAGCUUUCUCUGCUGAGGAUGUCAAGUGGGCCAUUUAUCAUGUCUAUGCAUCUUUUAGGAUCAGUAGUAAACUCUUUGGUUCACUUUAAACUUCCUUUUUCUUUUAUUUUAGUAAGCUAUUUCUUCUUUUACAAUUUUCGUAAUUUUUCAAACAGUUGUAAAACUGUUAAACCUACCAUUUUUCUUCCCUCCCUCUCUGUUUGUUUCGACCGCAAUGUAUCAUGUAUUUGUAACGGUUCACAACAUGGCAUCCGCUUGGACGACUUGAACCUCCCUUCUCCAUAGUGGUGGUGCAUGUUUACUUAUUUGUUGCUAAAUAGUCUGUACUUCAGGAAUGCAGUAGCAGUAACUUUGGUGCCUAGCAAGUCAGUUAGAUAUUCUAACGUGUUAUUGUGUAACACUUAUCACAAAGGGCUGACUCUAUGUAGCAUUUAGCUAUGCAGAACAUUAAGAUCUAGGAAUUUGCAACAGGUUUGAUCCAUUUUCUAGUCCACACUCUGGCACUCCACGACUCAGUUUCCUGGAUGUGGUCUAUACUUGCUUAUGUAAAACGUCCAGAGGGAAAGAGAUUUGGUAGAGUAGCAAUGACAAAUGAAUUUCCUUUUGCUAUGCAACAAAGAUCUUUUGAGUUUUCUAGGUAGCUAAGAGGUACAAGCCACGCAGAAGUUUGCAGAACCUCAGUUUCCAGGAUGCAUGACAAAGAUGAAAGAUGAAAUCACCACCCCCUUCUGUUAAGUGGAAUGCUGUUUGAGCUUAACCUGAAUACUUGGCCACAACUUUAGUUCUGGACUGUAAGUACAAUCUCCCAUAAGCAUGCUUUUUCGAGUUUUUAUUAUCUCUACAAAGUGCAGAACAGCUAUGUAUUGAAUUGGCUUUCAUCAUCUCUAAUUACAUUAGUGAAAGGGCCAAAAAAACAUAGAAAGAAAUGUUCUGAGGAUUCCACAAUAGAGUUGUUUGUCAUCUUACAUUACCUUUCAAGGUACAACAGUUUUCCUGUUGUGAGUUUCUACAUUGUGAUAGAAUUCGCCGUUAAUCCCAAGGUCUUUAAACUGUUGAUCUCUAGUAUCCCAUGAAACUACCGUAUCAGUUAUCCAUCUGAAGAAGAAUAAGUUUGCCAUCCUGUGUAAACCCCAAUACCUUCUUUGUCUCAACAAUAAACUGUUUAGUCCAUGACUUGGUAACAUUAUACUCCUCCAUCACCCAUAUCUCAUAAUAGCAUUUCAUCUCUUCUUGUUCUCUUCCAUUAGGAGGGAGAUUCCACGAACAGAACAGCGCAAGUAACUCCUCGAAUACCAACAGAACCCCAUCCGACAAAGGUGAACGUUCAGCAGGCAGAACUAUUGCUGAGAACACCUCAUUACUGACAUGAAAUGCCAUGAUUGCGUCCCAAACCUCAUCAUCCCUUCUGCUUGCCAGCCAAUUUAUUGCUCCAUCGCACGUUACAGGCCGAUGAUGAGCAUAAUCAGCGAUACAAGGAACACCUGCCUGGAUUGUUCUCCAUGAAUCAGUGAUUAAACUAUAAACUUCAACUUCGCAAGCCACUUUGCCCAACAUGGUUGCCUUGUUAUAGGGGUAAUGUAACCAAUCCUCACAAUCUUAUGCUGAUCAGUCCAUCGACAAUAUCCUAAUACAAGGCUGAAAAACACUUCUGCGUGGCCAAAAAACACAUCUCUUGGGAAUGCGAGAGAGAAGAUAGUUUGGAAACGGUUGGUUGCUGCAGGAUUAUACAAGAAGAGUUUGGUUCCUAAAAUUCUUCUCAUCCCAAAGGCUAAACACAUUAAACCAUGGCAUGAACUGCCUAUAGAAACAAGUUCAUGUGCCUCAAUACAUCGUAAAGGAAAAUGAUAUUUUCUAUGUUCAAGAAACCUCUCGUCUCUAAGUACUAAGCAAAAUUGUUUGGAUGGCUGCAUAAUGAUUCAACUAAAUCACAAAGAAAAAUGCAAUAAAGCCAGUUAAAAGAAACAAAUAGAUGGAUACAUAGUCGAAGAUAUUUGGAAAGCAUGGUCUUACUGGAGCAGAAAAAAUGGACGGAAUGAGGAAAUGGCAAUGAGAGAGGGGCCAGGGAUCUUGUGAGACUCUGCACCCCGGGAAAGAAACCCAAUCUUGCACCUCUCCAACUUCCACCAUUGCUGAUUCUUAAGAAGAUGAACAACAUUUUUUUUUAAAUAAAGCGUGUUGACUUCAGUUUAUUCUACUUGGGAUUCUUGUGAUAGUAUAUUGCUCGCACAAGAGAGAGAAAGAUGAGAGAUGGAAGCCUUCAUUUUGGCGGAUGGCGUGAUCUAAAGAGCAUUUUGUUUCACGCCUUUGAAACCAGGUAGCAGUUAUAUAUUACUCGGUUUUGCCAUAAGAUGCCCGUCUAGACCUCCUUCGUGCACCUAUUCCAUUUAUUUUCUGUCUUCUCAUUGGACACAUUCCAUAUUUCUUUUCAAGUUUUCAAACAAUUCACGUGUAGACAUCUUUUGGACGAAUACUCGAUGGGCACCCGUUAAACAAAUUGUGAAUAUAAACAUAAACAAAAGGUAGAAGGCGAAAAUUUUGAAAAGAAGACCAAAAUUAGGUCAUUGGCAUGAAAUAAAUUGAGUGUGUCAAAAUAACUUGCGGAUGGUAAAUUUCCUAGACAAAUUAAUUUUUGGGUAGAAGAAGGUUUAGACUCGGGGAAUGUUUCCCCGUUACGAAUAGAAACAAGUUCUACUCGUCCAAAAAUAUGUUAGAAAAUAUUUUCAAUGCUUAGAAAAGUUUGUCAAAACUUGAAAAAGUUGUAAAAUAUUAACUGUUUCUUUUCUUCAAUUCUUGGGAGAAGGGCAGAAAUAAUAAUCUAAGUCGUUUAUAGUUCAACACUUGACACAUUUGAUCAACUAAAUCCCAAUAAAAUUCUUAUUUUGUUAAAAAAAAAAACUUUGCAUGAUUAUGUUUGAAAUGAAUAAGAUCAUUUGUGUCGUCCCAACUCCUACAUGUUCUCAAUAAUACGAAUCUUAUGAGCUGGUGGUCGCAUGCUAUUUCAAGAUCCAAUAAUGGGUCGUUGGGUCCAAUGAAUAGAAUUAAAAUCAAAUCACUCAAAAUUCAAGACUUAGUGUUUUAAAGCAUCAAUUUGAUUCGAUUUGUUUCGAUUUGAUGUUAGUAUGAUUCAGGGAUUGUGCGUGUGGGACUUGGGAGAUGUGCACAAGGAUUGAGCUCGAAGAAAAAAGCGGAAAAAAUGAAGCUGACGCGGAUCCACGAACGGAUCCAUGAGGGACAGGUCCACGGGUCGUUCCUUUAGUUCUCUUUUUUUUUUCCCAAAACGAAACAGAUUCUAGCUGAAAAUGACGAAGGUAAGUAAAACGAAUGGGGUUAGGGGUGCUAGCAAGUCAAGCUGCUCGCGAGCUACGGUGCUAGCAAGUCAAGCUACUCGCGAGUAGCUCGCGAGCAGUUUGAUCAAAAGCUUGACUCGAGCUCGGUAAAAUCGAGCUCGAACUCUACUCGUUAAAUUUAACGAGUCAAGUUUGAGCUCAAGAAAUAAAUAUUCGAGUGCUCGUCGAGCUUAAUCGAGCUUUCAUAUUUUAUUUAUAUUAUAUAUUUAUAUUAUAUAUUUUUAAAAAAAUUAUAGAUUUAUUUCAAAACUCGAGCUCGAGCUCGAGUAGCUCGGGCUUGAUAUUUUACUCGAGCUCAAACGAGUCGAGCUCGAGUUUAGUUUUAUUUCAUCGAGUCGAGCUCGAGUCUAAAUUUUUUUACUCGAUCGAGCUCGAGCUCGAACUCGAGUAGCACAAAUUUUGAUCGAACUCGAGCUCGAGUAUGGUGCUACUCGAACUCGACUCGGCUCGAUAGCACCUCUAAAUGGGGUUCAACCGUUCAAGUGGCCUUUUGCUUUUUAUCAUUUUCUACAUGAAAAAUGUAAGACACGUAUCAACAUAUUAUUGGUAUCUGUACUGAAGAGUUGACAUUCAGCUCGUGACUAUAUAUUAUUGAUUUAUUUUAAUCAAAUGGCAACAUCCCCCAAGCGGAGAGCUCGGUCGCAUGUGGUAAUAUCUUGUAGGUCACCAAUUCAAAUCCCGCUCAGACAUCGCGCUUGCAUUUUUGGACAAGGCUUUGUAAAUUAGGAGGUGAAUUAGUCUGGCUAAAUUCAGAUACUGACAUCGCGCUUGCAUUUUUGGACAAGGCUCUGUAAGUUAGAAGGUGGAUUAGUCUGGUUAAGUUCAGAUACCACCUUCUACUGAGGAAGGAAAAAAAAAGCAUAUAAAGCUCACUUCACUCGCAUUGUUUUGAUCACCAGUGUCCCAGACACCAGGGGCGGAGCCAGAAAAAAAUCUUAGUGGGGGCACAAAUAAUACUAAAAUUUUUUAUCUACUCUUUUUUUAAUUUUUUGAGCAAAAAUAAAUAAAUUCACUAACAAGUACAAUUGAUAUGUAUAUUCCAUGAAAAAACAUAAAAAGACAAACUCAAAAUUAUUAAUGUAAUAAUAAUUUUAUUUAAAAACUUCUUUAUUGUCAUUUUUUGCACCUUCAUUAUCCUUGGCUUCUUCUUUAUUAGAUGGCUCUUUUUCCAUUGAUUUCCUCUUGAAAUAUCUCUCCAUAGCUAAAGAAAUUAAAAUCAAUAUAUAAGAUACUAAUCCAAUUAAAAUAUUAAAUGUACAAUAAAAUCUAAUAAUCUAUCCAAGAACUAUUUUACAAGUUAAAGUUAUUUAUUAAAUCAUUAAUCACAACAUAUCAUUACUAUAUCAAAUCACAACUUAUUCAUUCAUUACUAUAUCAAAUCAUUAAUCAGAAUAUAUGAACCUAAUCAAGUUAAUUAGACAAAAGGAUCCAUAUAAGAAUAAUUUAAAAGUUAAAAUAUAUGUCAAAUGGCCCUCUAUUCAUCAUUACAUUAACUCCAAAUAAGAAACUAAUCAUGGAAAAUAAAAAAUAAAUUAUAAAUCUAUAAGAUCACCAUUUCACAAGUUAAAAUAUUUAUCAAAUAUCAAAUAACCCAUUUAUUAGUUAUUACAUUAACUAAUCAAUUUUCAAAUUUCUCUAAAACAGUAAUAAUCCCAUACUCUAGAAAUAUAUUUGCAAACAAAUUUAAAAUAAUAAUAAUAAGAAGUAAUUGUUUAAAACCUAAUUUCAAUGGUUUCCCAAAAUUGGUGAAAAGAGUUGCAAAUCAGUGGCACUGUGGCAGACUUAGGUCCCUUUACUUCCUUUGUGCCCCGUAUCACGUUAUUUAAUUGGAAAGAAGUCAGCUUCAAGGAUUGGUUUCUUGCGAUUGAACUGAAGAAAGCAGGUCUUGGUUUUCAAAAGCCUACUCCUUUAAUGGAACACUGUUUGAAGUAGUCAACAACACCAGAGACCAUUUUCAGUGGGGACAACCAAGAGGCAAAAGAGGAAAAGAAAAUUGGGAAAUGGGGACAAAGGAAGUAAAUGAUUAAUGAUGAUUGGAUGAAGUAAUAAAAAAAAAGAGUAGUUAGUUGGGUGUGGAAGAAGAGGAGUCGUGGGUUGUGAAGUAAAAUGGGGGACCACAGGAGUAAAGGGAACUUGGAGAGUGGGGACCAAAAGUAAUGACUGAUAUAAUUGAUAUUUGAUCCUUAGAGGAGGAAAGUGAAUGAUAUAAAUUUUGUGACCCAUUCUUUCAUAUUUUUUUAAAAAAAUUCUGGGGGCACCAGUAAAAUUGUAUCAAAAUUAUAGGAGUAUUAUAGGAAUUUAAGGAGGGCAGUGGGGGCCGUGCCCCCAGUGCCCCCACUGUAAAUCCGCCCCUGCCAGACACUAAAGGUCACAUACUUAGAUUUAGAUCAAGGGUCUGUCUAGUUGAAAUUUUGUUCAGUUUUAUCCAGUUGUAUAAUUCAUACAAUAUUUGGUAUAAACUAUUACAACUUAGAUGUAAAUAUAAAUUUUGUCAACUCGUAUGACUAAUUCAUAAUUAUACCAUAUUUGUAUGUAAAACAUUGUAAGAAUCACAACAGUUGGACACAAUCAAUUGAAGAAGCUGCUGAUCCCGUGGCUCCACUUUUCACAUCUCUUCUUCAAACACUCCACUUUCCACAUUAAAUCAUGGGACUAAAACAAGAUACUUCAGUACCAAGAUUCAGCCCAAAGAAAAGGAAUAAGAAAAUUUUGGUGACUAAGAAAAUUUUACAAUCCACCCUUUUGUUGGACGAAACAUUUUUAAUUCGUGCGGUAAUACAUCAUCUUUUAUGGUAGAAGAAACGGCAAUAUACACUGAACUGAAAGGUCAUUCAUUAUAUGGUAGGCAAAAAGGUUCAGGAAUCAUCUACGCCUGCAAAAAAAUAUAUAGAAAUAGUAGUCAGGAGAGAUGUCUACACAAGAAGGUAUCAGAGCUUCAAAUUAGAGCAAUCAGAGAAUCUCUCUACCUUGUUAACUAUGUUGUUCCAGAUCCAGUCCAGCCCCUCAUAAAGCCCUUCCCCAGAGAUGGCACAUGUGCUUUGGAUAAAGCUGAGAAAGGCAAGAAAUCAGUAUUCAGUGCAGGAAAUCAGCUCGUUCGUGCACAUGUUUGCACUUACUUAGGAGACAGCAGAGUUGGAGAGAGAGAUUACCAGUUACGGCGAUGGAGGAGGGAGUGAAGACCAAGCUUGUCUGCAAUUUCUGCAGCGGUCAAUGCAUUUGGAAGAUCUUGCUUGUUUGCAAACACCAGGAGGAGUGCGUCCUUAAGUUCAUCCUAACACAUGCAUCAGUUCAGAUCAUUUUUACAAGGAUCAGCGCAUGUCACUGAUCUUCCCUGCAUUUUGGAAUCCUGGUAAACUGAUUUCAACAGGAGGGGUGCACCCUCAAUCAAGCAUCUAAUCACCAUCAUGACAUGGAAAUAAGCAAAUCAAAGCAAGAACUACAAGGAGAGUUCAUCCAUGUUGCAUGCAUGUUUCUGACUUCUUCCAUUAAAAAAAAAAAAACAAAUGCAGCUUAAUAAAAGUACGUUCAUUUCAAAGCAAUGGAUUAGUAUACCGGAUCAAUACCUGACUCAACAGCUUUUGCAGGUACUCCCGAGCAUCAACAACACGAUCUUGGUCAUUGCUAUCAACAACAAGGAUCACUGCUUCAAUGUUUUGGAAGUAAUAUCUUGGCAAUGGUAGUCUCUGAAGAUGAGAAUCAUCAUGGGGCUUACUCUUUGUGGUGCCAAUUCAUAAAAGUAAAAUGUGGAGAAUACUCAAUUUUCACGAAGCACAAACAGGGUUUAUACAAAUACCCCAUCUCGAUUUGAAAACUGAGGUGUUAAAUUACACAUCAAAGGCAAGGUAUAUCACUUACAUUGUUCUGGCCUCCAAUGUCCCAGAAAGUAAAGCUCAUGUUCUUGUACUCCAGGGUCUCCAAAUUAUAUCCUGGUAUAAAGCAAAAUACUUCACUCACUAGCAGUCAACCAGCAUAUAUAGCAAUUGAAAUACAAUGUAGAACAAUAAACAGGAGGACUGUCAAUGAAUUAACAGAACAUACCAAUCGUAGCACCCGUAGCUACAACCUCCCCUCUCUUGAGCUUGUACAAGAUAGUAGUUCUCCCAGCCAUAUCAAGGCCAACCAUUAGUAUGCCAAUCUCCUUCCUUGGAAAGCUUGGUGAAUGACAAACCCAUAAUGUUUCCUUGUUAUGUCUGCAGCAACCAGAAACAAAAAUAAGCCAAAUCAGGAUACAAAGAUUUGGAAACCAUUGCAGUGAGGUGAUGACAUUAACAGGAGCCACUGAGACUCCUUCAUGAAAGAACUCAGCGAGUUUACAUCAAAAUAACUCGAGUCUAAAAUCCGAAAAUUAAGGCUUCAGUUUCGAGGGUUUAUUGACGGGAAUCAGGGAUACGAGCAUGGUUUAAAGUCACGGUGGCGGUCGCGGGCGCGGCCCGGAACAUUCCACAUCGGUCUCGGCAUAUCGGUCGCGGUCUCGGUGAGAUGCAAAUUUUAAAGUAGGCUAAAUAAAAAUAAUUAAAAAAUAGCAAAAGAAAUGGCCAAGUCAAUCCGUCGCGAUGUGACUCGGUUGAUUUCUCGUCUUGACUCGGGAUAACUCGGAGUAACUCGGUGUGACUCGGCCGAGUCAAUCCGUCGUGGUGACGACUCGGCCGAUUUCUCGGCGAGUCAAGUAUUUCGGUAUCGUUUCGUCACGGUAUCGUAUCGGUAUGGGCCGAGACGGUGACGACUCUGCCGAGACUUCGAACCAUGGAUACGAGUCCUCCUGUUACAUAUUACAAUUACGCUAAUUCUUCGCAGUAGAUCCUGUGUAAUAGCUUUGAUCAGGCAAAAAGAUGAUUUUUAGAUUAAAACACAUGAUUCUGAAACUGUUAACAACAAUGACACUGCUGUCAGACAAGUUAGAUUCAAAGGAAGAGAAAUCUAGCACCUUCAAGAGGAAGCCUUUAAAGCCCACUUAACCAACAACACUAAUUCUGCUUGAUUUCACUUUCACCAAGUCAAUACCAAGCCCUUGAACCAAAGCUCUCAAUAUCUGCAAUUCUCAUGGAAUAAUAUAAAUAAUUCACAAGUAAUUGGAGGAAAUAAAUUCACUCCAAGUAAAUGUAUCAAUCUCUCAAUUGGAGGAAAAAGGUUGGCAGCGGAAACGAUAAAAGGAGGCAAUCAAAUGAUUUUAUCACUCAAAGUCUGUGCAUCCUAUUGUUUCUUUGCAACAUCAGUACUGGUAGCAUAUAUAUAUAUAUAUACACAUGGAUAUGGGGAUGAUUAAGGGGGUUUCACAAUCAAUUGACUUAGCUUUCUUAGCUACAAGGAGAACACCAAGGUCAAAGUCAAACCCACUAGCAUGCAACCUCAAUCUAGCCAAUCAAAUCAUUUGCUCAGCCAAUAAUCAUCACUAAAUAAACUAGCUAGUUAGUUCUCACAACCCAAGAAAACUUGAUGCCAACAAAACCUACCAAUCAAUUUUGGACACCUAACACACCCACACACACACACAACUUGGUUUAAUCUACAGCAAAUUCAAGUUAGUAGUCCACACGCAUUAAGGAAAUUGUUACUAAUUUUCUGACAUCUUAGAUAACAUUUGCUCCUAUGUCAAAGGAUGCAAUUACAAGACCAUAUACAACUUUCUUUCAAUAGAGGGGCAUAGGCCAUUUCAUUGCAUGAUCUGUGUCCUCAUGGCCUAAAUCUUUUUGUUGGCAAAUUUUUCUCAAGGCUAUGAACUGCGUUAUCUUCCAAAUUGACAGAAUUCACAUUCUAGUUCUCAUCCCAGUGCCAUUAUUAUGUCCUUUGCUUCUAAAUCAAUUAGCUGCAUCUUUUUGAAAAAGUAUUAUUAUGCUUUCUCCAUCUUGUGUUUGUCUCCUCAAUGAAAUUCUAUCUGAUGAGACGUUGUGUUCUCAAUGAAAUUCCUUCUCAGGGGUUGGGACAAAAUCUUUGAUCCAAAAGUGCAAAGUCAAAAAAGCUUUUUACGGCAAUUACAAUAACUCUUCAUACUAAACCUAUUGUUAUAGCUUCUUGAGUGUUGACAAUAUUCUAAUUUAAUCAAAUCAAAUCACAUUUUAUGUGGCUAUAUAUACCAAAGCCGUUACUACCCAUGAUGAAUUUCCUGAUACAUUCUACGCAAAAGCUGCAGCUUGUUGAAAAGCCUCUAAUCUGAUUGAUCACAUCGCUACCCAUUUAUGAUGGUGCUGUCAAAGUUACUGAAAGGAUACAUACAAGCAUCAAUGAAUAAAUUAGAACAAAGUUUUCAUCAGCAAUAUGAUACAUGUGAUUGCUGAAUUAAACAUCAAUAAAGUAGAAACUAACUAUUGCUGGCAGGCACGUUGAUGUGGUUAACAAUAGCCAGAUCAUUUUGAAGACAAAAUAAAGAUAAAAAAGUGAAAUACUUAUACUAAAUAUGUAACAACUCUUUUGAUGCUUAUUGAGAAAUAUUUUUAUAAAUUAAUAGAUGUACACUCAUUUUAGAUUUCAUAUGACGAUUUAGGAUAACUAAACUUUGUUAUAAGGAAAUGAAAGCAAAUAUAUUUCUCAUAAAAAAGAUAACUAGCGCACAAAUGUAAAUAGAGAUCUAAAUUAGAAAAGCAAAAGAAAAUGGAAAAGAGUCAUGAGAAAAAUUUUCUAUGAUAAGGGCAUAAUUGUCUUUUCAUACUCAUAAACAUUCGGCUCUUCGUCAUUAGGCUUAGGGGGCGAUUUACAGGCUUUGUGAGUGAUGUGCCAUUGACUGCUAAUUAUAGGGAAGCGAUAUGUAAUUAUUGUUAAAUGCUGAAACCCCGCCCCCCCCCCCCAUGAACUAUAUACUUUGUUGCAAUUUAUCUUCCAAACUAUUUUUAUAAAGCCCUUUGCCUCCUUUCGUGAUAUAGUUGGACAAAUCUACCCCUUUUAUCUUAAGCAUUGUUAUUUUUCUUUUUUCCAUAUCAUUUUCUUUUAAAAUUUUUCAUCUUUAUUUUCUUUAAGCAUUAUUUAGAUCAAUAUACUAGAUCAGUCAAAACUUCCUUAUUUCUUAAUUCGCAUCUCAAUAUUUUAUAAAAGAAUUCUAUGGUAUACAAGAUUUUUUUUUUUUUUCAAAUGUUGAAGUCAAUGUCAUUUAAGAAAUUGAAUAUUUAGAUACAUAAGAACAAAAGAGAUAUUAAUUAAUCAAUUAUUACUAGUAUCAAUAACAAAUAAAAAUGAACUAUUAUUGUUGUUUCUUCUUAUCUUUUUGUUUCACUACACAUAACAAUUGUGAACUUUUCUUUCUUACGUGAUAUAUAAUAUGUUAUUUUCGUUAUAAAUAGUUGAGUAAUUGUGAACUCUAAUUAGUUUAUAGGUACUUAAAUUGUUGAAUUACUAGAUAAACACAGUUUACACUGUAAGCUAUAUAUUUUUUCUAAUAAAAAAGAGUUUAUUAUGAAUUAUUAAGAAUGAAUUUAACAAAUAAACAAAUUAAAAAAUAGUUUAAAAAUAUUAAAAAAUUUUUAUGCAAAUAUUGGCUAGUUCCAUGAGAGAAAGGGAAAAAAGAAGAAAAGAAAAGGAAAAAGAAAAGGGAGAAAAGGAAAAAAAUGAAAAAAAAAAGAAUAGAGUAAAAAGAAAAAAAUUAAUAUAGUAGGGGUAGUGUUGUCCAAAUAUAUUAUUCGAGGGGUAAAAUGCCUAUUAUUAUAGUUCAUGGAAUAAACUGCAAUUGGAUAUAUAGUUUGUGGUGUGUGUGUAUUUAUUUAUUUAUUGUCCAAACAUAUAAUUCGGGGAGGUAAAAUGUCUAUUAUUAUAGUUCAUGGAGUAAAUUGCAAUUGGAUAUAUAGUUUGUGGUGUGUAUUUAUUUAUUGUCCAAACAUAUCAUUCGAGGAGGUAAAAUGUCUAUUAUUAUAGUUUACGGGUAAACUGUAAUUGGGUAUAUAGUUCAUGGUGUGUGUGUAUAUAUAUAUUUAUUUAUUUAUUGUGCUUUGAAGGGCUAUCAGUCCAUUGGAUGCGAAAAAUCUUCGGAUUGCAACCUAGAUCAGGUCUGGUGCCAGAACUUAUUCCAGUAGCUACGGGGAUUUGUCUAAGAUCUUCAAUUUAUGGAAUUGACUUCGACUCUGCUUUGGUAACCAGUCUGCACCAUAGUUCUCUUCCAUCCAUCUAUGGACAACGCUACAUUCGGAGUCCAUGGUGAUGCUCUUGAAUGUUUUUUCGUGAUUCAAAGCUGUUAUCAUAUUUAUCCUACUGUCUCCGCAAUUCUUUUCAGUUUGUACGGUGUAACACAAACUAGAAUAUAGUGGAAGAUAAUUAAUCAUGGAAUCUCUUUUAUGUCCCACUGGAUUGAUCUUUGAAAGCUUUUUAGUAACCAAAAAAUAUUUUUUGUUUUCUCUCGCUCGAAAUAAUUCAAUUGAUUGAAUUCGAGUUGAGUUGGAGCUCGAAUCAAGUCAAUUACGCCCAAUGUACAAGUGAUCAAAAUGAUCCAAUAAAACGUCCGAUUUCAUUCAAUUUGAUCCCUUUUUCUUUUCUUCUUUUUUUGAUUUUUGUAUGCAUCCUUGUAUUCCUAGUGUGGAUGGAUCCCAAAGGCAAACGGGCAAUUUUUAUUCUACAAGUUUUUGUAAAGAAGCUGGCAAACACUUGGCCCGAUAAUAGGGAUUAACUGAAAGUGCCUUUAUUCAAGAAAGACAAAUUAAAGCUAGCGUUCCAUGCAUUGCAUGAAUCCCAAAGCCCAACAAGAAAUCCUUUUCCGUUAUUCACCAAUUCUUUUUUUCCCAGUGGAAAUAAUUUCUUUCUAAGCUUUCUGUUUUUGUAUGACCUUCUAUAGUUGUCCUCUAGUACUACAAACUUUAUAUAUAUCCCAUAAUUUUCUUUCAUCACGAAGAAGAAGAAGAAGAAAGCAAGUUCCUUUCUUUUUUUCCUCUUCUUCGGUAAAGUAAUUCUUGAUUUUUUUUUUUCUUUCACCUCUUCCUUAUUUCGUUUGGCCUCCAUUAUUCAUCCAAGAAGUUGAGAAUUGGAGAAAGAAGAAAAUGGCUGGUGGUUUCUUGCCUUUCCUGACGAUGGUUAUUCUUCAGCUAGGCUAUGCUGGAAUGAACAUUGUAUCAAAACUUGCCAUGGAUUCAGGCAUGAACCCUUUUGUUCAUGUUGCUUACAGGCAACUCUUUGCUACCUUAUCCAUCGCCCCAUUUGCUUAUUUCUUGGAGAGGUACGUUGCUAGUAGCUGCGGAUUUAAGUUGAUUUUGCAUGUAGAAUCAACAUUUGAUAAUCCAGGCAGGAGUUUCUUGAACUUCAUUAGAGUCGAAAUGUGGUAUUCCAAUGAAACUGGAUUGAGUGUCAAACAUUAAAAGCUAAUUCACUCAACAUACAACCAUUUUUUCAUGGACUCUGCAGAUUUACUUGGACCAUCAAAGUGAAAUUUUAUGAUGAAUCUCCUCGCUUGAUUAAGAUAACACUGAUUUUUCUGUGUGCAUGUUCAUAUCGAUUGUAGUGCAUGAUCCUUGUGGUAAAAUUUCUUUGAUCAUUUGAUUUUUCUCGUCCAACAAUCAAGAAUCAAGAUAGAGAAGGAUUCUCUUUUCAAGUGUGGUCUGUUCACAUGAAAGGCACCAAAUGCUUUAGACUACUAUACUACGGUUAUGGACUGAAGAAAUAUCAAAUUCUUAAAAACCUGGAAACAAUAUAAAGAAAUUGCAACGCAUGCUUGAUGAUGGAUGUUUCACGGUUUGUUCGUGCUGUUUCUCACACAAGUCAAGCAGCCAAGCAGAGCAGUACCGCCCGAAAUCUGAUUUCUGCCUGUUCUUUCUUGCUUUGUCGCCCUUUUCUCGAUAGCUGCAGCAGCCCUUUUCUUCUUCUUUUUCCACCUUCUAUUUUAUCCUGCCUUCUUCCGGUUUCGAAAGAUACGUGUUAUUUUUUCCUGCUUCAGAAAGCAUGGAGACUUUUGAGAGUUUAACCAUUAACUCUCCAAAAGAACGUGAUGAAAGAGCGAUACUCUCUGUACUUAAAAUUUUUUUGUCCUGGUUUAUAUCCUGUACUAUUGGUAGUUCAUGCAAUCUGAUCUUACUAAGCACAUAUCCGAGUAGUUGAUGAAUAGCUCAAACAAAGCUGAAAAGGUGAUGAACCAGAACCAAUGAGAGAAUCUGUCUGUAAACUAUAGAGCCAUCUCCGAGCAAAAGCCUAACUCUAAGCAGUAAUACAUACUUUAGCAUAUAUUUCUUGUAAGGAUAUGUAGCCAUUUCUGUUAUUGUAAAACGAAUAGCUAUUUAACUGAAACUCAAGAAUCUUGAUGUAUAAAUGCAGGGAAACAAGACCCCGGUUAACAUUCUCGAUCCUUUUCCACAUUUUCAUGUGUUCUGUUUUUGGGUAAGUACGCGGCUAAACUCUUAUCUUUCUUGGGUUAAGAUGCUAUAUUUGGUACUAUCACUUUGCAUAGGUAGAUUUAUGCAAUAUUGGAAAGUAUUCCAUCAAGGAUAGUUAGUUCUGAAGCUAGAAUCUUCUAACUUAGGCUGAAAAUACAGGGCAACCGUGAACCAAAUCACAUAUUUUGUGGGGCUAAAGAAUUCUUCUCCAACUAUUGCUUGUGCCUUGUCAAACCUAAGCCCAGCAGUCACAUUUAUCCUGGCUGUGCCUUUAGGGUAAUUUUCUUCUUCCCUCUACAGAAUGCAAAUUCUACUCCUUUCUUUUUGCCAAAAAAGGCACACUUGGUUCAAAGGAUUUUACGUGUUGCUAAUACGUGUUUGACAGAUUAGAAAGUGCAGGACUGAGGGCUAAGGCAGGACAGGCCAAGGUAUUAGGGACUGUUGUGUGUGUUGGUGGUGCCAUUCUAUUGUCAUUUUACCACGGGCCAGUUGUCGGUGUGGGGCAGUCAAGAAUUCAUUGGAAAUUUGCGGACAACUUGAGGAAUAAAACUGUUAGCAACCAUGUAAAUUUUGUACUGGGGCCAUUUAUGCUGGUAGCUAGUUCUGUUUCCUGGGCAGUAUGGCUAAUUAUCCAAGUAAGCAUAAGCAAAUUCUUUCGGGUCUGCACCUUAAGCUUAUCUGUAACCUCCAUAUGCUGUCACCAGAUGAACUAAUGAUGGCUUCCUAUUAUUCUAUCAGGCCAGGGUGGGCAAGAUGUAUGCUGCUCCCUAUUCUAGCUCAGCAUUGACAUGUUUCAUGGCCAGCAUCCAGUGUGCGAUUAUUGGCUUUUGUUUCGAUCACCACUUAUCUGCAUGGUCGUUAUAUCCUGCCAUCCGAGCAGUCUCAAGUAUCUAUGCGGUAUGAACCACUGCAACAUGCACACAUUGGAGCUUAAAAGGCACAUAAAUGGGAGAGCAUAUGAACAAAUGACUUGCUACAAUUUGUGAUUCAGUCAAGCUGGUCCUUUUACUUUCUGACUACAGAUUGCCCCUAUUUAGAAGUUGCUUGUUUAGUCAUUUUACUUCUUUUUCCCCUCUUCCCUAGCUUAGACCUAUUGAUCCGCUUGUUAGGCAACGAUUUGUGUUAUGAUUGUUCUUGUUAAAAACAUUCAGCUGAUAGGAAAGGACUAAUGCAGGAUGGGACUUUGCUUUUCAGGGAAUUGUCUGUACCGCAUUAGCAUUUUGCCUCAUGUCAUGGUGCAUCGAACGAAAAGGACCCUUAUAUGUCUCGGUUUUCAGCCCUUUGCUGCUUGUCAUUGUGGCUAUUCUCAGUUGGGCAAUACUUCAGGAGAAACUAUACAUUGGAAUGUAAGUAAACUAACUACUCAGACAGGAGUACUAAUUUUUCAGUUUGAUAUCCCCCUCAUUUACUGCAACUAAACCAUUUGUCGCGAAUCUUAUUUAGGCCAAAACAAAAUUUCAUGGAAAAUCAGAACAUAAUUGUGUGAGCAUUCAUUGAUGUAGUAGUUGUUGUGGUUGUUGCAGGGUAAUAGGAUCUACCCUGAUUGUUAUGGGACUUUACUGCGUCCUCUGGGGAAAGAAUGAAGAGAUGAAGCCAACUAAAACUCCUGAUCAGGAGGUAGAUUCUGGGAAGCAGUUUACCAUGGAGGAUUUGGAAUUACAAUUGUUCAAGAAGUCAAACACUUCUGCAGGCACGAAUGGAGAGAAUUAGCAGUAUCACUACCUACAGUUCACUGUAAUAGCUCCACAAUCAAAGUCAAAGAUUUUGUGUAACUUGAAUCCAAUUGGUAACCAGAAAUUCAGGCUUCCCUGAUUUGCAUCUCACUGCAGGUUUAUGAACUAGGAGAAUGAGUAGUAAUAAUUGAAAUUGAUUGAAAAUGUUUCUUGAUGCUUUGUAGUAAUGCCAACUAGAAAAAACCUGAAAGAAGGACUUCAUUAGAUAAGUUCCCAAUUCAUUCAGUCCCAUAUGCUCAAUACAAUGAAGUGACUCCAAUACAGGGGUUUAGUUAACAUUCUUCAGAAUUUCUUAUUUGCCAUUUAGAAGGAAAAAAAAAAAAAAAAAUCUCUGAGUGCAUCAGUUGUGGCUACAGUUACUUCCAGAAAACACAGCAUGAAGGAUAGUAUCCAAAGGCGGACUUCGCGUUCUUCAUUAAGGCGCCGGUCCUGGUUUCGAUUCCGAGCUUGGGCAGCUUGGGGUAUUUUCUCGAGGAUCGGUGGGCCCGCUCUCCUUGGGGUUAAGGGACUAGUCGGGUAUAGGCCCGGAUACCCUUAACUGAAAAAAAAAAAAAAAAAAAAGGAUAGUAUCCAAAGGCAUUGGUUAAGCUCCUCUUCGAAACUAAUGCCUUUGGGACCAUACAAAAUAAAUUAUUUUAAAGUCUUCUGGCCAUUUGUAAUAUUUGUACUUAGAAUGAAAAUAUUAGAACGAAUCCCGCACGAAAGUGAUGAUUGGAAAAUGGAAAUUGGUGGCAUGAUGUGUUUUUCUUAAACAUAAAAUUGUGAUAUUAACUUCAUAUCUCUAUUCUAAAUUCACACUUUGUACAAAUUUCUAUGCCAAUGUUUCCGCUCAUUUAUACUAGGAAAAUCCUAAACUAAGGAAUAUAUAAAUGACUUAAACGACAUAAACAAACUAAUCAAUAGCAUACGUCAUUGAUUUCAGGAAUUUUUGUAUUUGUAUCUAUCGUUUAAGAAUGUCGUGAUUCAGAAUCGUUUUUUAUUGAUGAACUCUCGACAGUAAUACUACAAACUAACAGGCACCAAAGGUGGAGUAACUUGUGAAUGGAAAGAAAGGCAAGUUAGAUGAUUUUCUUUUCUGUUUUCUUUAUGCAUAAAAAAAAAUUAAAUUACAUUGGUAACUACGAGCUUGGAAAAAGCAACGAACCCUAGAAGUUAAGAGUGUUGUUCACCUAUGAACAUAAACAUUACUCCGUUGUCAGUGGGAACCAUUGUGACACAAAUAUAUUUUUCAUCGUGAAAGUGUGGGUUUCUCUCUCUAUCUCUCUUACUUUGUUUCCCAUAAACUUUGUGAUUUCAAGCUAUCCUUACAAUUAAUUUAUGUCAGGUUGAGUUUACCAUUCCCUCCGUCCUACUUUGAUAGUCCUGUAUUCCUUUUUCAUCUGUCCUAAAUUGUAGUCCACUUUCCAAUUGAAGAAUGUAGUUGUAUUUUAAUUUUUCUAAAAUACUCUUAUUCAAUGUAAGUAAUUGUUAGUAUAAACCUACCCCAUUUAAUGAGAAUUGAUUCUUUUUUUACCAUCAAUUCAAGUUCUCAUUAAAUUGUAUCAUAUUUAAUGUGAGGGUAUUUUAGGAAAAUAGCAAUCUAAAUUUACUUUUCCAACAAAAUUAACUACUUUUUCUUAAACUGUGUGAAAAAAAAAAAAACAGGACUAUCAAAGUGGGACGGAGAGAGUAUAUAAAUACAAAUUCAGAAAAAAUAUUGGAAAAUAAAAAGAGAAAGAAUAGAGAGAAAAGCAAAAGAAAUAAAGGGGAAAAAAACUUAGAGCCAGUAGAAUGGAUGGAGAUCCUUAUCUAAAAACGUCUUAUGAUCCUUAAGUUAGUAUAUAUAAAGGGAGAGGAAGAAAUAUGACGUAAAAUUUUUUUUUAUCAAUUUUUCUUUUAUCUUAUUUAUCGUACCACUAAAAAGUUUACUAUUAAAACCCUCUAAUAAUUACCAAUAAUUACUUAUUAUUAUUUAGUAACACAAAAAAAAUCACAUUAUACAGCCUAAUAAAACUUUUUAAUUAAUAGCUACUUAUUAUUUUUUUCUUGUAAAUUUUUUUAAAAUUUACACACGCAUAAAGUGUUCAUUUUGCACGAGUAACGAAUUAUACAGGGGGUGGAAUGUUAUGAAACUGAACAGAAGUGGGCAAAGCAGAAAAAGGCAAAGUUCAGGGAGAACAGCAGUGCAUUUGUGUAGGUAACUAGAAAACAUUUGAUAUAUAUAUAUAUAUAUAUAUAUAUAUAUUUUUUUUUUUGGAAGUAUGUUUUUAUUUAUUCAUGGAAAAUAUAACCAAAUAUUCCUCUUACAUAAUCCUCAUUUUUCUAAUUGAAGGUAUCCCUAUUCUGUCCAAACGGAUUGCCCCACGAGCCAAUCUUGGGAAUGUACUGAAGGUAUCAUAAACCUCAAUUUGUUUAUCUGGAUGAGAUAUACCCACAUUAGAUAAAGCAUCAGCAACUGUGUUAGCUUCCCGAUAGCAGUGCGUGAAUCUAGGUGGAUCAUCUAAUAACUGCCAAAUCUGGUUGACGUAUCUUCGAAUUUUCCACGGACACUGAGUACGACGUUGAAUGAUCCUAAUUAAAACCAAUGAAUCUGAUUGUACACAUAUGUUUCCAAAACCGUUAUGUAUACAGAUCUGAAGACCAAUAAGAAGGGUACAAGCCUCUGCACAGAGACAUGUAGUUUCUCCCAGAUAUGCCGAAAAACCAAUCAUUGGUAAUCCAGUGGAAUCCCGGAGUAUGCCCCCACCUCCACCUAUUCCUGGAUUACCCUUAGCACAUCCAUCCGUGUUAAGAGUAUACCUCCCUGUCUCUUUAGUUUCCCAGCGGAUACCUUGAUAUACAACCGUACCCCCAGGUGCCUUUGACCAAUCAUACAAUUGACAAAAGGAUUGUAGUCUUAUCAGUUGUUUAAAAUGUAUUCCUACCAUGGAUUGGAUUUCUGAGAAGAUGGCUUGGCGAAUGGCCGAUGAUUGCAUCUGGACACCCUCAAACAUUGCUUUGUUCCUUGCCUUCCAAAUCUGCCAGCAAAUUACACUAGGAAGAAUACGGCAAAUAAUCCUUCGUAACUCAGAAUCCUGUGAAUACAACCACCAAUCUACUAUGCGUGCUCGUAGAAAAGAUCCUGAGAAUUUUAUUCCACAUAACCCUCCAAAAUAAUUCCAAAGGAAUGACGCAAUGUGUCCAUUGGAGAAUAAAUGCUCAAUAGACUCCUCAGAAGCCUCAGUACAGCAAAAGCACUUUGACGGCAAAUGGAAACCAAAUUUACGAAGCUUAUCCGGUGUCGGUAUUCUCCUCAGAAGUAAUCUCAACAUGAAAAAUGAAACUUUCAAAGGUAUCCGAGGGUGCCAAAUGGAAGCAAAUACCAUAGACGUGGGUCGGGUCUGCCUAAUGUCCCCAAAAGCCGAAUGUAGAGAGAAAUUUCCAGUUGUUGUGGGCAUCCAAAUGACUUCAGCUAUACUUCCUUCUUCUGGGACCAUUUGUUCUGAAAUGGAAUAAGCAAUUUCCUUUGGCAAUGUGUGGUAUAGAAGAUUCAAAUCCCAAUGGCCGUUGUUUACGAAGUUUCGGAACAUCAAAUUUGGGAUAACCGGAACCUUUAGAAACAAUGCACCACUCCCCAACCAGUUAUCGUACCAAAAAUGACACGCCCCAUAUUUGGCCACCCAUAAUAUUGAGAGUUCCACUUGCCGGCUCAUAUUGAUCAUCCUUCGCCAAAUUGCCGAAUCCGUUGGCCUGAGUUCUACCUGACAAGGAUGCAGACAUUUACAAUACUUUGCUUUCAUGAAGGUCGACCACAGUGAUGAUUCUGUUCGGAAUUUCCACCAUAACUUGGAGGAAAAGGCUGUGUAGACGUCACAUAAUCUCCGAAAUCCAAUUCCCCCUUCCUCAACUGGAUAGCACAAUUGAGGCCAACGUAUCCAAUGAAGCUUCGAUUCCUCGGGUGAGGAUCCCCAGAGGAAUGCCGAGCAUGCCUUUUCUAUAGUUUUAAACACCGAACCGGGAAUCACUGCAGCUGACAUUAGGUGAACUGGUAUUGAUGAUAAUACAUGCUUGAUUAGAAUAAUUUUUCCUCCAAAGGAAAGUAACCUUGAUUUCCAAGACAGAAUCCUUGCUAGUAUUGCGUGACAAACUUCUCCAAAAUAAGAUGAUUUGAUGGAACGUUAUGCCCAAUAAACAAUAUCAAAAUGGUAAACAAUUGUGUACGCAAAAUCUAGUUUUACUAGUAGGGAUAUUGAUCAAAUGAUCUUGAAGUUUUUAAUGCUAUUCUCAAGACUUUUCUUUUCCUUUUUUCAUUGUAAGAUUUAGAGUUUUCUGUUGACCAAAAAAUAAUCAAUGAUAUGACACACGUGCACAGUACGUGUUUUUUUUAUUACUAAGUGCGUUAAAUCCAGUGAGUGUAGAAUUGAUAAUUUUACAUUACACUAUGUAAUCUACUUUUUUUUUUGUUUUGAAGGACUAAGUAAUCUACUUGUUUAAUCAUGUAUAAUAAUCUUUGUACAACUUUAAGCUUUGAAGCAUACAAAUAUUAUUUCCAUAAAUAUCAUCCAGCUUACUAUUAUCCCCCGCUCCUCACCUGCUGACGCUCUCCCCAUUCCCUUCUCCACCAGUCUUCUCCACAACUCCCCAACCUAUUUAAGCCGCCAGUUCCCCGUUGGAAAUAUUGACUCUACCAUUCUCCUCCUCUUCGGAUCUUCUGAAUCACUUCUCCUUCUCUACUGUUGUUGUCUUCCUCCUUCUUAACUCAUUAUUUGAGGCCAAUAUCUCUCUCUUAUUCAUGUGGUUAGCUUCUUGUGAUUUUGUUUUUUGUUUUUUGUUUCUUUUUUAAAAGAUUUUUGAGUGCCCUUGAUAAAAGUGAAGUAUAGACUAUUCUAGAAAUGCAUACCAAGGGAAAAAAAAAAAGAAAUGUACACAAGAAUUGUAUGUACAAUAGGAUUUUGAAUUUUGGUAUUCUGAAUCAAAAACUAGAAAUUUGAAAAGUUAGAAUGUGAUAAAAGCAAUUUUUAGAAAGAAAAAAGUCCAAAAAAAACUUUGAAUUGAGGCUAUUUAAUAGAAACUUCUGAUUGUGAGAUGGAAUCCUUGUUUGCGUUUUGCACAAUUUUUUUUUUGGGCAAUUUUGCUGCAAUAGUUUGUCAAUCCAAGAAAAAAAUAUAUAUCUUUUGAAAAAUUGAAGCUUGUUUUAUUCUUUUAUGCUUUUAUAUUGACAAUCCAAAAAUAGUUAUUGUUUUGUGAGAAAAAAUUAGGAACUCUUGUUAGGAGGCGUGAUGUGACCUAUAUCCACAGGGUCUAUAUAGGGGUCAUAGACCAGAUUCACUCAAGUAUUUGCACUUUACAUAUGGGUUAAUGCAAUAAGUGAUUUGCUAAAUUUACCCUUUACAUAUGGAACACGUGAUGAAUUCAUGAUUCACUUUCAUCAAAUUGACCUGAAAAAAUGUUGGAGGUCUAAAUAUGAGCACAUUUUUUAUGGUACGAACUAAAAACUGCUCAUUUCAUUUUGAGAAAUAAAAUUUCACAUCAAUGAUAUGUAAGGGACGAUUGAUACAAUUUUUCCCUUAUGAAAUGUAAUUUUUUACUUAUUGCCAACUAAUACUCAUUUAUCAAACUUCAAACCCAAAACCACGUGCAAUCAAAGUAAGGGCCUAUUUGGCAAAGUGAAUUUUUGCCAAGUUUGUUUUCUACCAGUUUUUUAACAACUUUAACUAUAGUAAUCUUAAAAAAUUUCUCAAAGUUUUUAAAUUAUACACUUCAAAAUACCCAAAACACAAAAAAAAAAUUUUUUCCUUCCUUUUUUUUUCUUCCACCUCAACCUACCACAACCUCUGCUGCCAUCUCUUUUUUUUUUUUUUUUCCUUUCUCUUCUCUUUCCUUCUCCUCUUAUCCUCUCUCUCCCAUCUCUGAUGAGAUAAUCAAAUAUGACAAACAAUAUCUCGUGGAUGUCAAAGCUGUUUGUCGGGAAAGGGCAUUUACUGGAAGUUGUCACAAACAACUUUGAACAGGGACUCAAUGCCGGCUUUCUCAUUGUGCAUAUAGGCUCGGUUUACCUGGUACUCAUUAAUGGUGAUACCACCGACGUUGGCACCGGAAUGAGCAGCGAUGGCGCGCAUCGGGCCGCCGACCCCAUAAUCGGCAUCUAGAAUGCGGGCGACCUUCUUGACGUGUAAGAGAUCGAUAACCAUUUCCUCAUGGAUUCUGGUGGCGUCUCGAUAGGACUUGCUGGGGAUGGAGGGAGAGAAAUGGAAGGAUUGACCCCAAACCCAGUGGUAAAUGUCAGUGACAAGGUUGUAGAAGGUGUCGACGAAAGCGGGGACUUUCUCGGCUGUCUCAAUCUCCUUGGGGCAGCUGAAGAAGGACUAGUACUAUUUGUACUUGUCUUGGACUUUCUUUUUAUUGAUAGAGUCGUCGGAGAGUUGGACGAUGUGCUUCCCUUUCUGUUCGGCGGAGAGGGAGAGGGGAAGGAGGAAGAGAGAGAGAAAGAAAAAAGGAAAAAAAAAUUGUUUCUGCUACAGCUUGUUCUGGCGCAGGAAGGGAAAGGUGGCAGGGGAGGGGAAAGGGAGAAGAAGAAGAGAGGAAAGAAAAGCAAAAAGAAAGAAAAAGAAAAAGAAAGAAACAAAAAAGAAACAAAAAAAUUUUUUCAUUAAAAUUUUUUUUUUACAACUUCUAUAGUAAAUUAUAGUAAAGUUUUAUACAAACAGCCAAAAAACUCAUUUGCCAAACGGGGUCUAAAUUCCUUUUAUGUUUUUGUCCCAUAAUCCCAUUAAAGUCUUCCAUAAUCCUAUGAGGGUCUCCAAUGCAUAUGAUUCUCAUUACAGAAUGGUUCUAAAGAUUAAUAAUUUGACCCAGAAAAAAAUAUCCAUCUUUUCAUUAAGCCAAAGAAAGUUAUUGCACGAAUCAAGCACAAGGAACAUGCAAAAUAUUUAGGGCUUUUAAUUUUAAUUUUUCCAUAAUUAUUUUUUUUGACAUCAAACAACAUGUUUUAGAGAAUCAAUCUAGGUUGUUUUCUAGCUAGAAGUGCACUAAUUAAGAUGAACAAGGGUAUGGAGGUACAAUAAAAGUGCACCAUGUUCAUGAACAACAUAGUGGGACAUUCUAGAUUAUUAGAUUUGGAGCUAUCUUGGUUAUUUGCACCAAAAUUUAGUGCAAGAUUGAGACUUUUGAAAUGAAACUGAGAUGCUCAUUGGAACUUGAAAAGCAGUGAAUUAGAGGUGGAUUGGCUGUUCAACCAAAAAUGUUAGGGCAAAUGACUUUGCAACUAGAAGUGUUGUAGCUGAAGAAGGUAAAUAGGAAUAAAUGAUGGAUUUUGAAAAUUAGGGUUGGGACAGUACUCACGGGUACUAGUCAAAUUUUUCACACGAGUAAUCCGAUUAUUUUAUCGCGUAUAAUGAUAUUCGUGGAGCUUUUAAACUAGGAAGAGUACAUGUGUGAUGUUCCAAGAAUAUUAGUUAACUAUUCUAAUGAAAUCCUUACCUAAUCCCCAAUUGAAAGUCCAUUGCAGAUUCCUAGCUGGGGACUUUUAAGAUUGAUCACACCAGCAAGAAAUUAACUUGCUAUUCUCCUCCGUUGAUGAAAUGCUGCAACUUUCUAUUUAAUCAAAGUCAUAAGUUUUUGAGGGGAAAAAAUGAAUCAUGAGGUUUUUGUAAUUUUUUCAAAUCUCAACAGAGGUGAUUGCAAUCAUUACAAACUUUAGGAGAGACUUUUGAAAUUAUGCCAAAGCCAAGCUUUGUUGUAUUCGUAUAUGUCACCCUUUACGCAAGUUUAGUCCAAGAAAUAGUGUAAGGCACAUAACUAGCACAUGUGUUUUAUUAUUAAGUAUAGAAAAGUCAGAAAAAUAGAAAGCAAAGUAUGGAUGGUACGAUAGGUGUGCGUGGUGUGUGCCGCUUAUUAGAAUGUAUUAUGAAGUAUAAAAAUGCAAGGAAAGUAAAUUUGCACAUUUUACAUGAUACUAGAUAAUCAAAUUGUUUAAUCAUGCAUAACUAAUGUGCUUAUAGCUUUUAAACUUUGAAGUAUACAAAUUAAUAUUUCCAUGAAGAUCAUUUAGUUGUUUUUAACAAAAUCCUUAGUUAGUCCUUUCUCCACCAACCUUCUCCACAACUCCCCAACCUAUUUAAGGAUGGCAAUGGAGCGGGGUUGGGGCGGGGGACUCGCUGCCUACAAAUUCCCCCCGUCCCCCGUCCCCUGCUCCUCCCGCCCCAUCCCCGCCCUGCCCUACCCCGCUUCUUUCCCGGGGCUAAUAAAAAUUUGUUAUAUAAUUUUAUUAUAGUUAAAUUUUAGCAACUAAUCAAGUACUAAAAUAUCAACAUAUCACCAAAUUAUUAUUCAUUGUAAAUUCACAAUUGAAAUUUAUAAAAAUAAUCAAACAAAAGUUAUUUGAAUACAAUCCAACAUGAUGAAAUAAAUACAACUAAAGUAGUCAAAUUUUCAUUUUUGACACAAAUACAAUCACUAAUUCAUUAUUGUGCUUGUGCUUUUUUUUUUUUAGAAAAAAAUGUUAUUGUAUUAAGUGUAAUUAGAGAUUUAGUAUAAAUGUAUUAGUAAAUUUAGUAUAACCAAUUAAUAAUUUGUAUUAGUACACAUAUAUAAUUAUUAAUAUAAUUGAUAAUAUCAAUUAUAUUACAUAUACUAAUAUACAUUAUAUACUACAUAUAACUAAUAAUAUUAUUAUCAUAAGUUUGUAACUAAUUAAAUUAUAUAUAAUUAUAUACAUAUAUACAUUUUAUAUAUUAAUUUUUUAAAGCGGGUGGCGGGGCGAGGGUACACUACCCCGUCCCCCCGCCCCGUUUCUAAGUGAGAGGGAAAAAAUUCCCCCCGUCCCCGUCCCAUUAGCCCCCCGUGCCCCAUUGCCAUCCUUAAACCUAUUUAAGUCGCCAGUUUCCCAUUGGAAAUUAGCUCAUUUUCGAAGCUCCUCACUCACUUCUCCUCCUCCAUUGUUGUUGUCUUUCUCUUUCUUAGCUCAUCAUUUGCCGCCAAUAUCUCUCUUUUAUUCAUGUGGUUAGCUUGUUGUGAUUCUGUUUUUUGUUUCUUUUUUGUUUUUAAGAUUUUUGAGUGCCCUGAUAAAAGUGAAGUAUAGACUAUUCUAGAAAUGUACACCAGGGGAAAAACAAAGAGAAAUGUACACAAGAAUUGUAUGUACAAUACGAUUUUGAAUUUUGGUAUUUUGAAUCAAACACUGGAAUUUUGAAAGGUUAGAAUGUGAUAAAAGCAAUUUUUUUAAAAAAAAUGUCAAAAAAAUUUUGAAUUGGGGCUAUUUAAUAGAAACUUCUGAUUGUGAGACGGAAUCCUUGUUUGCAUUUUGCAUGAUUUUUUUGGGCAUUUUGCUGCAAUAGUUUGUCAAUGCAAGAAAAUAAAUCUAUCUUUUGGAAAAUUGAAGCUUCUUUUAUUCUUUUACGUUUUGUUAUUGACAGUCCAAAAAUAGUUAUUAUUUGUGGGAAAAAACUGUUAACUCUUGUUAGGAGGAGUGAUGUGCCCCAUAGAUGUUACAGGGUCUAUAUAAGGGUCAUAAAUUGGAUUCAUCUAAGUAUUUGCACUUUGCAUAUGGGUUAAUACAAUAAGUGAUUUAUCAAGUUUACCCUUUAAAUAUGGAGCACGUGAUGAAUUCACUCAAGUAUUUGCACUUUGCAUACAGGUCAAUGCAAUAAGUGAUUUGUCAAGUUUACCCUUCAAACUAGAGUUUCCAUAUGAUUCUCAUUACAGAAAGGGUUCUAAAGAUUAAUAAUAUCACCAAAAAAAAAUGUCCAUCUUUUCAUUUAGCCAAAGAAAGUUACUAUACUAAUCAAGCACGAUGAACAUGCAAAAUAUUUAGGGCUUUUAAUUUUAAUUUUUCCAUACUUAUUUGUUUUCGACAUCAAAAAAACAUGUUUUAGAGAAUCAAUCUAGGUUGUUUUCUAGCUAGAACUGCACUAAUUAAGAUGGACACGGGAAUAGGAUGGAGGUACAAUGAAAGUGCAUCAUGUUCGUGAACAACAUAGUGGGAUAUUCUAAAUUAUUAGCUUUGGAGCUAUCUUGGUUAUUUACACCAAAAUUUAGUCCAAGAUUGAGACUUUCUGAAUGAAACUGAGAUUCUCAUUGCAAUUUAAAAUGCAGUGAAUUAGAGGUGGAUUGACUGUUCAAACUGAGAUGUUAGGGCCAAUGACUUUGCAACUAGAAGUGUUAUAGCAGAAGACGGUAAAAGAGGCAUAAAUGAUGGAUUUUGAAAAUUAGGGUUUGGAUCGUACUCAUGGUUACUAGUCAAAAUUUUCACACAAAUAAUCCAAUUAUUUUGUCAUGUAUAAUGAUCUUCGUGGAGCUUUUAAACUAUGAAGAGUACAUGUAUGAUGUUUCAAGAAUAUUAGUUAACUAUGCUAAUGAAAUUCAUACCUAAUCCCCAGUCGAAAGUCCAUCGCAGAAACCUAUAGCUAGGGACUUCCAAGAUUGAUCACACCAGCAAGAAAUUAACUUGCUAUUCUCCUAAGUUGAUGAAAUGCUGAUAGUGUCUAUUUAAUCAAAGGCAUAAGUUUUUUGAGGGGAAAAAAUUGGAUCAUGAGUUGGCAUUAGCUGAAUUAACAUGCAACAAAAUUCUUCACAUGUUGCCCAAAACAAAAAACCCUCCUGCUCAGGGUUGAUAACCCCUGGAAGAGGAAAUUGACAACAAUUUUGUGUUACACUGCUAGAUCUGGAUUUGCUGCCGUGGAUAUUUGAUCUUGAUUGUCAUGAAUGGCUUCCAUUUUACAUCUACAUCAUCUUCAAAGAAGAAGCAAGAUCUUUCUUGAUUUGGUACUGAAACCCCACACAUGUAAUCCUAAUUAACCAGGAAGAAAUUCAUUGUUCAGACCUUAAGACACUUGUAAGUACCAACCUCCAGCUGACCCUGAGACUACUAUGGGGUGAAGGCCAGAAAUUUAUUCAUUCAAGAACAGAAAAGUGAAGAAAACAAGAGAGAGAAGAGGCCACUAACUAGUCACAAUAGCUUCUGCAGGGUGGUAGAUGAGGCUUAAUCUAUAUACAGUAACCACCAGUAAGCGUAAUAUGGAAAAACAGAAAAAGAAAGAAAAUUAAUUUGAGCAAGGAACUCAUAACAAGAGAAAACGGUGCUGUUCACAAAUAUGUGGACAAUUGAUGUCAUAUACUGUUCAGUAUUCUACUGAUUAACAAGCUACAGAUGUUAAAUGGAGAAGUAAUUCAAGAAAUAGUGAAACCACGGAUUGGCAAAUUAAACAAUUAUUGACAGCUUUGGUAAGAAAUGUGUGUGUAUCUACUGAAUCAACUCAUCUAGCUUCGUAGAAAACGAGACUCCCAACAAAAAUAGGAUCUACAUGUCUUACCAAAGCAUCAAGGUUUCGAUGCUCUACAACGUUUCCCUUGCGAUCCCAGGUUGCCAAGAUAUCGCCUUCCAUCUGCACCACAAGCUUUUCAGUCUUUGUAAAUCCAAAUGCCUUGAGUUUCCUGAUGGAUGGAUUGUACAAACAAAUCUUCCUCCCAGUAUAAGUCUUCUGAUCAGUGAAACAGAUUAUUCCAUUGCAAGAAUUCGCAAUAGAUAAAAGGUUAAGAAAAUUGAAAACUGUUGGAAUAUCAAAUUUUCCAUGCUGAACGAAUGUGCUAUCGCAAUAUAAUGAAUAUGAACAUCGUUCAUCCUCUCUUAAAAUAGUAGGCAUGUGCAAGACAUGGCUAGAAUGGCUUUCACAGCUAGUGUAAGACUUAUUAGCAAGCGAGAUACAGUAAUUCUUGGGAUGUUCAUUAAUGAAAAUACGGAUUUUAAUCAGAGAGUACCAUGAGUUUGAGACUGUAGAGAAUCUUCCAAGAGCCUUCACCGGCAAUCUUGAGAGUAUCUCAAUUAUGAUUUCACGUGGGAAAAACUCAAAGAUGGAAGAGUUAACGUCAGAAUUUGACUGAUUAGGAAUACCCAUGUCUCAAAUUCAAGAAUGUCUCCGAAGUCAGAAAAGCAAAAUAAAAGCCCAAAAAAAAAAAAGAGAAAAAAAUGGUUUUGCAAAUUGAGUCCAAUUCAUACGUAUGAAGGUUGAGUGAAAGAUGAAGACAAUUCAGGUAGUGAGUCCAAUGCGAUAAGAGCUCACCUAAACGGGAAAAUUACGACGUCUAAUUAAUGUCUAGAUUGACUUAGAUUCAUGGAGUGCACACGUAGUGGCCGAGGACGUGGGCGCGGGCGUAGACAACCCACGCCGGACAGAGGUGCUGGGGAAACCUCCUAUGGAUCAAACCCUGAACCUAGGAUUGACCCCAACGUUCAAAUAACUGCUGCCAUGUAACAAAUGACUGAUUUGCUAGCCCAAGUAGUGCACCAAUAGGGUCAAAACCCUAACCCCAACCCUGGGAACCCUGGUAAUCACAUAGAGGGCGAGGAUAGAGCCUUUGAGAGAUUUCAAAAGUUCUUUCCACCCAAAUUUCUCGGAGGUCCUGACCCUGAUGUGGCUGAGAGGUGGCUGGAGAAGAUGAUCGAUAUUUUUGCUGCAUUACACUACACUGAGGAGAGACAGGUGACAUUUGCUGUCUUUCAACUAGAAGGAGCCGCCCGUUCCUGGUGGAAUGUCAUUCGAAUGAAGUGGGUAACCAAUCGAUACAAAUAUAGAAAUCCCCAAAAAUUAAGGUAGUGGACAUUAUUUAAUUUGUGGUUGGCAUAUUAUCCUCUGUCGUUUAGAAUAGGAUUUUUCCCAGAUAGAUUUGGAGUUCACCUACAAAAAAGGUACUGAAAAUCAAUACAUGUUUAUUAGAUACAGUCCUAUUCAGAGGAGAAAACGAUGUCAGGAAAACGGAAUUGAGGUAGUUUCAAAGACAUGUGCUUGCUAACAUGGAAAUUAUAUCAUUGAUUGAUUCAUAAGUGGCUUUUCCUUUACAUAUAUAUUAUCUUCAAACAAGAACUAUAGAUAUUUCUUUGCUUCUGAUCCCCAAAAGUUUUCCUAACUGAGAAGGAGUUUAAUAUCCAGAUCUUAGACAUUUGAAUUAUUCCUCCGAACAGCAAGACUGGGUGGAGACAAUUAAUUCAAGAACAGAAAGAAUGAACGAAAAAAAAAAUCCGUCCACAAUAAUAUCUGCAGGGUGGUAGAGGAUGCUAAUAUAGAUGCAGGCACAACACCAUUAGCGGUAAGCAUGAAACUUAUAACCCUCCUCCCCCGGCCCCGGCAAACCAAAAAAGGAAAACAAAAAGAAGAAAGAAGAAGAAAACUCGUAAAAGAGUACCAUGAUUUGGCGACUGUAGAGAAUCUCCCAAGAGCCUUCACUGGCAAUCUAGAGAGUAUCUCUGUUAUGAUUUCAGUUGGGAAAAAGAAACAGAUAGAAGAAUUAAUAUCAGGCGUCAGUUCAUUAGGAUUUUCCAUGUCCUAAAAUUCGAGAAUGAUGCUAAAGGUUAAAGAAUACCCCAAAAAAACAAAACCCUUUUAGAAGGAUGAGUCAUGGACUCAUGAGUGAAAGAUUAAAAAUAAUAUAAGCAGUGCACAAUGAGAUCCUAGUCAGAUUCGGAAAAGGAUAUUCCCUAAUUUGAAGAAGAGUAAGGAUUGCUGUCCGAAUCAGGCUAGUAUUGAAUCCCGAGCUUAUGGCAGUAUGGAAACUUACUGCUGAAUGGCAUUCAGCUGUUUGGAAACUCGUUGGAUUAGGUGAUGUGUCUUCUAUUUGGUUUAGCAUGCAAGAGCAAUAUUGCUAAAGGAAGGAGUAUGACAAACCUUAAAUAUAUUGCUUUAGUGCUUUGAGACAAAUUUAUUGCUUGAUUUGCUUAUGAGUUACUAAGAUCUCAAUUUUCUAAGACAAAAAUUAUCUUUUCUAAGAUCUCAAUUUUACAGGGUUAGACAGGUAAUUUUCAGGCAAAUUUGAGUUAAGAUGGGCCUAAACCCACAUAUUUUUGGGCUCUGUUAGACCGGACUUAGAGUGUGUUGUGGCCUGCCCGAGCUUACCCACUUGAAUAUGCAUACAAAAACUUCGUCAGUGAAUUGGAAACUAUCCAACGCAAACUUGGGCUGUCACAUGAACUUCUUUUUUUUCCGUGUGUAAUGGAAAGCAGUUUUUGAAGGGUUAUUUAUUUGGAAAAGUUUCCUUUGGCACUUUCGAUUGUUAAAAACGUGGCUUAUUUUAAAAACGUGUUUACAUUUUUUUUUUUUAAAAAACAUUCCCAUACAAUGAUGAAGUUUUUUUUUUUUUUUUUUAAAUUAAACGCAAUGGUGAAGUUAAACAUUGAUUCAUUACUUUUACCUAACAAAUUGAUAAAUUCUAAUGUUUUAUUCUCAUGGUUGUUUUUGUUUUAAUUUUCUUUUGAGAGAAUCCUAUGCCUCUUACAUAGAGGUAAACUACUCUGUGGUAAAAGGUAAAUUACUCUCUGUUGAGUAAUAAAAAAAAAUCCAAAAAGAAAUGUUAGCGCCCUGUUUUUAUAUUUAUCGUUGUAUGGAUCAAAUCCAUUUUUGUCCAUAAAGUGGUAAACCAAAUGCUUGGACGGUUAGAACCUCGUACACAGCAAAAAACUGAAAAAGACAUCACCCAAAAUGUCAGAAUUAAUUAUCAAGUGCUUAGACAAUACACAUCUUUUCUUGAGAAAUCUGUUUGGCUAGUUAUUUGUUCAGAAUAUAAUUGAAGCUAGGAAUGUAGCUUGAAUAGAGCAAGGUGCUUUGUCCCUCUACACAGUAAAAACUAAAAAAGAAAUCACCCAAAGCAACAGAAUUAAUUACCUUCCCACUGCCCCUAAUAAUUUGCAAAAACGGUUGGGAUAAUUUCAGAAGCCUCCCUUGAGGUUUAUGAUAGUUUCACUACCCUCCCCUGAAGUUUUCAAAAUAUCAUUAACCUCCCUUAAAACUAAUGUUCUUGUAACAAAUUACCCCAAUUCAAAAAAUCAACAAUGAAAAAAAUGAUUUCAAGAGCAAGAAGAAUAUUUCAUACCAAAAAUACCCCUUAACCUAUUACUAGUUGGUUAUCAAAAGGAAGUAUUAGUUAAAAAUAGAUAAUAAAGACUAAACUCUAGCAUGAGUAUAACAGAAUUUAGUAACAAUGACUUUUUUUCAUAGUACUACAUAAAAUAGCAAAAUCAAAGUAUUGGAGAGGAAAACUUGUUAAUUUGGAAUCAAGAUUUACGCGAAAAAUUCCUAAACUCUUAUAGCUAGUUUGGAAGCUGUGAUUUGACGAGAAAAGAAAAGAAGGUAAUAGAAAAGACGUUUUUUCUAGCAUUUGAGAGUUUUUGAAGGGGCAAAAAAGGAUGGAAAACAUUUGAUUUGAACGGAUGAGCUCCUACUAUUAUGGUUGCCAAAGUUUUCUGCCCAAAUGUGGGCGGGAAGCAUCGGUAAAGUUGAGAAUGCCUAAUAAAUUUUUUCUAAAUACCAAAUUUGUCCUCAAAUGUGUAUUGAACAAAUUUUUAUUGCUAUAUAUAUAUAUAUAUUUAUAUAUAUCCAAGAUCAUCGUUUUUUCUAUCUUAACUCCUAAACAAUAUUAAAAUCUCUUCUCUUCCUUUCUUUUCUUUUCUUUUUUUUUUCUUUCAUAACUUAACAUUUCCCAUCUUUUCUUUUCUAACCUAAACAUCCAAACUAGUUAUAUUAGUCUCAUAAUUUGAAAGAUUUUGAAAAGGAAUUGAACAAAACAAAGUAUGGCUUUUUUUAAGAAAAAAAAACAUCACAAUAGAUGGCUAAUGAUAAAAAAUAUAGAAUAUGCUAAAAUAUGUUAUGUUUUUUGAAUUAUUUCUUUAACUUACGGGGUCCACUAUUUCACACAAUUAACAAGAAAUUUCCAUCAUUUGUAAUUAAAAAAAAACCAUCUCCCAACCAACGAUUGGAUUAAUAAAAAGGUAUGAUUUUAAUGGAAAAGCAAAUAAAUCAAAGUAGAAAGAAAAGAAAAGAAAAGAAAAGAAACACCAAAUAUUUUGGAAAAGAAUGGAAAGAAUAGAUUAUGUGUAGUUACAUUUUAUCCAUAAUUUAAUAAAAUCUAAUUGUAAACAUAUUUUAAUACCUUACCCUCUUUUUGUAUAUUUUCAUAUGCAUCUUGUUAUUCUUAUGAAAAUUUUAUGAAAUAAUAAUAUUUAAAUAAGAAUUUUAAUCUUUUUUUACAAGAAAUAAAUUACAAGAACUACUAAAAUAUAGAAAAAGAAUUUUAAAAUGAUAACAAUUGUUGUUAUAAAAUUUAGUAUUCAAAAUUUUCAAUUUUUUUUGUAUUCAAACUCAUGGUUAAUUUAGUACAAGUGACUAAAUUGGUCCUCUCCGUAUAAAUACGUAAUUUUUCCUAAGUUGUAAGGAUGGUAAAGACAUUUGACCAUCCACAAGGUAAGCAUUGGGCUCCAAAUAACUUAUAGGGGAGGUAAGUAAUAUUUCUAAAACUUCAAGGAAGGCAGUGAAAUUGUCAGAAACCUCAGGCGAGGUUUCUGAAAUUAUCCCAAAACGGUUACGCAAAAACCUAUCAUCAAUCCCCUCAUAAAUCUCCCUACUUGUAGCUCACGGUAACCGCCAUCAUCUCCCACGUUCUCUCUCCCCUCUUCUCUCUCUCACUCUCUCUCCCUCCCAUUCUCUCUCAAUAUCUAUCACUCUCCCAAGUCACAGCUGAUCCUGUUAGUUUGAUUAGGUUGUUGGUUAAGGUAAAAAAGCACAAAACAAGAAUCUUAGUAUCUGUGCUAUAAUUCGGUCUACUGCUAUUCAACAAACAAAAGACUGCUUGUUUAAGACAUUAGUGUACUUUCCUCAGGUUCUUCUCUUCCUCUCUCUCUCUCUCUCUCUCUCUCUCUCUCUCGAAUGUUUUGAGCAUCUUAUGCACUCAUUACACACUAAUAGUAGAUUUUAUUGUGCCUUUUUUCUUUCUCGGGUCUUUUUAGUUUCCGUAUCUUUUCAUUGAACCAACUGUUUAUAGUCUGUCUUUUCCCCCUCGUCUCAUUAAAACCAUAUCAAAAAGUCUGCACUAGCUGGUACUAUUCUUGUUCAUCAACCUCGGAUUUUACUGUCGAAAUUCGCACUGACUAUUAUCAUUGUUUGUGUGUACAAGGAUUCGUGACUAAUGGCUUUGAGCUGCUAUUCCAACUGGGGAGAACUGGAACAACACCACGACUCAGAGAUGACUCUGCAGUUUGCUCAACCACCAGCAGCAGAGCUGUCUCCUGAGCUUCUUGGCUUCAACCACAUGAAUUUUGCCUUUUCAGACCCUUAUCUCGACCCUAUUCUUGAAUCCCAAGAUUUAGUUUACUCAGACAACUACACCUCUUUGCUUCCCCACUUUUCAUCUCCAUCUGAUGAAAACCCCAAUAGUUUAUAUUCCCUCGUCCCGGAAGUCUUUCCAGAACUCGAAUACCAGCCUUGCCACAGUGCCAAACGCCAAAAGAUUUUCGAGGGCUGCUACAAUAACUCGGAGGUAUUACCUUCAAGUUUUGGCAGCAGGUUCAUUCCCAAUCCACCAUUGAUUCAGGAGCUUUCGCCGCCCGAGAUUCUGUCUCCAUUUUCAGGAAGCUUAGCCAGUGAACCGCCAGUUUUUUGCAGUGGAGGUACAGGUGAGAUGACUGUGAAGAAGGCUAGUAAUGGAGGGACUUUGUCUUCUCAAAGCAUAGCUGCUAGACAGAGGAGAAGGAAGAUUACCGAGAAGACUCAAGAGCUUGGGAAGCUUAUUCCUGGUGGCCAGAAGAUGAACACUGCUGAAAUGUUCCAAGCUGCUUCAAAAUAUAUCAAGUUCUUGCAGGCUCAAGUUGGAAUUCUUGAAACCUUGGCUUCUGUUCAGGUAAUUCUACUUACUUCCUUUAUUGAGAUUCUUUUUCGUGCCAAACCUGUCAUUGUAAGUUUCAGGGCAUAGGAAUGGAUGGAGAUGGUGGGUUUUUUUUUUUAAAUUUUUUUUAUUUUAAGCUGAUGGCUGGUGUCUUUUUACAGCCUUACCAAACAAAUCUUUGUAAAUUUGUUUUGCAGUAGAAAUUGCCCUUUGGGUACUUUCCAUAUACACUAUCAUAGAUAGGAAAGAAAAGAUCUUAUUGGGCAAUUAAGGGACCUCCUUGCUCUAAAAGAUACCUUUUAUGUAAUUUGCAGAAACUUAAGAAUAACUUAAGACAUCUUUUCUCUUUCAAGUUUUAACGUGAAAAAAGAAAGAUUUGUUUAAUCUUUUGAGGAUGUUAUAAGUUAAUUAGAGGCAGAACUGCCUGUAUCUGACUCGUUUUCUCUCUAGGUCUUUAUUGUUGCAAAGUAUCGAUAUUCAGCUUAUAUGAGCAGAAGAAAUCUUAAAAUUUUUGGUAUUUCAGAAUGCAGAUUCUAUGACUUUUGUAGAACUUGAUAAUGUAAAUGUUCUGGUAAUUGAUGUUCAGAUACUUGAAUACACGAAUCAUAUGUGUAACUCUGGCGAUAUAUGCUUGCAGGAAAACGGGAAAUCUUUGCAGAACGAAGAACUUAAUCCUCUUCUUGGAUCUUCUUUGAUCCAAGAGAAAUUGUACUCAAUGGAGAUGUGUUUGGCUCCCCAAAAAUUUGUUCAAUCCCUUGCGGAGGAUAAUGGGAUUGAAUUGAACACUCAGGCCUUGAAUGACUGCAAAGAAUUGAUUGGGAUUGGCUGCUAAGAAGCACAUAUGAUGGUUUUUGACUUCUACUGUUGUUUUGUUUUGUUUGUUUUUUUAACCAAUGUUCAUUCCUUACUUUUGUAUUUCCACUAGAUCGAUGUAGGCUAAUCUUUAGGUUUUCUUUUGUUUCUCACGUUGCUAAUCUAAUUGCCCUCUGAUCUGAUCUUUUACUUGUAAAUUCCUCCCUUACAAGGAAUAGAUUGAAGUUUCUUUUUUGUUUCAAUCCGAUCUUUAAUUUGUCAUUUCGUUAUCUUUCAAUCAUGAGGACACUAAAUAGCCUUUAAUUGUGACCCAGUUAAUCGCAUUCAAUUCAGCAGCAAAAUCGUUACGCUUAUAAUUUUAUGCUUCUAAGUUGUCUAGGUGGGAAAAGUAUUUUCUUCCUCUUUUUUUUUUGGAAUAAAAAUUAAGUUUAGGAGGAUUCAGUUCCGACUACCAUCACAAGUCAGUCAAGAUAUAUUACAACAUCGUAGGUCGCUUAUAAAGGAUUUUACAGAUCUCCUGCCAAUACAGUCGACAACAAAAUAAUCAAUCAAAUUGGUCUUUUUUUUCUUUGCAUAUUACAAAUUUGACAUGAUUCAUCAAAGAUAACCAAUCAAAUUGACAACUCAAUCAUAACAUCUUUUUUCUUUUUCUUUUUCUUUUAGGGGUCUGUUUGAUAACAUAAAAAAGUGCUGAAUCUGAAUUUUUUCAAACAUUUAGAUGUUUUGAGUGUUUGAUAAAUGAAAAUCUAUUUGCUGAAUUUGUUAAGUAGUGUUGAACCUGUGUGUAUUUUUUUCAGCACAAGAAUCCUAACUUAAUGCUUAAUUCUAAUAAGAAUCAAUAGAAUUACUUCAGCUACCUUAUCUUAUUUACGAAAUCUACCCUUGUUUGUUAAUUAUGUUCAAAAUUUUUAUCUAAUUAAACAAUAUAAUAUUCUCUAUCUAACGAUUUUUUGUUUCUCUUUUCUCCCUUUCUAAUGACUUUCACAUCUUCUUCAUACUCCUCAUAUAAUUCUAUUUCUUUUUUGAAUGAAAGGAUAUAAGGGCAAAAUUGUCAAAUUAAACUUAUUAAGCAUUCAGCUAUAAAUAUUUAUCAAACAGUAUAAAAAGGUUUAACAUUAAAAUUCAGACAUUCAUAUAUUUUUUUCAGUGCUUAAAAUUCAACAAAUUAAUUAUUUCAGUAUUCAGAUUUCAGAAUUCAGACUUCAGAAUUCAGAUUCAGUUUUAUCAAACGGAACCUAGGUCAAUCGCCAAUUCUUACACUAAUGCUUGGACCCCUAAGUCCUAAUCAUCUUCUAAUCUAUCUAUAGGAGUUUAAAGAUUUUGACAGCUAGACCCCAGCCACGGUAUAACAUCUUAUUGAAUUGGCAAAAUUAAAGGUUUGCCAUACAUGUAGAGAAAUAUAAACCUUCCUAGCAAGUUUUUAAUGCUUCAUUUUUUUAAAAAUUUUUUAAUGCUUCAUUUAAAUUAACUGAUAACUGCUCUAUAUUCCCACAAAUCGAAGAAUGUUGUUUUUUUUUUCUUUUCACUGUCCUCACUCUGAACUGCCAAAGUUGAAGUUCCCAUCAGAAUAUUCUUCCUAUUGUUGUAUCACACUAUCACUUCCAUGUUUUAGUAACAUAAUUUUAUUCUUAACCAUUUAUUUCUCAUUUGGUUACGUCCUUUCUGUUUAACCUUUCAGUAAAAGUUCUCUGUAAAUUUUCCACGACAAAAUAAUUAAAAAGUUCAGGAAGUGUAGUUCUUUUUUCUUUUUCAGAUAAAGUAUUUACUUUACAAUUGGCCUAUUUGAUGUGCCUUUUACGAUAGUACUAAAAUUUUACUCCUUUAAUGGUAUACGGAGGAAAUUAUUGUUACUUCUUUUUUUUUUUUUUUGGGGUAAAAGAUUAUUGUUACAUCUUGUGAUGAGUAUAACUUUGAGAAGCUUUAAAUUGUUUACAUGCUUUCAAGUCGUUAAAUUUUUCUAAAUUUGUGCUUCUAUAAAGUACUUUCUUACAAAGAAUUUUAAGGUACUAUUCAAUCAAUUAAUAUACAGAGAACAAUUAAUGGAAUGAAAUAAAUUUUGGUAACCAUGAAUUUUUUUUCCUUUUGUUAAAAAUAGAUUCCAAGCCUAACAAGAGAAUAUUUGGGCGUCGAAACAAAAAUAUUUACCAUGAUUUAGCUUGAGAGUCAAAUUAUGACAACUAAUUUUUUGGACAAAAGAAUAAACAAAUCCGCCCCCGCCCUUAAAAAUAAGGAGUUACCAAUACAUACUUGAUUCCCCCAUCUGCAAACAAUUGUGGAGUAAAUUCAUAAAAUUUCUAACAACAUGAUGAGUUUACACAAUAAAAUCCUACUAAUGGUGUCUUAGAUGGAAUAACUCAUCCAAAAUUCAUAGACUUGCAUAUUAUUGCAGUUUAUAAUAUCCAUUAUUCACAAAAACUGCACUAACCAAUUAUUCAUAAUCCAUAACACCAAUUAAAAAAAUAAAAUAGAUUAUCCAUACCCGGCCAAAAUAAAAAUCCAUUUUUUCAAGAGUUUGUGUAGAAAAAUGUACCGUGAUGAUUUGAUGCAUGUGAAGUAAAAAGGUGAGUGAAAAAUAUGUCCACGAAAAACGUAAAAUUUUUUUUUACAGAAACCAGAAUGCAAACAAAGAAUAUAAGAUUCAUGUGCCCAAAAAGGGAGAAAGAGGCCCAACUUAGAAAUUGUACUCCAAGUAGGCUGAGUAGCUUCCUCUUUUCACAGCCCUAAAGCCCUAAACCCCUAAAGUCCCGGAACUGCCGGCGGUAAAAUCUCUCCGGCGAGCGUGUUUCUCAAAACCACGCUUUCUCUUGAAAGAAAAAUCCCACAGCUCCACGUGUCCCUCUCUCGUUCAUUCAAAAGCAAAUGGCCGAUCAAGCAACUACAUCUUGGUGGAAGGAGCUCCCACUUGUAUUCAUCAGCCCACCAACGGCGUCGUUUGAUGCCCUCCCUCGAGACCUAGCCAUCAACAUCCUCUCAAGACUCCCCGUCAAAACCCUAGCCCAGUCAACAGCCGUCUCCCAACACUGGUAUUCUCUGAUCAAGAACCCUAUUUUUGUCCGAGCCCACUUCACUCGUUCAAUUUCUCAGCUAGCUGCUACUAGUGCUGACCACUGCAUUUUAGUCACUCCUAAGGAAUUUUCUGAUGAACCCACUUUGUCGAUUUUCGCCGACAACGAAAAUUAUGACUUGUGCUGUAAAGUUAAAAUCCCAUUUCAGACCUGGUCGAAAACGGUACAAAUUGUGGGUUCCUGUAAUGGGCUUGUCUGUUUGACUGAUGAGGUUGAUUGUGCUUAUGGCGGGGAUGUUUACUUGUUUAAUCCUGUUCUUAGGAAGUAUAAGAUCCUGAAAUCUGAGUUUUCUUGUUAUUGUGAUUGGAUGGAAAAGAAUUUUUCAACUUAUCCUGUUUUAGGAUUCGGGUUUUGUGAGCGAGACAAUGAUUUCAGGGUUGUCAGGAUUCUUUAUUCAGCUCAUCAUGUUGGGGAGAAAUUGAGGCCUAGGGUGGAGGUUUAUAGUUUGAAGAGUGGGAAAUGGAGGAGUGUUAGGGCUAAAAUUGAUCAUACGGUAUUUCGGGGUUGUAAUGCUUUUGUUGAUGGGUGUAUAUAUUGGCUCGCUGCUGAGAAGGCUCAUGGUCGAUUGUCGUGGGUGAUGUGGUUUGAUUUGGAGGAUGAGGUGUUUCAUGACGUGGAAAUGCCGGAGAACUAUGACAAGGAUACUUGGGACAAUAAUUUGCCAGUUAAUAUCAUGCGAUGGAAUGGUGAUGUUGCCAUAGGUGCUAUUGAACCAGGUGGGACAGGGAAUUAUGUCAAAUGUGGCUUUUGGGUUUUGAAGAAGGAUGAUGGUGGGGAGUUGCUUUGGGAGAGGAAGUUUAAGCUAGUUUUGAAGGAUGCAGUGUGCGGGAUUCCAGUUGGAUUUACUUGGUGUGGGAAAGUUGUGAUUGAUGCUCUUGAUAGAGAAGACCAUUCACGUAGAAAGGUGAAUGCUGCACUUACCAAGACAGUUGCACUUGACCUCAAUGACAUGAAAUUCAAGGAUCUUGCAGUGGAUGGGCCUCACACAGUGGCUACUUGUUUCGAGGAAAGCCUUGUUCUGUUCUUGGACUAAAGUUAUCCUCUUGCCUCCCCUGUAGGUAUUUUUAUCAUUAAACCUUGAUUUUUUCCUGAUACUCCAUUAUCAUACGAAGUUUCUGAUUAAGCACCUGCACAAUGAAUCUUGAUUGUUAGUUGAAAAUUUUAUCCUAUACGUCGAUGCAGAUGUGUGUUUCUCAUGGUUACUACACUGGUAGCAUUUUGGGAAGUUUGUAAAAACAAGAGCUUUGUUUUCGAUUACCCAAAACACGAAAACGUGUUCUUGAAUGAGGAUCGAUUGAAUUUACUCUUGUAGGCACAUUGCAAUGUACAGUCGUGUAUGCUAUUUGUAUUCCAGGUUCUGUUAAACUAUUUCGGUACAAAUAAUUCAACCAAUUUAUGGUUGGAUGUAUAAAAAAUUGAUGUCCUGUGGUUGUUUGCACUGAAUCGAAUGGACAACCUAAUUCAUAUGUGGGUUCUGAAGGAUUUUUUCUAGCUCUGGAGCUUGACAUUUCAACUGUCUAAGCAUCCAUAAUUGGAUCACUAGUCGCCAUGUCACAUGUUGAUUUUGUGGAGAUACCUGUCUUACUUUUAUUGUAUUAACAAUGGGGAGACAUUUUUUUACUUGAGAGGGGUUUGUAUGCUUGAGAGUGCUUGAAAUCCUCAGGAUGAUUGUGAACUAGCAGCUUAUGCAAUCUGAUUUUCUUUCUAAAAGUUUGCAUUCGCAGAAAGCAGUAGUGUCCUGUUAAAAACGCAAAAUGUGGAAAGGAUUAAAAACUUGGUCAUUAAAAAUUGGGUUUUCUCAUAUCAUUGCCCUUUUGGCUGGUCAUUUCUCUCCUGCAGCACAUAUGUUCUUAGCAAAAAGAUUCAUGGAUCAGAAUUAUAUGUUCUUUGUUCCCCUCUUUUAUUCAGAUUAUGAAAUCUGCCUUUAUUUCUAAAACUUUGCAUUCGCAGAAAGCUGAAAUGACAUGUUAAAAAUGCUAAAUGUGGAAAGGAUUGAAAACUUGGUCAUUAAAAUUUUGGUUUCUCCAUAUUGUUGCCCUUUUGGCAGGUCUUUUGUCUCCUGCAGCACAUAUGAUUCUUAGCAAAGAAUCAUGGAUCGGAAUUUUUAAGAGCUUUGUUCCCCUUUUAAAUCAGAGUAUAAGUCACAUAGACCAAUUGUUUUUCUGGCAUGGUUGACUUUUUUAUGUGCCACAAAAUUUGCUCUUCGUUGACAGCAGUGCUUCACCACUGCACUUUCAUUAACCGUAAUGCUUCAAUACUGCACUUUGAAUCUGUGGAUUGUCCGUCAUGAUUUGACAGGGAAUUUGAUUGAAGCAAAGCUCAUGGAUUGUUUUAGAUCUUACACAUUUAUUUAUAGUUUUGCUAGAAAUUGAGAGUCAACUGUAUGUUAUAAUAAUAGUUUUUCUCAAGAAAUAGUUGGUUGUAUUCUUGCUCAGGUCUUUUUUCCUUUCCCAUUCUCUGAACUAGCUUAACAACUGGACCUGCUUUUCUGAUGCUUGGUUCCCCAGAGUACAUGUCAGAUCAUUAAUUGUGAAUAUAGGUGUAAUAUAGUCAACUUGUUGUGAGAUAUAGCAGGCUUUGCUUGUAUCCAUUUUGGAAAACAAGUGGUGGACAUCCUGAAUGGGAUUUAGUCAUCUGAAUGUCUGUUUCUUGAGUCAUGGUACUAAAAAUUUGCAAUCAUUUGGUGGAAUACUGAAAUGCAUCUCUUACUGAAGAUCUUCAGUUGCCUAUGUAUUGGAGCCGUAGUCUGUUUUGCUCGAAGUAAACUAACUUGCUUUGUGUUCUUUUGGUACUUUGUACAGGCAAGGACAAGAUUAAGUGAUCUUUGCUUGCUGAUGAUUAUGGAAUUUCCAGACUGAUCCCAAACUGUGUAGUUGAUGUAUGUAAAGUGAGUAGAGUGACUGUCUUGUGACUGCUGAUUAAGAUAUUUGCUGCAUGAUCAGAUGUUUACAUCUGACUUACUAGGAUGAAUUGUUGAGGAGGUGUAUCUUCCUGAUCAGAUGGCCACAGCUAACUUAUUUGGUGGUUUAUCUAUUAUGCUGCUCUAGAUUAUCAGGCGUUAAAUCUUGUUCUAAUCUUUUGUCUACACGUAAUCUCCCACAAACAAAACUUGAUAACAUGAGAAUGGCCAAGGUCUACAUUUGUUCAGCACCCAUCACUCAGGAUGUCGUUCCUGAUGUAUUACAGGGAGAAAUGACCAGCGUUUCUCAGUCAUCCAGAGUCGUCCAAAGCCCAGCAGUUGUUGGCAUUAUGCCUUAAACAAGGGGGAGAGGUCGAACCUCUUAAACAGAAACAAAACAUGGAGUUGCAGCCCCUAUAGUAUCUGCUCUAAGCAAUUCCCUGUUUCCAUAAUUCCUAAUCUGACAUAUCAGAUUGUGGAAAGGUGAAUCCUGUCCUGCUCCUUGGAUUAGAUCCAGUGCUGCCUUCGAAUCCGUUUCCAGGAUCACUCUCCUUUCUCCUGAGCUCCACGCCAUUUCCAUCCCUUUUGAGUACUCCCCAUCGCUCUACUGUCGUAUUGUCUGUUAGCCCAAUAUUCACUGCGAAGCCAGCUUUCCAUCUUUCCCAGCAUUAUGCCUUUCGUUGGCAUAGUCUCUAACCAAAUUCUCAUAUUCAUCUCCUAUUUUCCCAGCAUUAUUGCGCUGAACUGAAUUCCCCAUGAGAAAGAAGUACCAGAUGAUUUCCGAUAAGUUCUCAAGUGUAUUUUGCAAAUGAGCUUCUUUAUCAAGACGCAAACAGCCUUGGUUGCCUGCCUAAACCGCCUCGCUGGAACGAGAUCAAUACAUUUUUUUUCGGAUCACUGCAUACCUUGACUAAGGCUAAUCACUAGUUGUAACUGCAUAAUCAUGAGUGUCGUGAAGAGGUUCGGCUUAAAGCAGCAAAAGAAGUGGGCCACAAUGAAAUGUUAAUUGGGUACUGCGCAGCAUUAAAAAUAUGAAAAAUCGUUCACCAUGUCAUUCACUCUUGAAAUGUUAAUCUUGUCAUUCACUCUUGAAAUGUUAAUCUUACGUCUCUUGUAGACUUAAAUUUGCAAAAUUUGGUCUCAACGUAAGUUGUAAACUAAUUUUUAAUAGAGUUAUUAUCACUUUACCCUCUUAAACUAUAUCACUACUAUCAGUUUACCCUAUAACGUUAUCUUUUAAUCAUUUUAUCCCCAUAAGUAAUUCAACUCAACGUGUUAAGAAAUUUUGGACAAAAAUACCCUUUUAUUUUAUGUUAUUACUACAUUAUUAUUAUCCCUUUCUUCGUUUGGAUUAUAGUGAUACAAUCGCUUUACUUCAUAACAUUAUUUUCUAGACAUUUUACCUUAUUAUUAAUCUAACUAGUAUGGUCAAAAAAUUUUAAAUAUAUUUACCCUUUUUUAUAUAUAAUUAAAAAUAAAAAAGAUUGGAAUGGUUAUUCUUCUUUUUUUCACUUUAAGAGAUCGAAAAAAUCUUUUUUUCAUACUUAUUACUACUAGGAAAAGAAAAAGAGAUAGGAAAGAAGGAGACAAAAAAUUAGAUUUUGCAAAAAAAAAGAAAAUAAAGAAAAGUCUAACAUUAUCGUAUUACUUUAAGGUUAUCGGGAUUAGAAUUGAAAUUUGGUGGUAAACAAAAAAGUGAAAUAAUUUUAAAAUAAUAAAAGUAUUUAAUUCUUUCUUAUUUGUAAUUUUUUUAAAAAAAAUUGAGCUCUCUCUCUCCCCCUCCCCCUCUCCAUAUUUCUAUUUUUUUCAAUAUUAAUAAGAUUGCCAAGAAAAAAAAUUAAUAUUUUGACUUUUUUUCUUGAUACUAAAAAGAAGAAGAGUCACUCUAAAUUUUUUAUUAUUUUGAUUAUGCAAAGAGGGGGGUAUUUUCUUCUAAAGUUUUUAACUUGCUAAGUUGGUUUAAUGGUGGGAUAAAUUGUCUAAAAAAUAAUUUUAGGUGGUAAAUUGAUAAUGAGACUAUAUUUUAUGGGGGUAAAGUGAUAAUAAUUUUAAGGGUUAAACAUGUUUUUUCACUUUAAUUAACAAACUCCGUUAAGUUUGAUCAUUAGUCUUGGGGGUAAAGUGACUAAAAGAUAACGUUAAGGGGGAAAUUGAUAGUAACACCAAACGUUAAGGGGGUAAAGUGAUAAUAACCUUUUUUAAUAUGAAAUCACCACACAAUCAACAUGUAGUCAUUUUCUUUUAUGUAUAAAUAGGUCAAAUUCAACUUUUUUAGUGUAAAAAAUGAAUAUGGAUUAGGUCAAAUUUCACUUUUUUUUUGGGAAAAAAAAUGAAUAUGAUUUGAGUCAGAUUCUACGUUUUAGGAACAAAAAUAAAGAUGGAUUGAAUCAUUUGUUUAACUAUAAAUGAGAUUUAACCUUUUUGUUUAAAAAAAAAAGAUCAUAUGUGAUCACUUGAUGGAUUAAGGAUAAAUUUUAUCGACUUAAUUUUGUAGGGGAUGCAAAGUUAGCAUUUAAAAGUGAAGAACGAAAAAAUUCGUUUGGUGAAAUGUGAAAAACAUUUUAAACGAUUUUUCCUUAAAAAUAAAAAUAAUCUGAAUUUGUAGUCCUUUCUUUUAUUUUUUUAUUUUUUGAAGAGAGAAUUUGAAAAUUUUCCGGUGGGCUUCUUUUCUUUCUCCUUAAAGUGUUUCAGUGUGAAUUUACCUUUUUCUUGAAGGGACAUAAUAUGUAUGUCACAAUAAAUAAAACUAGCCAGCUGAAUAUUUCUCAAGACUGUUAUGCUUUUCAUUUCAAGGGACAAUUGAUUAUUGAUCUAGGAAACAAGAAAAUCAAAAAGUAAUUGAGGAAUAUGCGAUAUUUUUCUAUAUCGUUUAGGAGGAAAUGUUGGGGUAGUCAAUUAAAAACCCUGAAAGAAUAAAAAACAAAACGAAAAAGUAAAAUCCGACUGGUACGUUACGACGUCGGAUUAUCCAUACAUUUCAUUUCCGUUCUCCCGUUGAACCCUACUAAAACCCUCUUCUGUGUCCAAUUUCAAGAAAUAGCCCCAAAAAGGGUUUAGAAGAAGGAAGUUGAAAAUGGCGAGCCGUCUCGUUCAUUUCCGACCGACGGCGAGACUCCGGUGGCUGUCUACAGCAACAGAAAUGGCAACGGCAACGGCAACGGCAACGGCAACGACAGCGACAACGGCUGUGACCCAAGAUACAGCAACGGCUGUGACCAAAGACAAGCCUAAUAUCUCUCUGUUCAGGAAACUGAAGGAGCUGAAUAUUGGACCAGGCUCAGACGCUAAUGUUUCAGUGGUUCUAGAUGAAUGGGCCAAUGAAAGUCAGGCUAAACGAUUCGAUGCUGCUAGACAAAUCAAUUUUCUCCGAUCCCGCAAACAUUACCAUCUAGCCCUCCAGGUAAUUUCUUGAAUUUGGUUAUUUUCUUCUUUCUUCUUCUUGUUUUUUUUUUGUUUUUUUAAAAAUUGUUUCUUUAGGCAUUCCUAGAUUUGUGGAUGAAUGAAUAUGCGACACGUGAGAUUUAUGCUUUAGAUGGUUUAUUGUGCUUGUGGAGUGUAUUUAUUCAAAUCAAGUUGCUGUAUUCUUAUUGGGUGCUAAAUUGUUGUAAUGUGGUGAAAUUUUCUUUGUAAUUGAUAUUAGUAUGCAUUCUAAUCUUUUGUUUCGAUUUGAAUAAAAAAAACUUUGAUUGUUUUAUUCCUUUUCGAAUGCUUAAUAUUCUUAGACAGAUAGCGAAUGUGAUUGUGGAAAAGAGCAUUACUUUAUCAUAGGAAGAAAAGUCAUUUGUUGGGUAUGCAAGAAGUGAUUGUUUAUUUGGGUAAUAUGGUCGGGUUGGAAACAGCAUAGAUGUGCCGUUUGUUAGCAUUGACAACUAUUUGUAAAACAGGGGAGGCAUAGAAUUUGGGUAGCAGAUGAUAUGUUUAUUGAACAUUAGAUGCUCAGUUUUUGUAGGAAGCUUUUUACCCUUAUGGAAACAAAAUCUGGGAUGUAUUCUUUUAAUAUGCUUGUUGAAAAUAGGUAAAGGAUCAAGCGUGGGUUGUAUAGGAAAUUGUACCUGUAUACCAACAAUGGGGAUUGAUGAGCAAGGAACAAGUUGAGUUGUAGAUUAAAUUGUAGUUAUCUAUCAACUUCAGGAAAUAUAUAGACUUUGCAUGGACAUCUGUUGAAUUAAUAAUAUCUUUUCCUUCCUUAGAUGGCAUUUUAUUUGCUUCGGUUUGUUCUCAAACUGGAUAGUUUGGUUUGGACUUUGUAAUUGUUUUCCUUAUCUUGUUACUAAUGCAGCUAUCAGAAUGGCUGGAGAGCAGCAAGAUUGAGAUGAACAAUGCUGACCGAGCUGUGCAGAUUGACCUUCUUGCAAAAGCUAAGGGUAUUGCUUCAGCUGAAGUUUAUUUUGAUGGUCUUCAGGGAUCUGCGAAAACAAACAAAACUUAUGGAGCACUUCUCAACUGUUAUUGUAAGGAGAAAAUGUUGGAUAAGGCUGUCCAACUCUUUGCCAAGAUGAAGGAGCUGAAUUUUACUUCCACUCUGAACUAUAACAAUGUGAUGUCUUUAUACUUGAGCAGUAACCAGCCCGAACAAGUCCCUCUGCUUGUGCAAGAAUUGGAGCAGAAUAAACUUAAAGCAGAUAAAUAUACGUGCAAUCUGUUGAUUAACAGCUAUGCUUCCUCAAAUGAUAUAAAUGCAGCGGAGAAAGUUCUUGAGAAGAUGAAGAAAGAUAAGGUAAAGUAUGAUUGGUUCACUUAUGGGAACCUAGCAACUAUUUACGUCAAUGCUGGACUUCUUCCCAAAGCCAAAGAAAUGAUAGGAGAGAUGGAGAAAUUUGAAAAUGUGCGUGAUCGUGAGUUUUUCCAUAUGCUAAUCAACUUGUAUGAGCUUAUGUCUGACUUGGCUGGGGUUAAUCAUGUGUGGAACUCCCUCAAGUCAGUUUUCCCCUCCCCCAGUAACACUAGCUAUCUCAUCAUGCUGUUGGCUCUGUUUAAAUUGGGUGACCUGGAAAACCUGGAGAAGUAUUUUAGAGAGUGGGAAUCUCAAUGCUCAUUGUACGAUGUCAGACUAUUCAAUGUGGUCUUGGAAUCUUAUCUUAAUAGGAACAUGAUUGGGGAAGCUAAUGCUCUCUAUGAAAGUAUGGUGACCAAAGGAAUCGAUCCCACCUUAGCGACACUGAAUAUUUUCACAAUCUACCACAUUAAGAAUGAUCAGAUUGAUUCAGCUCUGAAGUAUCUGGAGAUGGGUGCAUGCAAGACAAUCCCAGAGGAACAUAGGUGGUUUCCUACAGAUGAAACUGUCAAAUUGUUUUUAGAAUAUUUUGAGAAGAAAAAUGAUGCAACUAGAGCUGAGAAGUUUUGUAACAGCAUGAAGAAGAUUGGUCGUCUUGAUUCUGCCGUUUAUGCAUCUCUGCUUUCCAAAAGUUGAUGACUAGAUCACUGCAUCGAAGUAUAGAGGUGUUUCUGAUUUAAAUAUGGCAGUGAGAAGAGGCCUUGACAAUUUGAUAUUUUAUACUGGCCUAAUUUAAGUCUUGCAAGGAAAUCGAGUUAAUGUUCACAAAUGCUAUUGUGCGAAGCAAAGCUGGCCUGUACUGAAACCUAGACCUAAACUAUGGCGGUGUAAGACCCCCGCGUGCACGCCCGCCGGGGGGGGGGGGGAUCUAAACUGUGGUCGAACGCAGUUAUUAUCACAACGAGCAAUGUCGAUUCCCUUGUAUAUUUGUACGUAGGACAUUAGUUCUCCAUAUUCUGAUCAACUUGCCUUUUCACUUCAGCGUUCUUUUCUUGGUGUUCUGUUGUUUUUUGGUUUUUUUUUUUUCAGCAAUUGCCUCUGAUGUUGAAUCCCUGUACUAGAUAUGACAGCAUUCAUUGUUUAACCAUCCAAGCAAACGAACCAAAGAAGUUUCUUGGCUCGUUUGCGCAAUUUAAACUGGUGACGAUAAGAUGUUAGAACUGAUUAAUUAUCAUAAUGCUGUUGUAAGAAGGUUGUUGAUGAUUGAAGUGGCCAGCGUUAGGUUGAGGUUCCCGCACUGAGCAUCAGAUCUUGGGAAACAGUUAAGAGGUUCAAUCUUUCUUGUGUUUUAGUAUGAUAAUUUCUCAGGAGCAGCAGUUAAGUGCUUGAUUAAAGAAGAAAAUAAAGGAAUAAAGGUAUUUCAACAAACAAGAUCGCCGUGUUUGGACGCUAAUUCCUGGAUAAGUCUCUACCUCUCAACUUCUAUUCAACUAUUUCCUUCUAAUUUUUUUUUUUAUUUUGAGCAUCCGGGAUCCCUACUUUCAGUGAGACUAAUCCGUAUUCGACCCGAAAACACCCGCAGAGUUCGACUUAUUUUUUACCAUUCGGUAUCUCCAUAUUCAGUGAGACUAAUCUGCAUUCGGCCCAAGAAUACUCGCAGAGUUCAACUUUUACUCAGGAUAAAGCUCUGACUCAGAACUUUUCAAAAUAUCACAUACAGGAAUCGAAUUUAUGACUUUUUAUUGCCGUUAACAACUCGCUUACUAAUUGUCCCAAACUUACGGGUUAUUUCCUUUUAAAUUGUCUUAUCAAUCAAAGCCGGGAUGAGUUGUUGUGGCACGUCUGCUGAAACAGCAAAUACCACGUCACAGCGCAUCCUCCACUGGGAACCUUUGAGAAUAUGGGUCGACUUGAAUAUCACUCAUAAGUCCAAUUUCUUCAUAAACCAAGAAUUGAGUUUGAAUUCAAGAAUAUGAUUUGUUACGUGAGUCAAGCUCAAGCACAUCAAAACUCAACUUAUAAAAUCCAAUUGACAGACCUAUUUCACUUGAACAGAUAAAAUGCUCAAAUAAGAUAAGUAGAAUUCACUAACUUCAUUGACAGCAAUUCAUGAAGGACCCUUACAUGUCCAUUUGACUGUAUUACUUUUGUCAAAAGCCAACUAUUGAGCUUAGCAAGUAUUUCGUCCCAAGUACCUGUUUUAUACCCUGAUAAGGAUUUCCCACGAAAAUUACCCUCAAUGUGCACGAUCAGGAUGUCCUCCUAAGUCCUAGGUCUUAUCCGAUUUCAUAACCAGUGUGCAAAGCUAUUUAGGUCGGUUCUUGAACUUGUCUUAAUUGAAAUGCUUGAAACCCCAAAACUUUGGUAUAUCUACCACUUUGAGCAUAUGGAAUUCUUACAAUCUUAUAUUCAUCUGCUUGGCUGAGAUAACCAAAUCCAAGAGCCAAGAAACUACUAUGCCUAUUCGAAUGCUUUAUGUUAAUGCUUGAAGAGGAAAUGCACUUAUAUUUUCUAAUACAAUGAUUCCAUAAAUAUGGUUUGCCCAAUGUAGUAGAUGGUAUUUCUUUUUUAUUGGCAAAACUUUGGUUUUUAGCACAAAGGAAAUUGGAGGCUUUGACAGGGCUAGCUAUAAACCACAUAAAAUGUACCAGUUGGUUACUCUAGGGAAAGAGAUGAAUCUGAAAAGUUGGAGUUCAAGUUCACCAUGGUAAGGAAGCCAGAUCAAACCAGCCCCGUGCCUGAGUCACCUACUGAAGCAAGUAAAUCAUCAACAGUGGAAGAGAAGGCAUGGAACUAUAGCUGCUAUGCCUACGCCGCCAGAGAAGAUGAAGCUCAUUUCUUCUGGGAAUGCAAGGACUAAGAAGAAAUCACAGCAGUGCAUUAGCAAUUCAGUGUAUGGUGGUUGCAGGCUUGCAGCAGCAGCAGCUACAAGAGGGAAGCCUCGCAUCCCAAGCCCAAGGCAAAUGGUCCUCUUAGGAGCAAAGCUGAAGCCAUAACCUGGAGAUGCUUUUGGAUAAACCUGCUACUGGUAAUCAAAGCAUACCAUCCUUUUGGAUACACACAUGAGACGGAUCAAGCUUUCAGCUGGAAGCUACAACAGGACUGUAACAAUCACCUCGAAAGGAAGGUCUGGAAUUGUUUCGUGUUUCUUGGACUGGAAUCUAAAUAGUUCGCUUGGGUUUUUCAGAUUGUGAGGUGUUAUGAAAAUAGAGAAUUUUUGAACCCAUAGUUGGACCUAAAAAUUUGCUGCUUCUAUACACAAAAAAGAAGACACAAAACCCAUCCAAUUUUGAUACUUUGGAACUUUUUAUCGAUUGUGAACAAAAUGGCUGACCAGAAACGCCCUGUUUUUCCGAUAGAAAUCAUCACUCCGUUUUUUGAUCCAGCUACCUCCUAAGGUCUUGAUGAAGCUCAUGCACCUUUCAAGAUCACGGAAGAACUUGAUCAGAGACCCUAGUUCUCUACGGCAAAAUUUGAAAGAUUCUCAGCAAAAGGUAAUCGAUAUCUCUUGUAUUUGACUGCGGAGUUAUAACCCGUGGACUUUCAAGUUGAAUGAUGAUAGAUCAUUCCAAUAUUUGUUUAGAUUUAAGAAUGCCUAUUUUUUUGGUCCACUCCUCUUUUCCUUCCUCACUUCUUUAAUCUCACCUGUUUUCUAUCUUGACAAGGACUUCGCCCCAAAGUUACCCACAAUCUGCACGAUCAUAUUUACUUCUAUCCUUCUUCCUUCUUCUUAACCAGUGUCCAAAGAUAUUUAACUUAGUUCUUGAACUUGUUUAAAUUAACAUAUUUAAAUUAAAUCCUUGAAAUUCCUUCCAUGCAAGUUGAAAAGACAAUCGCUUUAACUUAGUUGAAACCUCAAUUGCAGACACUUUCAAGUCAAAAAAUGGACCAUCUUAUAUUUCCUAAGAGGUAAUUAGUGAAGCUAAAGCAGUCUCUUCCGUAAUAUACAGCAGAUUCUUGAAAGAACCUAGUAAUUACACCUAUACUCAGAGAGAAAUGGUAGUGGCAAUGUCGAAUCAUAUUGAGAAUUUCCAACGAUCUGUCAUAUAAAUGGAAAUAAAUAUUUGCUUUGAUAGGACCGGGCCAGGAAAUAGACAAACUCAAGUUAGCACAAAUUAGGCGGUAUAACCGACCAUAUAAUAGAUAGGCGGUAGAUACCAGCCAUAUAAUAAUUAGGCGGUAAAACCGACCAUAUAAAGACGGAUAACAAAGCAAAUAAAAGACACAAAAGAUUUACGUGGUUCGGUCAAAUUGACCUACGUCCACGGGCGAGAGAGGAGCAAUAUUUCUACUAUGAAGAAGAAAUACAAAAGCCGUAGGAAAGUGGUUCCUAGGCCAAUAGGCACUUACAAAAGAGUUUAGAAAAUAUUCCUAAAUUCAAAACAAGAGAGCCUAAAAUAUUUAACUGAAUGGGAUAGAUGACUCAAGAAGCUAAUGGCCCAUAUAACUCUCUUGAGUGGUGCGAUUGAAACCUUCAUAUGAGCCCCCUAUUUAUAGUUGUAUUUGGGAGGCUUUCCUUCUGCUUCAGGCGAUGUGGGAUGAGGAAAUUCUGCCACAGUCAAGGAUUGCGGCUGAAGAAUUGCGGCUCAACAAAUCUCCACCUUGGCAUAAUUUUGAGUCCCACCAUCGUCAAUAGUAAAUUCGCUCCACCUUCUCCACAUAAGACCCAAUGGGUCUAAAUCACAAAUAACGAACACCAACCAAGUCCAAGCACUGCUUGAACUUGUAAUUUGGAAGAGGCUUCGUAAACAUAUUGGCUGGAUUGUCCUUAGUAUUGAUUUUCUGAAUAAGGACUUUUCCCUCUGCAAUGAUAUCCCGAAUGAAGUGAUACUUCACAUCAAUAUGCUUCGUCCUCUCAUGAUACAUCUGAUCUUUAGUCAAGUGUAUGGCACUUUGACUAUCACAGUGAAUAUCAGUAACACCUUGAUAUAGACUUAACUCGCUAAAUAAACUCUUCAACCACAAGGCUUCUUUGAUUGCCUCGGUCACAGCCAUAUAUUCUGCUUCAGUAGUAGACAAAGCUACGACAGGUUGUAGAGUAGCUUUCCAACUAACAGCACAACUGCCAAUGCAAAAUACAUAGCCUGAAAGUGAUCUUCUCCUGUCAAGAUCCCCAGCGUAGUCUGAGUCUACAAAACCAACCAAAGUGUUAUUAUUUCUUCCAAACUCCAAACAUACAUUUGAAGUACCUCGCAAGUAUCUGAGAAUCCACUUCACAGCCUGCCAAUGUGUUUUACCAGGACAAGAUAUAUAUCUGCUAACAACACUGACUGCUUGUGCAAUAUCUGGACGAGUACAAACCAUUGCAUACAUAAUACUGCCGACUGCACUGGAAUAAGGAACCCGUGCCAUAUAAUCUUCCUCUUCAUCUGAUUUUGGUGAUUGAGCAGCAGAUAGCCGAAAAUGUCUAGCAAGAGGAGUAGAUACUGGUUUAGCAUCUUUCAUGCCAAAACGCUCCAAGACUUUCUCAAGGUAAUUUUUCUGGGUCAAAAAUAACUUCCCUACUCCUCGAUCUCGAUUGAUAUCCAUGCCAAGAAUUUUCUUAGCUGCUCCCAAAUCUUUCAUUUCAAAUUCACUAUUUAACUGCAGUUUCAAAGUGUGAAUUUCUGACAAAUUCUUGGCAGCAAUGAGCAUGUCAUCAACAUAAAGCAGCAAAUAAAUGAAAGAACCAUCAUUUAACUUCCGGAAGUAAACACAACUAUCAUACAUGCUCCUCAAAUAACCAUGACCCAACAUAAAGGAAUCAAACCUCUUAUACCAUUGUCUUGGAGACUGUUUCAAUCCAUAUAAGGAUUUCUUCAAUAAGCAAACAUGGUCUUCCUUACCUUCAAUUUCAAAACCCUGGGGUUGUCUCAUAUAAAUUUGUUCUUCAAGUUCGCCAUGUAAGAAAACUGUCUUAACGUCGAGUUGUUCUAACUCCAAAUUAUACAUGGCAACUAAAGCAAGCAAAACACGAAUAGAGCUAUGUUUAACAACAGGUGAGAAUAUAUCAUUAAAAUCAACACCUUGUACCUGACUAUAGCCCUUUGCAACCAAUCGUGCUUUAUAUCUUACAUCUUCAACCCCUGGAAUACCUUCUUUCUUCUUGAAAACCCAUUUGCAUCCAACAAUUUUCUUAGCUGACGGCGGCUUUACAAGAACCCAAGUUUCAUUACGAUGAAGAGAUUCAAUUUCUUCAUUCAUCGCAAUCAACCACUUUGCAGAGUCAUCACAAGAAACUGCUUCUGAAUAGGUGGAAGGCUCACCAACUGCAUCAGUUUCUUCUGCAACAGACAAAGCAUAUGCAACUAAAUUUACAUAUCUUUGUGGUGGUCGAAUGUCUCUCCUUGCUCUAUCUCUGGCUAUGGAAUACUCUUCUUCUUCAGAACUAUCUUCAACAGUAGAUUCAGGUGUAUCUACUGGCAUUUGAAUAGAAGAUUUGGAUUGAGAAGGACCAGAACUGCCAAUAUCAAGCUCCACCUGCUUCUGUGUACUAUCAGUAGUACAAGGACUAGAAGACUCCUUCUUGGAAGAUAACAGAGAUAAUUCAUCAAAAGUAACAUCUCUACUGAUUACAAAUUUUGGGGAUUUGGGAUCAGAAUACCAUAAUCUGUAUCCUUUCACCCCAGAAGCAUACCCAAGAAAAAUGCACUUUUUAGCCCUAAGCUCCAAUUUUCCAUCAUUCACGUGCAUGUAUGCUGGACACCCAAAAACUUUUAAAUUGGAGUAAUCAGCAGGAGUACCUGACCAAACUUCCUCAGGAGUUUUGAAAUCAAGAGAUGCAGAAGGAGAACGGUUGACAAUAUAACAGGCCAUAUUGAUCGCCUCUGCCCAAAAGUCGUUUGUCAACUCUGCAUUGGAGAUCAUACAUCUUGCUCUCUCCAAAAGAGUUCUGUUCAUACGUUCGGCCACACCAUUUUGUUGAGGCGUCAUCCUGACGGUGUGAUGCCGAACAAUUCCUUCAUUUUUGCAAAAUUCAUUAAAUUCACCUCCACAAAAUUCCAUGCCAUUAUCUGUUCUCAACCGCUUAACAUGUUUUCCUGUUUGUUUCUCAAUCAAAACUUUCCAUCGUUUGAAAGUUAGGAAAACAUCAUUUUUAUGCUUAAGAAAAUAGACCCAAACUUUCCUUGAAUAAUCAUCAAUGAAAGUCAACAUGUACCUGGCACCACCUUUAGAAUGAGCACGAGAAGGACCCCAUAGAUCUGAAUGAAUGUAAUCAAGAGUACCUUUUGUCUUGUGAAUUGCUGGUGAACUGAAGCUGACUCUUUUCUGCUUCCCAAAAAUACAAUGUUCACAGAAUUCCAAUGGCCCGGUACUUUGACCACACAGAAGUCCUCUUUUGCUCAGUAUGCCCAAGCCUUUUUCGCUCAUGUGCCCCAAACGCAUAUGCCAUAAUUUGGUGAUGUCAGUAUCUGACAAAGAUGAUGUUGAAACAGCAGCAGCACCUGUCACAGUAGAUCCCUGCAAAAUAUACAAAGUACCAGAUCUGUGUGCCUUCAUAACAACAAGAGCUCCUCGAGUGAUUUUGAGAACUCCGUUUCCACCUGAAUACCUGCACCCGAUAGACUCAAGAGUGCCCAAAGAGAUGAGAUUUUUCUUCAAAUCUGGAACAUGUCUAACAUCUGUGAGAGUCCUCACAAUACCAUCGUACAUUUUAAUUUGGAUUGUGCCUUUGCCAACUACUUUACAAACAGCGUUUUUGCCCAUUAAGACAACUCCACCUUCAGUUGAUUCAUAUGUUGAAAACCAAUCCCUGUUGGGACACAUAUGAUACGAACAACCCGAAUCUAAAAUCCACUCAUUGUUAGACCUAAAAUUAUUUUCCGUUGCACAGAAAAUGGUUCCAUCAUUCUCAUCAGCUGCUAUACUAGCUUCAGCGGAUUCAGUAUUUUUCUCAACAAAUUUCCCCUUUUGCUUUUCCUUAUUUUUCAAUUUAAAGCAAUCAGAAAUAACAUGACCCUUCUUUUUACAAUAAUUGCACACCACAUUUUUAUGUCUGGACUUGGAUCUAUUUCUAUUUUCUGUGUUUCUCUUUUCAGAUCUACCCCGAACAAACAAGCCAUCAGCUUGACUCCCACUAGUUUCCCCAGUAAUAUCCCUAUCUAUCUGCUCUUUAGAUUUUAACGCAGAUUUAAUUUCCCGAUACAAAAUUGUUUCCUUUCCAUAUAUCAUAGUAUCACGGAAAUACUUAAAGGACUGAGGAAGGGAACAUAAAAGUAAUAGGGCCUGAUCUUCAUCAUCAAUUUUCGAAUCUAUAUUCUCCAAAUCCAUAAUAAUGGAAUCAAAUUUAUCAAGAUGGGAGAGUAUAGAUGUACCUUCAGACAUCCGAAGCAUAUACAAACUCUGCUUCAGAUAUAGCCGAUUCUCGACUGUGUUCUUCAUAUACAAGGCUUUCAAUUUAUCCCACAUAGCCUUGGCCGAAGUCUCCGUUGCUACCUCACGCAAUAUCUCAUCGGAGAGAUUUAGGAUAAUACUGGAUCUUGCCUUCUUAUCCAUCUCAGCAAAAUUUGCAUCUGUCACAUCUUCUGGCUUUUUCUCAAUUCCUUGAAUUGCCAAAUCAACUCCGUCUUGAACAAGAAUGGCCUCCAUCUUGAGCUGCCACAUGCCGAAGUUGACAUUCCUGUCGAAUUUCUCGACAACCGUCUUUGUUAUCGUCAUUGUUGCCACAAAAUCUGUAACUUGAAAUUUGUCUCAAAAAAAAAACUGGCCAAACAAAUAUGCAAGUCUCGUGAGCGGGCCCCACAGGGUGAGCGGACCCCACGAGAUAAGCGGGCCCCACGGGGAUGAACGGACCCCACAAGGUGAGCGGGCCCCACGGAUAAACGGACCCCACAGGAUGAGUGGGCCCCACAGGAUGAACCUGUCUUGCAAAAUAUAACAACCAGCUCUGAUACCAGUUUGAUAGGACCGGGCCAGGAAAUAGACAAACUCAAGUUAGCACAAAUUAGGCGGUAUAACCGACCAUAUAAUAGAUAGGCGGUAGAUACCAGCCAUAUAAUAAUUAGGCGGUAAAACCGACCAUAUAAAGACGGAUAACAAAGCAAAUAAAAGACACAAAAGAUUUACGUGGUUCGGUCAAAUUGACCUACGUCCACGGGCGAGAGAGGAGCAAUAUUUCUACUAUGAAGAAGAAAUACAAAAGCCGUAGGAAAGUGGUUCCUAGGCCAAUAGGCACUUACAAAAGAGUUUAGGAAAUAUUCCUAAACUCAAAACAAGAGAGCCUAAAAUAUUUAACUGAAUGGGCUAGAUGACUCAAGAAACUAAUAGCCCAUAUAACUCUCUUGAGUGGUGCAAGUUAAAUCCUUCAAAGGACCCUUCUAUUUAUAGGCCUCGAGUAGCCGGCUUCUCUUCAGCAGGCUCCGAUGUGGGAUGAGAAGGAAAUGAAAAAUUAUGCCACAAGUCAAAGCUUGCGGCUCUGACAAAACAACAUGCUUCAUGCUCCAUUUCAUAAAUAAAAAACAAAAGGAGCAUUUGCCAAACAAAUCAGCUCAUAACAGAUAAUAAGUUGGAAGCCCUCCCAAUUAUUUUUUCUUUUUUCAAUAAAAACUAAAACAUAAACAGAUAGUUUCUCACUUUUUUUUUCGCCAAACCUCCCUCAGUGCAACAGUAAUCGGUGGUUUUCCAAGAUAAACUUUAAGAAAAAUUCCAAUAGUUUUACAUACACACACUCCCUCCGCGGGGGGUCUUCUCCUUUUAUGAGCUAUAAAUCCCCUAUGCUUGGAAGAAGAACUCCAUAAUUGCCAGAAACCCAGGAUCGCUAUUAUCAUUUUUAUACUUUACACCUUCCACAGUACACUCCUUAACUUCUCGUAUUCCUUGUAAAGAAACUUCAAAUUACACAUACACUCACAGAUACACACUUUCCAUGGCAAAAUGAAUAAAAAAUAAAACGUUACUGAACAGCCUGUCAGAUCAAAUGCAAGGUCCGUCCUCAAGCCAACACCCAAAAGCAUCAGCAACAGCAGAAGAAGAUGAGAUCGCACAAUUCAUCGUUUGCAAUGAGCUCGUCAAUUAGAUUCUCUCAAGCUUCUGGUGCGUUUUCAAAUCUUGGCUUUGUUAGAUCCCUGGAGUUCGUCAAAACCCAUGUGGAGAAAUCUCACAAUCCACAAAACCAAUGACUACAUGUUGCAUAGUUUUUUUUUUCAUGAUUGGUUUUUAUCCAAAAUUAAGCAGUCUUCUCUUCAUUUUGCAUUGUAUUUUAGGCAGUUAAACUACCAGAGAGAGAGAGAGAGAGAGAGAACAUCUUGUGGUAGUGCUUGUUGUUCCAUUAGGCCAAGUUAAAGGUCUGAAUACAUUGAUAUGCUCAAAUUGGCAUUUUCUCAGAUUUAACCAAACUGAACUAAAAUAAGAUCAAACAAAACAUGGUCAAACACUCUUUUUACAACUCAAAUAAAUUGCUUUUACAAUUAAAAACAUUAAUGAAGUAGAUUGGAUUAAGCCAAAAAAACAACAAUUCGUAUAAUUUGACCUCUAAAGUGAAGCGGAAAUCAAAUAGAGAAAAUUGGACAAAAAAUUUAUGUAGUUUGGUUUAAAAGCUACCUACAAUAUCUUAGGUCGUCUUCUCCUUGUGUAAUUUUUGAAUAUGCAACAUAAAAGGCUCGUCUUUUGAUGUUAACAUCUUUAAGUUUGGCAAAUUACAAACGUAAGGACUUUGUUUUGAAACAUUCAUGAAACGAUAGUGAUACAAGGCCGAAAAUGUAUCAUCAAAAAACAUAUGGUUGUGUACUGAUCUAUGUGUGAUGUAUUUAUAAGCUAAUCUAACGUACAAGUGGUUCAAAGCUGAUCUACCACUUUGUAGUGAUUAGGUUCAAAGAAUCUUCACUAAAAUAGUGGUUCAAUCGAAUGACACCAUUAUUUAUGCAUACGAUUAUCAGAUUAUUCUGUAACCUUUGGAAGUCUAUUUUUUAAAAUUUGAAAUGGCCGAGGAUUGUUGAAUAUUUUCAAAAUUUGAUUAGUUGCAAGAUGGGGUCCUGUCUUAGGAUUCAACAUGAGACCCAUCACUAUUUGGUUCUUGUAAUGCUCAGCUAUGUUUUCAGAACCGGACCGGGUAGUGACUUGGCCGAGGUCAGGGGUCAGGGGUCAAUGGAUUCGACCGGGGGUCGAUAGGGGUCGAACCGGAUGACGUCAUAAAUAAAAAUUAUUUAAAAAUUAAAAUAUUAUAUAUAUAAUAUCUAAUAAUAUAUUGAUAUUAAUAAAGGUAUAUUCAUAUAUAUUUGAUGUUUCAAAUAUAUUUAACAAGAAAAUACAAAAAAAUUAGAACAAUCAAGUAGCAAUUUAUAUUAUUUAAUAAAUAUUAACAAGUUAGAAUUAAAAUUAUGAAUUUAAUUGAAAAAUAACAUCAAAUUUUAGGACAAUAUUUAUAAAGUAUCAAAUAUUUGAGGUAUAUCAAUAAGUUUUAACAAUUUAGGGGGUCAAAACAUAAUAUUAAAAAGUUUGAAUUUUUUUUUAAAAAAAUUACUGUUGAACCAGAAAAAUCGGUUUUUUCCCGAUCAAACCCUGUUUUUGACCGGCUUUGACCGGGUUUUAAAUUUUCGGUUUUUUAAUAUGACUCGGACCGGCUACCUGGCCGAUUCCCGGUUCGACUGGCCGGUCCGGUCCGAGUUUUAAAACAGAGAUGCUCAGAAGUUGUUUAAAUCUACUUGACAUCUUUUCAUAUUUUUGACAGUUGAUUAUCCAAAAACUGUCUGAACACUUACAUUGAUAUUGAGGAAAUUUUUUACCAACACAAAUGCACAAAUCAGUGGUGAAAGGUUGAACUCUUGAUCAUUUUCAAUCUCAAUUCUAUAAAGGUCUAGUAGGGAUAGCUUGCUGUAGAAGAUUAUUUUUCCUACUAUUAGAAUUUUUUGCAAAAACACACCAUAGUUCAAGUAGAUUUGUUUAACUUUGUACAAGAGUUAAGACAAGCAUUCUUCAAAUUAUCCUAAAGGAUAUUUUUUCAAAGUUUUUACACACAAAAUUUUGGACAAAUAAAGUUUAAAGGAAAGUGAUCUUGAAUCACGAUUUGAAGUCUUUUUGCUUUGUAACUUUCAGCCAUGUUCUCUUGUAGUCUCUAAUAAUUUUUUCGAGGCUCUAAUUUGGAGACGCAUACAUUGCACGUGGAUUAGAAUAUGGCUAGAAGGAAGACUAGGAGAAUAGUAGAGACCAAUAUAUAUAUAUACUAGUUUUGGGGUGCCACGCAUUGGCGUGGCACUGCCCAGGUUUGUGUUUAAUAUGUAUAUAUAAUUUUGGUGUUAUUUAUGAGAAGAGUGUUGUAUGGUAAUACUGAUGCAAUGGCGUGACAGGAUUUAGUUAUUAUGGGCAACACAUACAAAAGAAAAAAUAAAAAACUAAUAAAUAGAAGAGAACCUGAAAGAAAGAAGAGAAGAAAGCUCCCUAUAGCCUAACCGAAAGCAAAAAACAACGGAGUUAAACUGACAUCACAGUCACCCAGCGAACUCGGAUCAAUCCAGUAUUUGCUCAACAAUGACCAAACGUACCAUGCAGCAGCCAACUGGACAAUGACUCAACGCACCCUAUACACAAUAUAGCGCCACACAGUCACCUACAACAGCACCCACUAACAUGCACCCGAUUCAAUAAACCCCACUAAAAGGCAAUGCCCAGGUUUAAGCUUAGCAUGUAUAAUUUUAGGGUUCUGUUUAUAAUGCAAUGCAUGUAAUGGUAUCCAAAUGGAAAUUCAUGUGCAUGUGGUGAGAAUAUUUGUCUAUAAUAAUGAUAUACGCGUUAUUGAAUCUGGAGUAAAUAUACUUACAGGAGAGAUAAUUAAUUGUAUUAGGUUUGUCAUGCCUAAAUGAUUUUUGUUGAUAAUUUGGAAAGGAUUAUUUUGUUUUAUUUUUUAUUGUUCCUUUGAUAUGUUAUAAUUUCUUUUAUGGGUUAUCCUAAUUGUUAGGCUCAUAUAAUAACUUAGGUAGUAACUAAGUUAGGAUAGUUAAAUUCUGAUUUUUGUUAACACUCAAUUGAAUUCUAAUUAUCAUCUACUAUUAGCUAGUCAAUAGUUUUAGUAUAGUUAAAUUAGUUAAAUUUUUCAUUUUGAAUUCAAAAUUUGAUUUUAUUAUAGUUCAAUUAGUUAGCUAGUCAAUAGUUUUAGUAUAGUUAAAUUAGUUAAAUUCUAAUUAGCUAGUCAACACUCAAUUAAAUUCUAAUUAUCAUCUACUAUUAGCCAGUCAAUAGUUUUAGUUUAGCAUAGUUAAUUUAGUUAAAAUUUUCAUUUUGAUUUUAUUAUAGUUAAAUUAGUUAGCUAGUCAAUAGUUUAAGUAUAGUUAAAUUAGUUAAAUUUUUCAUUUUGAAUUGAAAUUUUGAUUUUUUUUUAACACUCUAAUUGUAAUUAGGAACGAUUAGCUCCUUGAAUUGGCCAAUAUUACACCAAUAACCGGUCUAAUGUGGCUAAUAUUACACCUAUUUGAUUUUAUAUCAUAUAUUUCUAAUUGUAAUUAGGAAAAUUUUGAUUUUAUUAUAGUUAAAUUAGUUAGCUAGUCAAUAGUUUUAGUAUUGUUAAAUUAGUUAAAUUUUUCAUUUUGAAUUGAAAUUUUGAUUUUUUAACACUCUAAUUGUAAUUAGGAACGAUUAGUUCCUUGAAUUGGCCAAUAUUACACUAAUAACCGGUCUAGUGUGGCUAAUAUUACACCUAUUUGAUUUUAUAUCAUAUAUUUCUAAUUGUAAUUAGGAACGAUUAGUUCUUUGAAUUGGCCAAUAUUACACCAAUAACCAGUCUAAUGUGGCUCCAUGCAAUCACCAACAAAUGAAGAAUAGUUAUUGGCACCACCGUAACCAAAGGGCCCUCAGAUUGGUGUAAAUUACUGCAACAACCCACUAAGACACCCUAACCAAAGGCCCCUCAAAUUGAUGAAAAUUACUGCAAUAACCGGACCACAAUUGCUACAGUAACUUGAGCUUGGUACUUUUAUAUCUUGUAAGAUAUAUAUAUAUAUAUAUCCCAACAAUAUAUUUAUAUCCCCAAAUGGAUGCUUUUCUUCUGCCCCAAUUCUUUAAUCUUGGUAGUCCUUGAUGUAUAACUGGCUGCUAAUAUAGCAAGUAUUUGAAUGACAUCAUAUGGUAAGGACAUAAAUGCAUCCACUUAAUACAGUCCAUAUUUGCAUGCAUGUUACAUGACAACGUAGACAUUCAAGAGACCAAAAGUGAACUAAGAAUAUGUCUAGUUGCAUAUCAUUGUGUUGAAACCUUGAAAGCCCUUUUAACUGAUAGUUGUACCUGUACCCCAAAGUUCCUGAUCGAUCGCCAGCCCUGAGUUCGUUAUGUGGAGAAUUGUCUGUCAACAUCUAUAACUACAAGAAGCGAAGGUUGGUUUUUCAUGAUAGUUUCUCACUUGCAAUCCAAUAUCCUGAUCAUAUUUUUCCAAGCUUUGGAAAAAGACGUGAAUUUCACGGGGGAUUUAGAUGGAAAGCAAAAGGAGUAUGGUAGUAAUGAUCUCAAAAAGAAGACAAGGAUCUUCCUUGUCCCAUCGACCUUGGCUGAGAGUUUAGUUGAUUUCGUCCAUAUAUAUGCAGGCCAUGUAGGCUAUGUAUGUUACAUGUUAUAGGCCUCAAAUAAUCUUUUCCAGGCCUUGGUUUGGAGAAGCACAUAAAUCGCACGAGGAAUAUUACAGGAGGAGAAUGGUAGUGACAAUUAAAAAAGACCAAGGAAACCCUCUCAAACACUUGCUUUCGAUUAACAUUUGCUCAGCAUCUGAGAUUAGUUGAUGACGGAAACACUCAUCAACUGUUUGCCAUCCAUAACCUUUGCGUGCAUGUACGAGUAUGCUAGAUGGCUGAAGCUUCAAACAUACAGCUGAAUUUGAGUUUUUUUUUUUUUUUUUUGAGGUUUUAGACGGUGGAUUUUGGGAUUAAUUUCUCAAUCAAGUGCAAGAAUGUUGACCAAAAUAUGGAUUUACAACUUUAUGCUACUUGUCAACUUUGGCUGAUAAUUAAAAAAAAUGUUGCGUUUGCAACUACCUGCCAACUCUUUGCUCUCAUUUUCUACGUUUAUGCUUGAGAUUCUGAAAUUUUAAGGGGUUUGAAUCAAUAGUUUUAUGGUUAAAUUCACUGAAGUGUGACAAAUGGACUCAAAUUGAAAAAAAAAAAAAACAAAAGUAAUUUAAGCAAGGUAUCAUAAGAGGGAGAAUGAAGAAGAAAAGAGGGGAGAAAUCAAUCCAGAGAAUGAACAGUACCACGACAGAAACUGUUAUAAAGGAUAAAAGAGUUGCAACAAUGAUGAGGGAUGUGAGAGUGGUCUUAAGAUACAUAGGUCUUACCAUUUCCGAAUCUAAUCUGUGUAAUCAAUAUAUUUUUAAUGCUUUCUUUUUCUUUCAACAAUUUUUUUCUUGUAAUAAAUUUAAAUUAUUCAUUUAUUUUUCUAGAGUAACUUUACUUAAUCAGGCUUUAAUUUAUUAAUUUUUUCUUAGAAACUAAGUAUUUGUUUCAUGAGAAAAUGGAUUACUGCAUCUUUUAUAUUUAAUUGAAAAGGUUACGUAGCCUUAGGUGUAUAAUUAUUGUAAAAAAUUUAAUUGCUAUCUCAAAAACCUUUUUUUUUUUUUGGUUUAUGCAUCCUAUUAUGACAUAUUUAUGUAUAAAAGUUAUUAAAAAUUGGUAUGGUUGUCGACUAAUUAAUAUGUAAUAAUUUUCUGGAAUAAACAUCAUAAAACAUAUAAGAAUAUCAUUCAUAUUUCUUUUCUUUUUCGGUUAUUUAUUCCUUGGACAUGUUCGUAAAUAAUUAACAAAAAUACGUGCAUUAGCACGGCUGAAAUACUAAUUAUUAUUACUUCAAUGAAAUCCACGAUGGUUGUACGUACUCUUUUAUUUGAAAUUUAUAUUUGUCGACUUGAAAAUGACCAAGAACAAUGCAACACCAUUUACGUGGCUUAAAUUAAUACGACAUGAUUACUACAACUAGGAAUAAUCUAUUUCUCAUGUAGAUCGACUAUGGAAAAAACUAUUUGGACACAAAAACUGCAUCGUCUUCUAAUUCUUUAGUUGUCCAAAUUGCUUCAUGAACUUCAAAAUUGUCCUUAAACUUUAGAUUGGGAUAUCUUAUUCCUAAAAUGCAAAAGCUUCUGCCAUUUUAAUUAGCCCUUCUCAUAAGAUAAUCAUUGCAUUAAAAACUUACUUAAACAAGCAAACUAUGAUUGAAAAUAAUAGAAAUGCUAUUCUCUUUAUCGUGAAAGGACCUUAUGCUACAAGUGAACUACAACGUGAUAAAGUCAUGACAAUAGAUAGGGAAGCUUGGAUAAGUACCAAAAUGUUGCCUAAUCUUGUGAUCUCUUGGCCUAAAAUUUAAUGUCGGUGUUACAAUAACAAGUUAAAUAUUUAGUUAAUGGUCAUAGUAAAAGCAAAUAAUCUUCAAUCAGUCAAAUGAGUCCCAUCGUGAAUUAAUAGACAUACAUCAACUUAAUUAUCUAAUUUUUUUUUUUUUUUUUUGGAACGACACCAUUUACACAUCUAAAAAAUAAGCAACCAUAUUCUUUAGGGUAUGAUCUCAACUGUAUAUGGAUAUAGAAGUCACAAGUUCACGCCUCACUUAAUUAUUUGAGGUCGAUUUGGUUUUGCAAAGACAUAUAUUUACUAGUCAUAAAUAAUAUAUAUAUUAACUAGGUAAUUUUUGGAGCCAAAAUUAUUCUCUUUCCCAGGUUGCAGUAAACAACUUAAAGAACCUAAUUCCAGCUUACCUGCGGAUUGAUAUAUAAAUUGGGAUUUUGAAUCUUGAAUCUUCUUCAAAUUAUCUGUCGUGAAUUAGAUUGAAAGACAUAUUCAUUUUCUUAAAAGAAAAAAGCAGUAAACUGAACUUAUAACCCGUCAUGGGUCUAUCACAUCACAGGGAAGGAAUGUUGCAACACCAAACAGUGAAAAUGUCUCCAAUGAAACAUCAUAAUAAAAAAUUCCCAGCAACUCUACAAAAAUUUUGACACAAACUUUCAAAUAUAGAAGUACUGCGACACUUUCUUGAAACCUUUCUGUGUUUUGCACAAACUCAAUAGCCAUGCCAAGAAACAUCAUGAUUUGCACGCACCAUGUUUCAAGUUUGAGAUCCCUCCUAUCCUGGAACCCAAACUCAGCAACUACUUGAAUUCCUCUUAAGUAGCCAUCUUGUCUUGUCAGGGGAUCCCUUGUAGAUCCAUCAUCUUUCAAUGUCACCAAACCAUCAAGCAUGACCAGCGCAGAGGCAUAUAGAGUUGUGAACGGAUGAACAGUCAAGUAAUAACUAUACGAUUUGAGCUCCUCAAAUCGAGAGUAACGUUGUCUUUGCGAUCCCUUGACGUAUAUACAAGAUGAAACCGAAUCUUCUGAAUCUAAAUACAUUGAAUUUUGGUCUACAAUGCUUGGGGAAUGACCAAAUUCUCCACACUUGAGAUCAAAACGAGAAUUGGACGAGAAGUUUAGGAGGAAUUAAGUAACUAGAGAAUAGUAAAGCUGGUCUGCAACAUAAAACAGGGAUUUUGCCACAUCCUCUGAUAUUGCAUCAGACUUGAACUUUGCAUCUUUCGUUGUCUAUAUGGCCCCAAUCAAUUAAAUGGAUGCAAAUCAUGCAAUGAUGUGGAGGCCAGUGUAUAGUGUAUAAUCCGUUAUAAUCUUACAUGUAUGCAUAAACGGAUGUAUAGCAUGAAUCUUUCACACAUAAACACCUGUUUAUGCACACUGGUGUGAUUAAUUAGCCUUCUCAAGUGGGAAAACUAAUUAACAUAAUACAUAGGGCUCUGAAAUCCUUGCCAACUUAGAGUAGGAGUACGCCUAGACUGCUAGUGAUGCUUAAAUGCAAUUAGAUGACGGGUUUUAUUUAAUCAGAUUUUCAAACGAUUGUAGUUAUUCUUGGUGCUUUAUGCAUAAAUGGAGAAACCUCAUUCAUUGCUUUUGGAUAUCUUAUCACUCAUAGAAAAGUAUACAUGAUAGAGUAGAAAAACAAAAUUCUCUGCUUAAUUAGCGAUGAUUUGAUUUAUUAAACCAAUUGAACAUGUACACUGGGGUCAAUUUCGAAAGAUUUUGCACUUCACACUUGUAAACGAUAUUAGAUUCUCAAAUAAUCACACAAAUUAAGGCGUUUGAUACUUGGCACGCUACUAGUCAGCUAGUUAUAGGCUAGAAUAUGACGGUUUAUCAUAUUUUCAUUUUGCCACUUAAAAUGAUCAAAGCGAUUGUGAUGAUGAUGAGGGUUGAGGGAAGUGAAAGUGAAAGUGACAUUAAUUAUCAUUUUGAUUGAAAGCUGUGUCCUUCCAAGCUUGAGAUAUAUAACGAUCUAAGGGGUAGGAAGCAUUUUCUUUUCUGCGGAAAGAAGGGUGGAAGUGACUGAAACAGGAGCAAUAUAAAGAUUUGGACAUCCAGGGAAUGCAGCACAGGAGAAGGGAAUUAAAGGGAGUGGUGACUGAGAAUCUUGUUGAUCCUCCUGAUAUAUGCAUGCUCUUACCUCAGAAUCCUCUAGCUCUGAAGAGGGUAAUGAUGAUUCUGAUGAUAACUACGACAAUAACUAGGAAGAACCAGGGAGCUCUAUUAUCACUUUUAUGGGCCCAUAAAUAUCAAACAACAAAAAUAAUUUAUCAAGCAAGAAAGCACAAAACAAAAAAUGGAGUCUAUCAAAAUGCAGCGGCUACAACUUACUAAAGAAAUGGAGACAGUGCCUUUAGUCACUAUUUCGACAUUUUGAUGAAUGGCUGACCGUGUAUUUCCUAAUUGUAGAAUUACGUAGGUAAUUUGUGGAGCCAAGAUAUUGUUUUCACAAUUUGCAGUGCAUAUAGAGGAUUAAUUUGCAGUACAACUCAAAAAAUGGAAUUCCACACAUACACACGCACACACAUAUAGAGGAUUAAUUCUUCUUACAUCGUCACACUGUAUAUGCUGAUAGGAUUGAAUGAAUGUCAUAUUAUUUGAAUUUGAAUUUAAACAUUAAAUUUUGUAUAUGUGAUAUGCAUUAAUUUAAACCCGUUAGUGUAUACGCUAUUAAUGCAUAAAAGAUUUACUCAUUUAUAUAUAUAUAUAUAUAUAUAUUUGGAAAAACACGUGACUUGCACGAGAAUAUUAAGACCAAGAUGAAUAUGAAAAAUUUCUAUCCUAUAAAGUUUUUUGGGUUUCGAUUGCAUGUACAAGGGUAGACUUGCCAACAAGCCAAACACCAAAGUGCAACAGAGAAGUGGCCCUAACUAACCUCCUUCGAUUUCUCCAUCCACGAAAAAUUAUAGCGCAAAUGAUUCUUGCGUCCCUAUAGAUUAUGUUUUAGGAAGCACCAAUCCUGGUUAAACAAUUUGUGAAACAAGGCUUUAAUAUGAGUAUAGAUUAUGAGUAUAUAUAAAUUAACAAAGGCAAUUUCUAGAGGGUAUACAACUUGUUUAAUUCAGAGAAUUAGAAUAUCGUACAUGGUAUGCUUGUCUUGUGGAUGUUUUUUGAAUUUAUUAUCUCUCUGUAUAUUCUUUUUUUUUUUUUACAAGUCUUGAAAAUAUAUUGUUCUAUGUCUUUUUCCAAAAUAAAUUGUAUUUUUCUUUUCAAUUUGUCAUUUUAUGGGGAUAAAAAGUUCCAAAUUCAUAAUGGUCUCUUUUUUCUUUUUUUCUUUUUUUAUAAGCCCUAACGGUCUUGUUUUGAUUUGGUUCAGAAUUUGGGAACCUACUAUCUUUUUAUAGUUAAAAAAGAGUAUAAAACUAAGUCACUUUAUGAGCCUUGACAGUAGAUAUUAACAUUUGUUGGAAAAAACAUAUGAGUCUUGAUAGUAUUAUGCUUCUUUUAAAUUAAAAAAAAAAAGGGAAAAACAAUGGCACAAAGUUGGGCACACUUUUGUUCUUAGUUUUACACAAAUGAAUUAUUAGAUUUUUAAACUUAUGUUGUAAAAAAAAAAAGGACAACUAAACAAAAAAAAAAAAAAGAGGAAAUGAAAAGAAUAGAGAUGAAGCUGAAACACAAAUAGUCAAACUCUCAUUCCACAUUUGUUGAUCUAUUUGAAAUGGUCUUUUUUAUCAUUUGCAAAAUUCUUUUCUUACCAGAAGUUUUCCAAAACUAAAGACACCACCUUUUAAAUACCAAAAUUCAUUAAUUAUAGUAACGUUAUUCACAUUAACGAGUGCCCAUUGAACAUCCGUGGACCAAUUAACAAAUAUGUGAAAUGAGGCUUUAAUAGAUUUAAUGACAAUAAUAGUUUUCUCGACUGUACUUCUCGGAUGAGUAGCUCACCCUCAAGUAUUUUUAUCUCUCUUUUUCGAGAAGAAAAUAUUAAAAAGAUAGGUUUUCUUGAGCAAACAUUAAUCUUCUAUCAAUCACAGAUAAACUUGUACGCACAAAAAAAAGAAAAAGAAAAAUAGAAAAUGAUACAAGUAGUACAACUAGUCAACCCAAAGGAAAACUUAGAAUCCAUUUGGAUUGCAUUUUUUUUUUUUUUUUUUGGAGAGUUUUGUAGAAGAAUUCAUGUGACGAUUUUUUUUUUAGGUGUGAUGUAUAUAAGGUAAAAAGGUAAUUGAAAAAUGUGAAAAUGAAUAAUUUGAUGGAAACUCAAAAAAAUUUUCCACUGAAAGUACAACCCAAACAAGGCCAAAUUAUUUACCUUCGGAAUGCUAGAGGCUUUGAGAAGUUCUGUAUAGUGCAAACAAAGCAGUAUUGGUUUACUUUAGAGAAUUGAAAUUAUCUUCCUCAAUCAGUACAUCGAAAUGCAAAAGAAAACAAAUCCAUCCAGCCUAAACUUAUUUUCAAUUGAAGUAUGAAAUUAUCCUGAAUUAAUGCCUUUACAUAGAUAGCUCUCAUUACCCUUACUCCUUCUACUCAUCAUGUUCAACUUUUGGUCUGUAAUCUGCUGAGGUGCACAGAUGUUGCACCUUGCCUGAGCUAUAUUAAUGGUAUUUGCAUUUAGUUGCCACUUAGACAUGAGGUAAUAUGCAUUUGUCUUCUUAACAUCUAUAUAUAUAUGUGUGUGUGUCUGUCACAGAAGGAGCACCUGUAGUACAUUUUAAGUUGUACCCAAUUUAAGCUUAAAUGUGUAAUUAAGUGACACACCUACUGCAAUUGUAACUCAUAAAUAAAUAUGCUUAAUUACCCAAAAAAUAAAAUAAAAUAAAAAACUCACAAUACAUACCAAGAAUCUUUAUAAAUGUAUUUUUGAGCAUUUUAAUUAAUCUUUAUAAAUCUUAAUUUAAGAAUAUAGAGAUGCUUUAAUUACGUAGUUGUCAAUUCUAAUUCUUGAACAAUUUUGUUAAGCCUGUUGUUACAUCAGUUUCCCUCAUUUUCUAAGACAUUUCCAUAUCAGAAACUGAAAAAAAAAAAAAAAAACAUGUUUUUUAGCUACCCAAAUAUAUAUAUAUAUAUACAUGUUUUUUUUUUAAUGAAUUCUGCGUAUUUGAUGCCUACUGUUGAGUGUUAUCCAAUACUGCUACUAAAUAUUCAUACAUCAAUAUAUGCAUAUCUCUAAUUACAACUAGUACUUUGAUAUAAUUAAGCAUAUAACUAUGAAGAAAAUUGAUUAUAUAUUUGUAAGGUCUGCUGCUUCUGUUGGCCGACUUAAUUGGUGGCCACGAGAACUCUCAUUUUCAUCCAAGUCUGGCGACGUACCCCAUUUUGCAUGGGGGCAAUCCGCCAUCUCCAUUGAUGGAAGUUGUUGUUUUAGCCAGUAGAUCGAGGACGGACCAUAUUGGGCUCCUCGCCAGGAGCUGAACCCAGCUGGACCAGAGCCAUCGGUGUUCAAUCAGGGCAUAGACUGCACUACUUCUGCUGAUCGUGUGGAGCUUAACAUAGAGCAGCUGCCGCAUCUUUUUCCCUCUAUAUUACCGGCGACUGCAAUGCAUUAAUACUUCAUCAUGAAACUUCAGACAGCAGCGAACCAGAAAAUUUUUCUUCAUCUUAAUUUCUCUACACUUUGAACCUAGCUAGUUCGUUUUAGUAUGCAGAACUGUUGUUUAGUUGUAAUAUAUUUGGUUUCAAUUUCUCUCAACAAGAAAUUCUAGCCGAUUAAGGGCCGAGAGUAGAUGAAUUUAGUUCAAGAUCUGAAGUGAAUGCUCUCUUAGAAUUCAAGCUCCAUUAUUGAAAACUGAAUAUUCAAGAUUGUGCUGUCUAAACAUCUCACUUUCAUUCGAAUUGCAAUAACACAUAUUUGAAACAAUUGGACCAACAUACUUUAAUAGCUCGUGUGAAACAAUUUAGGGCACUUCUAAGCUCUAGAUGAUGAAAUGUGCAACCUUCGUGAAAAAUAUAGAUUUAAUUUAAUUAUUCUAAAAGAAAAAGUAUAAAAAAAAAAAAAAAAAUCCAUGGCCUAGUUAUUUCCAAAACAGAAAUUAAAAAUUUUUACUUAAGACUAUAGACUAGUGCAUUCACAAUACCACCCCAAAAUGGAUGUUUAACUAGCUAGCUAAUAUGGCAUGUAUUUCAAUAUAUGAUAUGUUAAGAAAAUAAAUACACCAUUAAAGUCCAUAUUUGCAUGUACAUUUUUAUGUGACAAUGUAAACAUUACACACUCAAGAGUCCAAGUAGGACUAAUGUCCAGCUGAAUACAUCCCAUCCCAGAAGGUCCUUGUCUGAAACCUUGAGAGCUGAUAGUAGUAGCAUCAGUACCUAAAAAUUCCAGCCACCCCAGAAGCUAGCAGAACCACCAGGUAAUUAAUUACAUAUACAAGAGCAAAAGGUACAAAACUAGUCCCAAUUUCAUACUUUGGAACAUGAGUAGUGAAGUUAAUAACUUUUUUUUUCUUGAUUUUUUGGACUUGCUUGGUUUAGAUUAUGAAAGUCUAGACUGAACUGUUGUCCAAUUGGGCUAUAAAUGCUGUGAUCAAUGUCUUUUUGGAUUUCACUAAAUUCCUUUUUUGCACUAUCUAUGACAUCAAAUUCAACUUCUACAAGAGAAGAACUUGCGAACAAUGGUUUUUAGGUUUGUAAUCCUGGGUGCACACAUGUUGCACCAUGCCUGCGCUAUACUGGUAUAGCAUUGAGUUUUCACUUUGGCAUAAGGUAAUAUGUGCAUUAAUCUUCUUACCAUCUAUAUCCGUCGAAAAGAUCAUCUAACCUGGAUUUUACUGCUUUUAGAUGAACUCUUAAUUAUGAAUAUCGUGUUAAGAAUCUAGGCCAAAGUUCAAUGUCUGAUUAAAUUCUUUUUUGGCAACUGAUAUCAUCUAAGAAAACAUCAUUAUAUUUAUAGAGUGAUUUUGCCAUUAGACGAAUAUUUGGAAAAAUAAAAAAAUUAGGAUGAGACUGCUCUAUCAAGGGUUUUAAUCUGUAGGUCUAACAUUUUGUUCUACUAAAGGUUGAUUGGUGUGAGUAAUGUAUCAACUCUAAACAAAUUAUUGGGAAUCCAUUACAAGUAAUAUCUGCUACUUCUAGGUAGAUUGAAGAUUGAAGUAUAGUGGCAAUUAAGCAAAUUUUGUUGUGAAAAUCUAGACUGGACUCUUGUCCACUUGGCCAUAAUUUUUGCAAUCUUUAAGUGCCUAAGAAACUAGCUUAAUAGAAGUGCAUGAAGCGUUACAACUAUUAUGAUCCCAUGAAGCUAGUAACAAGGCUGCUAGGCCAAUCUCUUCCUUUGUUCUAUGAACCCUACAACCACCAGAGACUUUGUUCUGUGGUCGGGCAGAAAUUGUACGCAUGAAUGGAGCCCCAUCCACCCACAAAUCCACCACCAAAAGAAAAAGGCGGAAGAGCAACAGAUGAUGUGAUUUCCCAAUACUAUCACAUAAGAUCAGCUUUCCCUCCUCCUCUUGCCCGGGCUUGGGACCGGCUGUCUGUGGAGACAGGCGGAGUUACAAAGCCAUCCUACCAAACAAAACAGCACAAGCAUACAAGCCAGCCACAUUCAAGAACAAUAGAGAAGAAAGUUAUCCCCACCAAAAGGCAAGCUACAAACGUCUCAGCAAUCUCACAAAUAGCGAAAUAGACUUGCAACAAUCCAUACCAGAGUACAAGAGAACUCUACGAAUAGCACAGCACACCUUUCCUUAAUAAUAUACCUUUUUUUUUUUUUGGGGGGGGGGGGCCGCGGGGAGGAGGGUUUUUAAGUGUCCACACGGAGGGGGGGCCUUCAAACCCAUUAGACAGCCUUGAAUUUACCAAUUAGAUCACAAAUUACCACACAUUCCUUCAAGUGACUAAAAAAAAUAAAAAUAAAAAUUUUAAAAAUUGAUGCUAAAAAUUUUACAUAAUGCUAAAGGCUGAUAAAAGAUCAAAAAUUACAUAGUGCAAUCAUCCAACAACAAAUAGACCCUACUUAUGGGACUUAAAAAGUCAACACACAUCACAGGGGCUUAAGCUACACAGGUAAAUCAUACAGAGAAUGACAAGUUGCCCUGGAAAACGGGAACUCUUUCAUUUCUUGAAUCCACCGAAAUCAACCUCAAAAGUUGUACGCACUUCAAAUAAAUUAAUGAUUUUCAAGACUUGUACACAAGGGCAUUUGGAUUCCUCUCAAUCUGUCAAUCAUUUAUGAUUGGUUAUAUGAACACAAUACACCUGUGCCAGGGCCUGUUAAGAUGCAACCACCUUCCCAAAACCACAACGCAUACAACUAUUGCAGAUCUUAGAUUGGACCUCUUGAUGCCACACCAUAACUGUUAAAGGCCACAAGCAAAUAUUGUCCAAUAAACCCAAGGAUAACAAAAUUCAGUUGCACUUUAAAGUUGCAUACUAAACCUAUGUACCAGAGGAUCACAAAAUUCAAGUAUGAAAUGAAAUUCACAAACAGUACCAGUACCAGUGGUAUGUAAGUUGAUGACUACGAAGACAGAUAUUGCACGCAUCUGUUCUUACAUGACUUAACAAUACCAGUACUGAUACCAGUUGUAUGCAAGUCGACGACUCUGAAAACAGAUAUUGCAUGCAUCUGUUCUAACAAGAUUGAACCGGCAUCUGCUUAUGAAGUGAGAAUAACCACCUGACACUGCUCUCUUCCACUCAAUUGUAGAUAAUGAACGCCAGCAGCGAGUACUCAAUGGUGAUGGAGAAACAGUUGAAGUUAUUGUGCAUAGUAACGGACAAACCAGUUAAAACAUACAAAAAACCCAAGAAAGGAUAGGAGGCAAGAAAUACACCCCCAACUUGACCAUGACCAUGAACUUGAUAAUCCAUACUGAGUUGCAUCUUAGGCCACACCCCAUAGUAUAUCAGAAGUUUCCACAUUCAAAGUCGUCAAAUCAAAUUCCAUGCAGACUAGAAAGCACUUCAUCUUUUCCAUCCAUAUGACUUAAAAGGAGAAACAGAAAUAGAAAUCCCAAUUUCUGGACAUUGAACUCAAGAACUGGCUGAGGUAAAGAUAUCUUAAAUUCACUGGAAUAAGCAUGCUUGCUACAGAAUAUACAAUACUCUGCUAAAUACCACCAUAACUCCAGAUAACGCUCAUACUAUCAAAGCAGAUUCUGCAAACUUCCCAGUAUAUUAACACCACCAUCAUGAAUAAACCUGGACAAACAAAAUGACACUACGGCUAAGCUCAGACAUAUCCAUUACAAAUGAUCAGGAUAAGAAACCUCUACAUCUGUUUUGAUUUCAUGUUGAUCGGUAGUAUGCAAUUAGGAUAACUGUGCAGAAGCUAGGUAGAAUGGGUUAGUAAUGCAGAAAUUCAGGCUUGAAAACACAGAUCUGACUUCAACUCCCAGCCCUUCCUGAAAUUGAAUGCCGUAAUUUAAUUUUAAAAACUACGUAGUACUGUACAAAGAGAACCAAACACAACCACAAGAGAGAAGAAACUCCUUUGGAAUCAUGCAGACCACAAUACCCGGUGACAAAAUGACCAGAGAUUCUUGAAUUCAAGCUCCCUCAAAUGAAGACCAGAUAAAGCCAAGUUAAUAACAACUCAGCAAAUGCAACAGACCAAGUAGGGAUAUCAGAGAGAGAGAGAAACUCCUCUGAAAUCAUACAGACCACAAAAUCAGAUGAGACAAGAAAUUCUUGAAUUCAAGCUCCCUAAAUGGAAACCAAAUAAGACUCAAGUUAAUAAUGAGCCCAACAAUCAUCACAUUCAGCAUAUGACAGACCAGGUAGGGAUGAGAGAGAAAUCAAUCCGGAUCAUGGUGAACCAUAAAUUUUCUCAUCCCUCCAAUAAAGUUCUUUGCAUCUCCUAAUAAUUCACCCCAUCUGUUAUUCUAUAACAAAAACGUCAAAUAGUGACAGAGAGAGUUUUGACAUAUCAAGAAGCUAAUUGAGGUCAAAAUUUUCCAAAAACUUAUAAUAGACCCUGAAAAACAUGACAAACCAAAUAUUCCUAUUCCCCCUCUUUUUUCUUUCGAUACUCGCUAAUGAACUCAAUAAUAAAAACGCUGAAAACACAGCAUAUCUGGAGAACCAUCAUGACUAAUUCAGAAUUCAUCCAUCAAAAGCUAAUGAAUUGAUGUAAUAUAUGUGAAACAUCCCACCGUACAACUCAAUUCCAUAAGGCCUAAACCAUUACCUUGACCCUAUUACUUGAAAAACCUAACCAUGAUCAAAACUCCUGAAUCCAAUCUGCAGAAUUAAACAAAUUAUAAAGCCUGAAUAAUGCGCCAGUGAUGUUCUCAACAAACACAAUAACAGAAUGACAUGAAGAGAGAUUCCAUGAUUCAAACCACAGUACCAUGGAUAUCUGAAAAAGAAUUAUCAUCCAAGAGACCUCUAUUUCUUCACAGUCCUCUCGCUAGGACUAGAGUUCUGCAAGGGAGUACCAGGACAUCAGAACCCAACUUAAACUCGACACCAAGAUGAAAACCAAUAUCAGAGCUGUCCAUUAGUUCCAACUACCCAGAAAUUUAAAUUAUAUUACAUACCAUCAGAACUGAUUAAAAUACGAAGCCUAACGAUAAUUCUCUUUAGAUCAUGAUGAGUUAUCAAAACACCAGGAACCGCCUAUACAUACAAGUUCAAUGGCAGAAUUAGAUAAAUUUACAAUAAAACAAUCCCCAAAGAAAGAAAAAGCCUGGGAUUAAGCUAAUUGUAAAUUAAUGAAGAAGAAAGUAAAAUAGGUGCAAGUGAAUUAAAUGGGCAGGUCGCAGGUGACCAAUAAUUAACAGUUGGGAUUAAGCAGUCAUACACAAUUGCUAUUCUCUUCCUUGAUGCAUAAGGUAUUUCCAAAAACAAGAAAAUUUUUAAUUAAAUUUAAAUUAUAUAAUAGCCUACACACAUCAGAAGGACCAAAGCCCAAAAAAUCCUCAAGGAGGAAGGAAUGGUAAGACUAGGUAAGAAGACAAACGCCCUCCAAAAUAAUGUACUAGCCUUUGAUCUGAGGAUAGAGACCUUAAAGUUUUCACCACACCUCCAAAUCACUGGAAUCCUAGACUUAACACAAAAUAAUAUACCAAAUUAAGAACAAGUAGAGAAAAUCAUUUUUCAAGAAAAUGAACCCAAAAAAAAAUUAAAAGAGAGUAGGGAAAGAGAGAGCAAAUCAAAAUCUUAUCACAACCGAGUAGCAGGAUGAUACUCUCGCAGUUCAAGCUUCCCUAAAAUCAAGACAACAGAUAGAAGCCAUCACCAAAUAUCCCCAGUGAAUUUUUCAAGGAAAGAGAACAAAGAAAGACCAUGUUGCCAAGAAAAGCCCCCGAUUUAAUUCACAUCUAUGCAAAAGAAAGCUCUUCUCGCCUCCACACACCAGAAGUCCACUAUUCUUGAAAGACGGCAUCAAAAGAACCAGAGAAGAAACACAGAUCUUGAAACAUCACCAUGAUCGAAACAAACAGCAAUGCAACAGUGAUACAGAAAGCAAAACUCCAGAUAACGGAUUACGUUCACAGCCAUCCAAUAAGUCUAAGAAUCAUCACAUCCAAAAGCCCAUAUUCAGUCACCACCCUCAGGAGGAUUCUGCAAGCGAGUGAAAACAUAAACAGCCAACAGAGACUGAACUUGGCACAAAACUGAAAUAAAAAUUGUAGAUCAUCUACCAUAUUAUCAAAACCAAUAUAUGUAGCAUUUAUUCUUCUUCAGACCAUGAUGAAUCAGCGACACCAAAAUCCCUACCUAUACAAACAUGUUAGAUAAAAGAAUUUAAUUACCGUUAGAUACCAAGCACCGCAGAGCCAUCACCCAAAGAGAGGUCCUGGACUAAGCUAAUCCAUCAAGAGCCAAGUAAAGAACAAUUGGGUACGAUAACUUUAGCUUAAUUGACUGGGCAGAUUGAAAGUGAUUCAUACAGUCCAGAAAUAAACAAAGUUGAGAAUAAGCAGAGAGAUACGCUUGAUUAUACCCCCAUCUAUUUCUCAUGAAUCAGGAAAGUCAACUCUGCCGAAAUUACUGCCAGACCAAAUAACGGACACAAUAAGAAAAUAAGAAAUAUUACAAAUAAGGUGUCAAAACCCCUAAAUUCCUCAUGCACAAACAAUACAGACAGAGCAAAUCUACCAUCCAGAGAUCUCUCAUUGAUUCGAAGGAAAAAACAGAACAAGUAGGGGAGGAGCUUUCUCCAAAAUCUUGUAGACCAGAAUAGCAGGGUAACAAACAUGACGAGAAUGCUUUGUGAUCCAAGCUAUCCUAAAAUGAAGACAACAUCGAGAUGCCAUUACCAACAAACACCAGUGAUUUUUAGGCAAAAAGGAACGAACAAGAGAACUCCUGAUCUACCACGUCAAUCCAUAGCUCUUUUUGCCACCAUAUGUAGAACUCCACCAUUCU